RNAcentral lists this long non-coding RNA (114074 nucleotides) under Fragaria vesca (wild strawberry). RNAcentral's name for it is "long non-coding RNA (FVES_LNC002117)". The record is from RNAcentral. Lineage: Eukaryota; Viridiplantae; Streptophyta; Magnoliopsida; Rosales; Rosaceae.
UCCCAACCUUGAUGCCUUGAAGACCUUUAACCCGCACAAUAAUUGGAUAUUUCCUGUGGAAAACACCUUUUGGUAAAAUCUUGAGCUUACAUGGAAAGACAGCUUCCUUGUCUGCAGCAGCUAACUCCUUCUCCUUUUCCUCCUUGGGGUUUUUCAUAUAGGCCUUAAUCACCUCAUGAAUUAUAUCACCAACAAAAAUGCCAAGAUCUUCUUUUCAAGCAUCACACUGGCCUUCUUCACCCACAGUUGCUCUCUCUCAAGCAAGUUCCCUUGAACUUGUGACUCAGAGUCUCACAAGUUCCUGCUUCUGCAACCAUUGCAUUUGGCCCCAUCCCUACAUUUUAAACACAAACAUUAGUAUUCAUAGUUUCAUACAAAAAGUUCAUUUACAUCUAGUAAUAGAGAUUAAAACAGUGAGAAAAUCAGAAGGAUGUUGCUCAUAUAUGAUUAUACCAGAAGCAUGAGAGCAACAAAGAAAAGUCGAAAGAUAAGCUUCCUCCUCCACAGCAGCUAGCUCCUUCUCCUUUUCAUCCUUGAGGUUUUUCAUAUAGGCCUCAAUCACCUCAUGCAUUAUAUCACCAACAAAAAUCUUCACACCCAAUUUAUCUGCUAGUUUCUGGGCCUCGGGUGUCACUUUGACCUCAAAUGCCAAGAUCUUCUUUUCAAGCAUCACAUUGGCCUUCUUCACGAACCGGAAUAUCAACUUCUUGAGCCUUCAGAAACUCUAGCAUUGCUUCCAAAGAGCCUUGAGCUGAUGCUUGUGCACAUACACCUUUGUCUCCAGAACUGCUGUUACCACCACUCAUGUUGUCGUUCACUAGAACACAAUUCAUCAUGUCUUCCAUAGCUGCUUCCUUGAUUUCUUCCAAGUCAACAUCAGGCCUUAUGACAUAGAGAGCAGUGCCAGCAAUAGCAUGUUUAAACCCCUGUGGUGAUGUGAUCUUGAUAGCCUGUGCAGCUCUGAUUUCACUAUGAUGCUGAUACUUUCCCUUCACACAAAGCUCAUUAACCAAUAUAACAUCAAUUGUUGUCCCAUUAACCAAUAUAACAUCAAAUGUUGUCCCAAGACCUUCAACAUAAUUGACCUCCAACAAUGUACACCGCACUUCAUUGAUGUAAGUAAACUUCUCAGCCAUGGAUUUCUGAGACCAAUAGACCAUCAGUGACAACAAAUCAGGAAUGUCUUCACCACUCUUGGCACUUAUAGGUACAAUGCUGUGUGUAUCCCUCAUUCUUUUGUUCUCAUCCAAAUUCAAUUUCAUAUUGAUCCCCUGCGCCUUGAACUGAGUGAUAUCUCCUCAACUUUCUUAUUGACUGAUAUUUCACAUCCUUUCACAUCCUUGUUGACAAUUGGUGCAUUUGGACAAGGAUUCCACCCGCAGAGCCUGUCCACCUUAUUCAAUUGCAACAUUGCAUAAACAAUGCCUGGUAGGAGUUUUAAAACCAAAACCUUGAUAUCUUUACUGAAGACCAUUUUAAAACAUGUUUAACCAAAAACUUAUAUUGGAACCCAAUGUGUAACAGUAGUUAGAAGUAAGAACAGUAACUUGAUGGUUAAAAGGAAAUUGCAGCUUAGAGGAAAUUUUUCUCAAAACAUACAUAACAGACCAAAGCAAUAGAAGGAUACCUAAAUGUCCUUGCUCAAAAUAUAAGCUGAAUCAAACUGACCAUGGACAUAUCUACCAUAUACAACGUGUUAAUCAAUCCAGAUAGAAUAACACUAAGGCUGCUUAUCACCCCCAGCUUAGUCAGUUUAUUAUCAGCAGUGCUGCCAAUAAUGUUUCAUUGAAUUUGAAACAUACAGAGGAAGUUCAUGGACAUUACCUGGAGGAGUAGCCACGAACACAACUCUAUUCUCUUUAGUGAUUCCGAAAACAUCUUUCAGCACCGGGAAUGAGUUUUUCUUCUCAAACCUCCUCAUUUUCUUAUACACUUGUCAAAAAACCGACAAUGCCAUUCGGCUCGCUCAGCUUUAUCUCCUCGAUCCACUCCGCCCAAGUCACAAACAACUCCGAAAAAAGUAACAAUCUGGCACAGGCUACCGUGAAUCCUACUACUUCUUUUACAGCAGAGGCUGGCCUGCCUGCAUAGUAGCCGGUCCGGGCUUGAAGAAAUUAGGUGCCGGUCUGGGACCAUGCCCAACCCUAAUAAACAGCUCGCUUAAAAGAAGGACAACUUGGUCAUUUCUCAAACCAUACCUAAAAAUCGAUGUGUGAGAGAAACACACUGUGCAACGAUGAGUGGGAACCCCCCGGCGAGUUCAAAGAGGGUUGUGUGGGUACCAAAAGCAGCGACCGGGAAUCCUUCUACCCCGACCGUGAAUCCUACUACCCUUGCCGUGAAUCCUACUACCCUUACCGCCGUGAAUCCUCUAACGCCUGCUGUGAAUCCUACUACUUCUAGCGCCACGAUUGUGCAGAGUGCGAUUCUGUGGAGUGAGUUAUCGUGUUACAGACUCAAAGCUGCAGCUUUUCAGUUCCUCGAAGGUUUUUGGUUCCAAAGUUCAAUCGCACCUACUAUGUGUACGAUAACAACAUUGAGGGUACGGCACGGCGGGCCCACCCUCAUUCAUUUUCCCAGCCGAGAGGAGGCUUUAGAGGCGGCCCGAGCUCUAAAGCCAUUACCGAAGUUUCUUCAGCUUGUGAAGAUAGUAGAUCCUAUUCCUUCUAAGAAUCCUUCCGCCAAAUCGUUAUUUUUUCCGAAGUUGUUUGUCACUUGGAUGUAGUGAAUCGAGGAGAUACUUAAAGCUGAGCGAGCCGCUGACGUUGGAGAGAUGACAUUGUCGGUUUUUAGGCAAGUGUAUAAGACAGUGAGGAGUAGGUUUGAGAAAAAAGACUCAUUCCCGGUGCUGAAAGAUGCUUUUAGAAUCACUAAAAAGAAUAGAGUUGUGUUCGUGGCUGCUCCUAUAUGUAAUGUUCUUCAUAAACUCACUUCAAUUUAAAAAGAACAUUACAUGUAGGAGCAGCCACGAACACAACUCUAUUCUCUUUAGUGAUUCUGAAAGCAUCUUUCAGCACCGGGAAUGAGUCUUUCUUCUCAAACCUACUCCUCACUGUUUUAUACAUUUGCCGAAAAACCGACAAUGUUAUCUCUCUAACGUCAGCGGCUCGUUUAGCUUUGAGUAUCUCCUCAAUCCACUACAUCUAAGUGACAAAUAACUUCGGAAAAAAUAACGAUCUGGCAGAAGGAUUCUUAGAAGGAAUAGGAUCUACUAUCUUCACAGGAUGAAGAAACUUCGGUAAUGGCUUUAGAGCUCGGGCCGCCUCUAAAGCCUCCUCUCGGCUGGGAAAAUGAAUGAGGGUGUCGCCCGCCGUGCCGUACCCUCAAUGUUGUCAUCGUACACAUAAUAGAUGCGAUUGAACUUUGGAACCAAAAACCUUUGAGGAACCGAAAAGCUACUGUUUUGAGUCUGUAACACGAUCAACUCACUUCACGGAGUAGCACUCUGCACAAUCGUGACACCAAAAGUAGUAGGAUUCACAACAAGCGUAGGAGGAUUCACGACAGUAGGGGUAAUAGGAUUCACGGCCGGGGUAGUAGGGUUCACGGUCGGGGUAGAAGGAUUCUUGGUCGCUGCUUUCAGUACCCACACAGCCUUCUUCGAACUCGCCAGGGGGUUCCCACUCAUCGCUGCGCAGUGCGUUUCUCUCACACAGCGAUUUUUAAGUCUGAUUUGAGAAAUGACCAAGUUGUCAUUCUUUUAAGCGAGCUGUUAUUAGGGCUGGACACCGUCCCAGACCAGCACCUAAUUCUUCAAGCCCGGGCCCGGACCGGCUACUGUGUAGGCGGGCCAGUCUCUGCUGUAAAAUUUUCCGGGACGGGCAAAAACCCAGACCGACAUAAACCGGGCCAGUCUUGCCGGUUUUCCGGGCUUUUUUUUUCACUCCGCCGCAUCUGGUUCCGAUGAAGCAAUUCAUAGUGAGAAACAUCUGAAAACCAACACAAUCAAACCAACCAUUUGUUGAAAGAUCUCAACUUUACACAAAACUCAAUAGUUAUUGAAAUUAAGAUCGAUUCAUAUACCAAUUCACCGCCGCCGAUUCAGGACUUGUUUUUGCUCUGAGUCAACAGACGAUCUCAUAUACCAAUUCGCCGGCGCCGAUUCGACGUGGACUGAAGAUUGAAGUUACAUGAUCGACUGAGGUGACCGAAACGAGUGUUUGAGAUCUGAAAAUUUGAAGGCUGAAAGGGAAUUCUAUUUUUCUGGGUUCGAUUUCAGAGAGGGAUUUGAUUUUUGAGAGAGAAAUAAUUAUCUUCUAUCCGGCGAAUCGUUGUGUAUAGAAACCAGAAAUUGAAAGACUGAUAUAGAUGGAGAGAGGGAGAGGGAGUGAGUGCCCCAAGCAAAAGCAGAAAACAGCAGUCGGCACUACAGCACUACAGCACAAGCUUUGUCUCUGUACUAGAGAGAGAAACAAGUAUAUAAAGAUAGAGAAGGGAGAAGAGACGAAUACAAAGUGGUAGAGACAGAGAGGUACCGAGCAAUGGAUCCACAAAGGCACUACAGUUAGUACAAGCAUUCUUUGAGAUUAAUUUACAGAGGUGACAAAACUCAACCAGAGGUGCUCUGGUUUGACAAGGAUUGGAGUUCGGCGAUUUGGUUAGGUCGUUAAAGGGGGCGUCAGUGUUGGAUAAGAAAGAAAUAUCCUACUAUAUAGCAUUGGUGUAGGGCCGGGUCGGUUUGCCCUAGACUACUGAAGUGGCCUGUUAUUUGUUUCAUGGAACGAUGUCGUUUGAGUGGUUUUUUUUUUCUUUUCUUUCUCAUUUAUGCUUCACAAAAUGAAAAAGGCGAAAAAAUGAAGUCCCCAGAGACAGAGUCCUCCAACCUGAAGGUUUUCAAAGCUCACAAGGCCUUAAACCACUCUCUCAUAAACCCUAAAACCCAAUUCACCAAAACCCCAAAGAGCUAUGAACCCCCACCUCUCUCAAAAUGAACCCAACUGAAGACCCACAAGCCUUCUUCUUCUUCUUCAUCUUCUCCAAGAUGCUGUUGUUUCUUCGCAAUCUGUUCCACACAAGUUGCAGAGUCUCCUCUCUUCGAGUAAGACCCAAAUACCCAUCAUCUUCAUCAUUAUCUAAUUCCUCUUUUAUCAAUGCAUCAUCUUCCCCUUUGGUUUGGUUCACCAGUUUCUUCUGUAUUAUUCGCUUCCCGUUUGUCACUAAAUCCAAUCCUGAAAUGCUUCCUCAAAACUUAAAUGUUGAAUCUUUGAGUCAAAUUGUUCAGCAUGACUAUUGGGACGAUCCCAGAAUCGUCAAUGUGUUUGGUUCAGCCUUGGCGCCCAUUUGGGUCUCCAGGUUUUUGGUUGAGCUGAGGAAAGAUCCCAACUUGGCAUUCAAGUUGUUUAAGUGGGCGAAAACCCGUACCGGGUUUCGCCACACUACUGAGUCUUAUUGUGUUUUGGUUCAUGUAUUGUUUGUUGGUAGAAUGUACAUUGAUGCCCAUGAGGCUAUUAGGGAGUUGGUAUUGUUGAGCCGGGGGUUGCCGGGUUUCGAUGUGUUUGAUGGGCUGUGGGAGACCAGGAAUGUGUGCCGGCCGGGGUUUGGAGUGUUUGAUGCCUUGUUUAGUGUUUUGGUUGAGCUAGGGAUGCUGGAGAAAGCAAAUGAGUGCUUCUUGAGGAUGAGGAAGUGUAGGGUUUUGCCAAAGGUGAGGUCUUGUAAUGCCCUUUUGCACGGGCUUUCCAAGUCAGGGAAGGGGGAUUUGUCGAGGCGGUUUUUUAAGGAUAUGCUUGGGGCUGGGGUUUCGCCUUCUGUUUUCACUUUCAAUAUAAUGAUUGGAUAUACAUGCAAAGGAGGCGAUAUGGAAACUGCAAGAUGCUUGUUUGCUCAAAUGAAACAGUUGGGUCUUACACCUGAUAUUGUGACAUAUAAUUCUCUUAUUGAUGGAUAUGGAAAGGUUGGACUAUUAGAUGAUUCAGUGUGCAUAUUUGAAGAAAUGAAGGAUGCAGGUUGUGAACCUGACCUAAUAACAUACAAUGCUUUGAUUAAUUGUUUUUGUAAAUUUGAAAAGAUGCCUCAAGCUUUUAAUUUUCUCCGGGAGAUGAUGAGAAAUGGCUUGAAACCGAAUGUCAUAACCUAUAGCACUUUGAUUGAUGCCUUCUGUAAGGAAGGGAUGAUGCUAGAGGCAAUUAAGAUUUUUAUAGACAUGAAACGAGUUGGUCUCUCAGCUAAUGAAUUCACCUAUACUUCUUUGAUUGAUGCAAGUUGUAAAGCUGGAAAUUUGAGCCAAGCACUGAAGUUCAGAAAUGAGAUGUUAGAUGCAGGAGUUAGCUUGAACAUUGUAACUUAUACAGCUCUACUGGAUGGGCUGUGUGAAAAUGGGAAGCUGGAGGAAGCAGAAGGAGUUUUUAAUGAGGUGAUAAACUCUGGGAUAAUUCCGAACCAGGAAAUAUGUACUGCUCUUGUUCAUGGGUAUGUUAAGACUAAGAAGAUGGAGAAUGCUUCAGAAUUCUUAAAGGAAAUCAGGGGGAAAGCCUUUAAACCAGAUUUGUUACUUUAUGGAACCAUCAUUUGGGUCCUGUGCUCUCAAAAUAAGGUUGAAGAGGCUGUGCUUGUGAUCAGUGAAAUCAAGGAUUGUGGUUUAAAGGCAAAUCAUUUCAUUUAUACAACGGUUAUGGAUGCUUAUUUCAAGAGAGGAAACACCAAUGAGGCACUCAAUGUUUUACAGCUCAUGCUGGACAAUGAUAUCGAGGUUAGUGUCGUAACAUAUUGUGCACUAAUAGAUGGUUUGUGCAAAAAGGGGUUGGUCCAAGAGGCCAUCAAUUAUUUUCAGAAGAUGUCCGACAUUGGUUUGCAACCCAAUGUUGCACUCUAUACAGCCUUGAUUGAUGGUCUUUGUAAAAGUAAUUGCAUUGAAGCAGCUAAGGAGCUAUUUAAUGAAAUGCUAGACAAGUGUAUGAUUCCAGAUAAAACUGCUUACACCGCUCUAAUAGAUGGGUACUUAAAGCAUGGAAAUCUUGAGGAAGCUUUGAGCAUGCAUAGGAGAAUGAAAGAAAUUGGUAUGGAUCUUGAUCUGCAUGCAUAUACUUCCUUGAUUUGGGGGCUUUCUCACCUUCGUCAGAUGCAACAAGCGAAAGCAUUCCUUGAUGAGAUGAUUAGGAAGGGUAUAAUUCCUGAUGAGGUUCUCAUUGUUUCUCUUGUAAGAAAAUACUAUGAGCUAGGGAAUGUGGAUGAAGCCAUCGAGUUGCAGAAUGAAUUGCGAAACAGGGGUAUAUGAACUGGAGUUACAAAUUUUGUGGUUCCUAAUGCAAGAACUUCAGCGGGGCUAAUCCCAGCUUGGUUGUUGAGUUGGAUAUAUGAAUUCUCCAUAAAGAAUGGUUUUACUUGCAGUAUUGAAUGGUUUCUGGCUGGAUGGGAUGAUUUCUUGCAGAAGUUGUGCUUCGUGCCACCUGAUGAACUAUGACAACGACCAUCAAGACAUAUUAAAGCUUCUUUAUGGUCUAACCGGCAAACUCUGCUGCUUUCAAAACCUCGAUAUUUUUUCCGGGGUGAGCUUUUCUUCCCUGUCCAGGUGUAUUAUAAAUCAAGUCAGUAAAACUAAUACUUCUUGCUUCUUGAAUCCUUCAAGCUGCUGUUUAAGUACUAUCUAAUUAUAUAAUGAUACAUGAUACAUACGACAGGCGGCAGUGAUAACAGCAAUGGUGAUGGACUGAUGGCAAGGACAGUGUUGGUGUUGCUCAGCAACAGUAGUUCUGGAAAGGACAUGUUGUAGUAGGGUGUGGUAUUCCAGACCAGCAGUGGUGUUGGGACUUGGAGUGUGGCUGUAUUUCCAUGGUGGUGGUAUAUGGUGAAGCCAGUGACAGUGAUGUGGUACAUUACUUGAGGCGGUGGAGGCUUAGUGGUGUCUGUGGAAUGUAUGUCCAGAAUCAAGCACACAAAUGUGGCCUUCACUUCUAUCUUUUCUGUUUCUGAUUUUAUGCCUACGUCGUAUAUAAGUUGGAUAGGUUCCCAAAUCUUUUCAUUUGGUUUUCAGCGGAGCUGUAUGCAAUGCAAUCAGUUUUCCAGUAAUUGACAUCUGGUGAUGAACAGUGUUCAUCAUAUUCAGUAAAUGGUUUAUUGACUUAUUCAGCAAGUGAUGAAUAGUAAAUGGUUCCAACAAUUUUCAGAGAUGUGUUUAUUCCGUAACAUUUAUAUAUCCAUUGGUGUAUAUCAUAGAAGUUUAUUCACUACAUUCACACAGAUCACAUUUAGCUGCCAUUGGUUUAUUUAGUUGAUGGUUUUGCUUGCACAUGGUACCCCUUGUGCCAGUCAUCAGCAGAAAUGCUUCAGACUUUGGGAUUUGCUAAAAACAGUUGCAGAAACGCGUUUUGUAGUCACAGUUGCCAUCCUGAAAAUCUAAACAACGGUGUGAACAAUCAGAAUCCGACCAACAUGGAACACCAAUUUCGAUCGGCAUCCUUGCUUCAUUUCCGGCUAAAACCUGCAGAGUUGGUGAACCUGCACCACCAUAUACACCAAUUCCGACUAAAUUUCAUGUCAUAUAAAAGAAAACAUCAACAUAAAUUUCAAUGUACAGAGGGAGGGAGAGACUAACAACAUGCAGUAACCAAGAGCAUAACAAAGAUGGCCAUUUUCACAGUCGACAUUUUGAAAGCGAAAAUUUACGUUCAGAUUAUUGCAAGCGAGGAUUUUCCUGUUUAUGAGAAUUAAAUUUAUAGUAAGCAUAGACCAUGAUGAGUAUGAUUUGGUCAAAGUAAAACCAACUAUGGUAAUCAACAUAAUUCAAUUCUACAUAUCUCAUUUUGCGACCCAAAUUAAUGGAGCCUAAUACUCAAUUAUGUUCAUACAUGGACCAAAAUUAAUUCAUACAUUCACCAUUAGUAAUCUCUAGAAUGGUAACUUGUGGACAGACAGAUUGGCCAAAUGUCCAUAUAUUUGAAAUGGCUUUAGGUGUCCAGAUUCCAUGCAAAAAUCUAUCCCAAAUUGCCAACUUCAUCUGCCAAUAAGACAUAAAUACAAUUUGAUUGGUAAGAUAAUUUCCAAGGUUUUCCAAUAAAUUACUUUGAAUUCGAUUAGUAAAGUAAUAUAUACAGAACAUCACCAGUCAUGCCUUCUUCUUCUUCUUCUUCUUCAACAAACCCUCUCACUUUUCAAUCUGUCAUAUCAACUCUUUGUAUUGCAGCUAUAUGUUUUCUGACAACAGAAGCAUUAGAUCAUACCAUAUAUGCAAUUCUGAUCCCUAUUUGUUUUGUGAUCUUCCCAGCUGGUGCAAUCGUUGCUCAGAGUAUUGCCGCCGGCCGAUUCUCAAGUCUCUUCUUAUUUCAAACUCAAACACACGAAGCAUGGCAAGAGGGCUCGGAGAUGGUGCUACCACCCCCCACUACUUACAGUAAAUCUCAAUGUGAAUUCGAAUAUGAAGAAGAAGAAGACGGUAGAAGGAGCAGUAGUUGUGUUAUUUGCAUGGAGGAUUUUGUGGAGGGUGAGUCUUGCCGUGUUCUGCCUACAUGUGAUCACAUAUUCCAUUUGACUUGUAUUGACUCUUGGUUGACGCUUCAUCCAUCUUGUCCUAUUUGUCGCAACUCUAUAUGCAAAUGUACUGCUUGUGUCCUAGAUGUUUGAUUUAAUUCUUCAUUCAUGUUAUACAUGAUCAUGGAGAUUAUAGAAUUCAAAUCCUUGUGUUUUUGAUUCAUCCAUAUCAGGAGUUAUUGUGAAUGGUUGAAUCAUUUUAUGAUACUUUAAGACUCUUCAUUGUGGACAAGUAUGUUACUUCUAAAAUGUAACAAUCUUUAGAUUACAAAGAGACCUGUCAUGCAUUAACAACGAUAAAUUAAACAUCUGCAAAUCAAUACUACAUUAUCAAGCUAUUGUGUACUUCAUUAGAAUAAACAUAUGAAGAAUUGUUUAGUUAAUCUUCUUUCUUUCUUGGUUGUUAUUCAAGAUCCCCUAUCUAAAUCGUUUAUCAAAGACAUUGCAUGUCUUAUGAGCUGGGCACAAUGGCACCAUAAUGAAUAUCGUGACACUUAAUUUCAAGUUAAAGGUAGCGAUUGUUAUGAUUUAAUAAAAGCAAGCACAAUUUUUUCCUCUUAAGUAUUUAGUUCUUGAUUGUAGCACAAUUGUUUGAUUAGCAAAAAAGGAUAAUGUGUGAUAAAGCCGUAAAAACCGAAUGUUGUUAGUUGAGUAGAGAUUUGCUCAACUAUGAGUGAACUAUGGUUUCAAGUAGUUUUAUUGUCGUCGCUUCUUAGAUUAUUUCGAUAUAGAGUAUAACUUAUUACUUUAUUAGCUAUUGUCAACUUUAUUCCAAAAUAGUAAAAAAAAAAAGAUUGCUAGAAUUAACUUACAACAGAUGGUAAAUUCCUUGAGAUCAUCGAUCAAGGUUUAAAUGGGCUUUGGGCCUCCAAUGUAACUUUCUGGAUCAAAAUCCGAUCCAAAUCUCGACCACGCAGAGGACCAUCUGAACAAGCGUGAGCUUGCGCUUAUUGUACCCCUACCACCCCACACUAUAUAAACGACUUGGAAGCACAAAGAGGUCAGGCUUGGAUCCAGAACCUGAGGUAUGGUCUGAGGCUUGGAUUCCCUCACACAACUUCCCAGUCUGUAUAGCCGUUACAAUUCUCUUCAACAUCACAACAAUUCAGAAAUGGGGAGUAGGGUUCCGGUGCAGCAGCAGUACACCAUGAGAACGCCGCCGCCGAAUACCUUCCUCGCCGCCGCCAGCAGCCCUCUCCACGACCUCAACGAUCCCCGCUCCGCCAAGCUCGACUCCAUCGCCGCCGACAGCCUCGACAACGACGAAGACGACUCCAGCGCCGGCGUCAGCGACUGCAUCCAUGACUCGUACUCCAACUCUCUGCCGGUUCACGGCGUCGGCGUGGAGGAUGAGCCGUCUAGCCUCGACAACGACGGGUCGUCUAGCUCCAGAGCUCCUCCCUACGACAUCGACAUGGUGUCGCUUCAAGGUAGCCAAAAUCAAACCAAAUUAACCGAAAGUUUUUUAUAGAUCGAGGAAUUUCUAAUGGAUAAAUUGCAUGUACUGAUUUGAAAUGGUUUCGGAGUAGAUGUGUCGCCGAUUGAGUCAGCUAGGGCGAGAUUUCUGCAACUUGUGGUGGAUCAUUUUCUUAGCCAACAUGUGAUCCAAGCGAUUGAUAGUGAGGAUAGUGGCGGCAGUGGUUAUAGUGCUCGGUCUGGGCAAGAUAAGCUUAGUAAGAGGAAGCUUGGGGAGGUACAGGUUGAAGGAGACCCAAGGUUUGCGUUGCCGUUGAUGUAUGUUGCAAAUAUUUACGAAACUUUAGUUCAUGAAGUAGACACUAGGCUUGCUUCCGUGGGUGGAUUUCGCGAAAAGACUAUUGGUGUUGCUCUUGAAGCAGCUGGCGGUUUGUAUAGAUUGCUGGCUAAGAAAUUUCCCAAGAAAGGUAAUGAGUUUUCUUAAUAUGAUAUGUAUGAUGAAUUAAACAAUGUGAAGAGUAAAUGGCCUUAGAGAAAUGUUCUGGAUUUUCCUUAGGACCAUGUACAUUUAGAAGAAGAGAAUUGGCCACUUCUCAUGAAACGAGGGCAAGAUUUCCAGAAUUGGUUGUACAAGAAGAGAGGCGAAUCCGUUUUGUAGUAGUCAAUGGAUUGGAUAUUGUGGAAAAACCAAAUAGCCUACCUAUUGAUGAUGCUGAGUGGUAAAUGCUAAUCUGUUACUAAAUACCUUUACAUGAUUUGUUCACAAGGGAAGUUACCAAGUUGAUCGGACAAGAUUAAUGACUAGUUUGUUUUUUAUUGCAGGUUCAUAAGAUUGACUGGUCGGAAUGAAGUGGCUGUCUCUGCUCGAGACUUUAAGUUCUACUCUCCAAGACACAAGUGUAGGCGUGGUCCAUCAAACUCUUCUCCUAAUAUGCUCAGUUUACCUGUAAGCUUGAUGCCUUGAUGAGAUUUGUUUCUUUAAUAGUUGGAGCUAAUUACAUCACCUUAACACAAGGGUUUGAAUGUUAACUAUACCAUGGAUAAUGGGUUUUGUUGAACAUUUGGUUUAACAAAAUUGUAGUGACAUAGGUCUUAGAUCCCUAUACAUCUUACAAUCUUACAAUAUUUUUCAUUGCCCUAUAGUAUGCUCGAUCUAAUCAUAAUAGCGUUAAAACUUCAUUAAAGAAAUUAUGUGGGUGAGCUUUGUCGUUAUGUCAUAAUUGUUCCACUUUACUAAAUAACUUGAAUGCGGACAAUUCAUCCAUGUGAUUUAUCCUUUUCAGACGUAUCCUGGACCUGACAAUUCCUCUAUGUUGGCUGCUGCCCAAGGAUUCCGCUCCAUAAAUGAAGUAAGUGUCAACUCUACUGAUUAUUGUUUUAUAAUUUGAUCAAAUUAUCAGUAUAUUGAAAAUUAAUUGCAUUUCGGAAUGACAUGAGCAGGGCUGGAUUCAAAAUUGAUCUUGGCCCUUAGGUUUGAUAUCAUGAUCCUAAGAAAGGGAAUGCUUCAGUGAAUAGAUUUGGGAGAUGACUUUUCUUAUAUAAAGACAAUAGGUAUUCUAAUUUAGUGUUUCAUCAUCAUGCCAAUUUUACAAUUCUAAGUGUUUAUCUGCUAGAAAAUAAACAAAUUGUGUAUGUGUAGGUUGAAUUCGCCAAUUCGACCACAUUAAAUUAACACAAGUUAUUAGGUUGUGUGGGCACAGAUUCCAAUUUUUGGUAUUGUGAACCUAUUGACAUACUUGGAUCUGUACUGAUAUAAAAAUGACAACAGCAAGACUUUCAUCUAUUUAGGUACGAAGUGUGGUGUGGGUAUCUUUCACCUCAGAUUCUAAAGUGGCCAUUUAUUUUGGAAAACUACUAAAUGAAUUAGUGUUGCUCAUUUUGUUUUAAUGAGUUAGCUAUUGUGCUUCCCUGAAUGUUCUUGUUGAUAAUGUAUAUCUGUGUUUCUUGUCCUGGCAGCCACAAAAUCAGCCGGAGACUCCAUCCAAGCAUCAUCAUAUGCAACCUCUAUCACUCCAGUCUCAGUUUCAAACUGUUCACCAGAACCAUCACCAAUCCAUGCACCAAAGUCAACACUCUGUUCACUAUUCCCAAAACCAUGAAUGCGGUCCAACCUCGCACCUCCCUGAUAUAGCUCAUGCUCACCAUUCGUCAACCUUAUCGCAACACAUGGCUUGCUUACAACAUGUAGGGGGACGCUUACAUGUAAUGGUGAGUCUUUAUUGCUUUUCAUAUUGAUAUCAAAGCAUUUGAAAGAUCCUCUACAAAAUAUCGGUUGCCAUACUAUAGUGUUACUAAUAAGGCAAAUCUAUAAAUUACAGCUGCGAUGAGCACUUAUGGUAGUUCGUUAUUCACUUUCUUCUGCUGAUGCCAUUGUUAGAACACUCCAUUUUACUCAUUGUUCUAAAUACUUCGUAAUGAAUCCACUACAGCCAAAGGUUUUGUGUUUACAAAUGUUAAUCGUCAAACUCAGUAUACUAAACAUCAUUGUUUCUUUCUUCCUCUUUUUUAGACAAAGUUGUGCUUACUACUAACCCUUUUAAAUUGCUCUUUAUGUCAGCCAUCCAACCCCGCCAAGUUUUGCGACGAAUGCGGCACCCAGUACCUAAGAGAAACCUCCAAAUUCUGCUCCGAAUGUGGCGUCAAGAGAUUGGGUAUCUAAUCCCAUCUCUCCUCCAAAUCCCUUCUCCCCCAUCCCCAGCCUGACAUUUCCAUUUUCAAAGUCACGUUGGUUCCAAAAACAAACUCUGUGUAAAUUUGUAACUUAAUGUAACUUAAUGUAGCUGCUCGUCCAUAGGCAUCAUUUCACCAUUGAUGCCUCCAUAGAAUGUUGCAAAACCAAUUUGUUGGUAACAUGUCACUAUUACAGUAAUGAAUCAGUUUCACCUUCCUUUUUACUUCUUUUGGUUUUUGAUGAACUAUGAAGGUAGGUGAAUCAUGGAAUGGAAUUAAAUUUCACAUGUGCAAAAAUUAGUGUAAACUCCUAUGCCUGCCACGCUGCAAGCAUUAGAAAGGUGGUUGGUAACUUGUAAGUAUCAAGCAAAAAUUAGAUUCGGCAGUUCAGGUCAAACAAUAAUACCCCCAGCCAAACUAGCUCUCUCUCUUUUGGUACUCUCACUCACUUAAACCCCCAAAGCUUAUAGAGACCCAGUCAGUCUCAUCUGCUCAGCUCCCCCAAUUCAACCAUGAACUCACCCUCAACUCUAGCCUCCUCCUCCUCCUCCUCUUCAUCUCUCUUCCGUAUUAACCACCUCACUCCCACCAAACCCACCCCAACUUCUCUUCUCCGUUUUGCCCCUCCACUUUCCCAUAAUACCCUCAAAGUCUCCGCCUCCACCAACAACUCCGUCCUUCAAACCGCCAAGCAAUACGCCAAAACCGCUAUCCUCAUCGGCGUCACCGCCACCGUCUUCCACCACCACUCCAAACUCCUCGCGCGUGCCGACCACGCGCCGCCUCCUCCCCCGCUCACCGAACCAGCUCCAGCUCCAGAUGAGAGCCACCAGGCCUCUCCGCUGUCCGAUUUCCUCGGCUCCAACGCCGACGCCGUCGCCGCGCUCAAGUCGCUGCUCCAGCAGAAGCUCGAGAGCGGCGAGGACGACGAGGCGCUGAAGAUCCUGCAGCGCCUGGCGGAGGCGCAGCCGGCCGUGACGGAGUGGAAGUUCCUGACGGCGAGGCUUCUGAGCGAGAUGGGGGAGACCGGGAGUGCACGCCAGGUGUUUGAGGAAAUUCUCGAGACGAAUCCGCUGUCGUUUGAGGCCUUGUUUGAGAACGCAUUACUCAUGGACCGCUCCGGCGAGGGCCACGCAGUGAUCAGGCGGCUGGAGGAGGCGCUGAGGGUGGCGGAGGAGGAGAACAAGGUGAAGGAGGCGAGGGAUGUGAAGCUGAUAAUGGCGCAGAUACAGUUCUUGCAGAAGAAUGUGGAAGAUGCUUUGAGUAGUUACAAUGAGUUGGUGAAGGAGGAUCCUAAGGACUUUAGGCCUUAUUUUUGCAGGGGAAUGAUUUACAGCUUGCUUGAGAGGAAUGAUGAGGCGAAAGAACAGUUUGAGAAGUAUCGGCAGCUUUCACCCAAGAAGUUUGAGGUGGAUGGUUACUUGAGAUCGCCAUUGUCAAGAAUCAAGCUUUUCGGCAGCGAUGAGAAUUGAGUUGAGUUGGCUCAACUCGAUGCUUUUACUUACAUUGUUAAACUUCUGUCAUCUGUUGUUUUUGAUUGAGACUUCACUGGAAGUCGAAAAUAAGAGGCUAGACAUUUUUGUUCAUUCGAUUUAGUAAUAACAUCAUGAUAUAAAAUGCAGCAACCACAGAUAAUCUGUUCUGAGUUACAUUAUAAACAAACAAGUUUCAGGCAAUUUACAAGGUAUAUAAACUUCAGGGCAUGUGGCAGCUAUUUCCGCCCGCCUUUCUUCUUGUUUUUCUUGUUCUUGCCCUUUGUCUUGUUCUUGGCCUUGCUUCCAGCUUCUUUACUGCCGGAUGGGGUGGAAGCAUUGACAUCUUGUUGGCAUGUCGGAUUUGACUCACUGGAUGCGCAGUUUUCCUCGCCUUCUGUGUGGCUGUCUUCGGCAUCACACUGCUUCUCAGCUGACACUUUGGAUAUGCAAUUACCCUCAUCUUUACUGUGACUGAAUUCAGCUUCACAUUGCGUUUCAUCUGCAACAUCAGUCUCUUUUACCAAGCUGGAGUCUGAAGGAGAAAGUUUAGAACUCUUUUCUCCUUCAGAAUCAUUUGCAGAUAGUACACCACUGCAAGAACUACUACCUCCAACUUCAACAGAUCCAACUUGGGAUGGUGCAACUUGAACGACAGGCAGCUUUGGAAACCAUUUUCUCAAUAUGUCAUCCUUGGACUGGUGGGCCGUCAUGUCGACAAAGAUGGCAUCUGAACAGAAAAAUCUUGAACAAUCAAGCCCAAAACUUGCAACUACCAAAGUAUUAUCAAUCUUCUUGAGAGCUCCAGCAAGCACAUUCACAUUUAAGCUGAGAGAAUUGGGUUUCCUCCUCCUCCUAAGUGCAUCGAAAAAUUCCCAUGGUAGGAGAUCAGUGAUAUAUUUCCUCCCCAGCAAAUCAUGGAUUAUAUCCAAACACGAGCCAAAGUUCAAAUUAAUCAAGCAUAAGACAGUAACCAAUCGCAACAUGAGUGGCUGAUAAUAUUUCCUCCAGUUUUUGUCAGACCUCUUAAUCCAUUCAAUCAUCAUAUUCUCCUUGUUGUAAAUACAAUCGCGAACCACACCAAUCACAAAUGGAAGAGUGCCUCCCAGAGCAGGACGUCCACCAGUCACUGUGCAACGUAAGCUGGUAUCUUCAUCCUGAUAUAUCAGCCAUUCGAUAAAGCAAGAACUUGUACUGAUAACCAAACCUUGAAAGCAACUUGCUGAGAGCAGAAGGCGCUCUACAAGAUACAAGAAGCAACCAGGUGAUAUGUAGUCGGAAACCUUCCUCCAGUUGGCACUGUAAGUUUCAACCAAAGCCUCAUGUAACCAACGCAUGACAGACAACUUCAUUGGUUGCAGACUGGUAUUUCCAGGUUCAGUGCUCACACAUAGAUUCUCAAUGAAGGCCUUCCAUGGGGCAUGGCAUUCAAGUUUUUUCACAAGCUUAUCAGAGAGCUCAGCAUUCGGCUUACCUAACCCGAGAAUGAUCAUUGUGAUCCUUCCAAUCUGGCCAUAAGACAGCUCAUUCUUCGAGCUGGCAUAUUCAACUAUAACUUGAUUCAGCAUGUUCUUGGAAGCAUCAGUUCUUCUAAGAGAAAUCAUGUUUUGUCUCAACAAAUUCUUCCCAUCUAAAGGAAAGAUGUAAGCAACAUACUCCCCAGUUGAAAAUGUUACAUGCUUCUGCAGGGUCGACAUAUCUUGAUACCAUGGCUUCAGACACUUCGAAUCCAAAAGAUUCCUUGCAACAUCAUAAAUAAGGGUAAGAGCCCUGCACUGGAAGAAUGUUGAGUCAGAGUUCUUUGGUGGGAACUUGAAAAGUGCUUCAACCUUUUCCAAAACUUUGAUGCCAACAGAGAGCAGUUCUGAACUCCAAUAAUUCUGAGCGGCUGGAAUGAGCUGGUGAGCAUCAAUGGAGACCAACUUAUUAUAAGUUUUCAAAUGCCUUUUGUCCAGACCUCUGACCCAAUCAGCAUCAGGGACCAGUAAAACAUAGAUUGGAUUCAGAUUCUGAUACAACCGCCAAACUCCUAAACAAGUAAAACAGAGCUCUACAUAGCUAUUGAAUUCUGGAGUUUCCAAACAUCCUACAGAUUCAAUAAUGUGGAUAAUGUUCUCCUUCCAUAAAAUCCAGUAAUAGGCAAGCGAAUCAAUGGAUACCUGAUUUCUAGAUAUACAGUCUUUUGAAUGCUUCACAACAUCUCCAGUCAAUUCUUUCUCCCAAAAAUACUUGUCAGUUCUUGAAGAGAGAUGUGCAUCCAAAAUUUUUCGAGCUGACAACACUUCACCUAUAAUACUUUUAUGUCUUUGAGAAGCAUCCAUGUGAUGAUUCAAACCAGCCAAAUUAUCCUGCCCAAUUCAGUAAAAUCUCCGACUCGGUGCAAACCAGCUUAUAAACAUUAUCUUCCCCAUUCUUGNNNNNNNNNNNNNNNNNNNNNNNNNNNNNNNNNNNNNNNNNNNNNNNNNNNNNNNNNNNNNNNNNNNNNNNNNNNNNNNNNNNNNNNNNNNNNNNNNNNNNNNNNNNNNNNNNNNNNNNNNNNNNNNNNNNNNNNNNNNNNNNNNNNNNNNNNNNNNNNNNNNNNNNNNNNNNNNNNNNNNNNNNNNNNNNNNNNNNNNNNNNNNNNNNNNNNNNNNNNNNNNNNNNNNNNNNNNNNNNNNNNNNNNNNNNNNNNNNNNNNNNNNNNNNNNNNNNNNNNNNNNNNNNNNNNNNNNNNNNNNNNNNNNNNNNNNNNNNNNNNNNNNNNNNNNNNNNNNNNNNNNNNNNNNNNNNNNNNNNNNNNNNNNNNNNNNNNNNNNNNNNNNNNNNNNNNNNNNNNNNNNNNNNNNNNNNNNNNNNNNNNNNNNNNNNNNNNNNNNNNNNNNNNNNNNNNNNNNNNNNNNNNNNNNNNNNNNNNNNNNNNNNNNNNNNNNNNNNNNNNNNNNNNNNNNNNNNNNNNNNNNNNNNNNNNNNNNNNNNNNNNNNNNNNNNNNNNNNNNNNNNNNNNNNNNNNNNNNNNNNNNNNNNNNNNNNNNNNNNNNNNNNNNNNNNNNNNNNNNNNNNNNNNNNNNNNNNNNNNNNNNNNNNNNNNNNNNNNNNNNNNNNNNNNNNNNNNNNNNNNNNNNNNNNNNNNNNNNNNNNNNNNNNNNNNNNNNNNNNNNNNNNNNNNNNNNNNNNNNNNNNNNNNNNNNNNNNNNNNNNNNNNNNNNNNNNNNNNNNNNNNNNNNNNNNNNNNNNNNNNNNNNNNNNNNNNNNNNNNNNNNNNNNNNNNNNNNNNNNNNNNNNNNNNNNNNNNNNNNNNNNNNNNNNNNNNNNNNNNNNNNNNNNNNNNNNNNNNNNNNNNNNNNNNNNNNNNNNNNNNNNNNNNNNNNNNNNNNNNNNNNNNNNNNNNNNNNNNNNNNNNNNNNNNNNNNNNNNNNNNNNNNNNNNNNNNNNNNNNNNNNNNNNNNNNNNNNNNNNNNNNNNNNNNNNNNNNNNNNNNNNNNNNNNNNNNNNNNNNNNNNNNNNNNNNNNNNNNNNNNNNNNNNNNNNNNNNNNNNNNNNNNNNNNNNNNNNNNNNNNNNNNNNNNNNNNNNNNNNNNNNNNNNNNNNNNNNNNNNNNNNNNNNNNNNNNNNNNNNNNNNNNNNNNNNNNNNNNNNNNNNNNNNNNNNNNNNNNNNNNNNNNNNNNNNNNNNNNNNNNNNNNNNNNNNNNNNNNNNNNNNNNNNNNNNNNNNNNNNNNNNNNNNNNNNNNNNNNNNNNNNNNNNNNNNNNNNNNNNNNNNNNNNNNNNNNNNNNNNNNNNNNNNNNNNNNNNNNNNNNNNNNNNNNNNNNNNNNNNNNNNNNNNNNNNNNNNNNNNNNNNNNNNNNNNNNNNNNNNNNNNNNNNNNNNNNNNNNNNNNNNNNNNNNNNNNNNNNNNNNNNNNNNNNNNNNNNNNNNNNNNNNNNNNNNNNNNNNNNNNNNNNNNNNNNNNNNNNNNNNNNNNNNNNNNNNNNNNNNNNNNNNNNNNNNNNNNNNNNNNNNNNNNNNNNNNNNNNNNNNNNNNNNNNNNNNNNNNNNNNNNNNNNNNNNNNNNNNNNNNNNNNNNNNNNNNNNNNNNNNNNNNNNNNNNNNNNNNNNNNNNNNNNNNNNNNNNNNNNNNNNNNNNNNNNNNNNNNNNNNNNNNNNNNNNNNNNNNNNNNNNNNNNNNNNNNNNNNNNNNNNNNNNNNNNNNNNNNNUAAUCUCCAUCUCUUCAUCUGUAACUUCAAAUGGAAGAUCCAACUCUCUACCCUCACGGUCUGACAACAAGUGGUUCACUACCCCAGACGACAAGGAAUAAAAUUUCAUCAGUAACAAACUCUCGCUAACCUGUGAGUUCUCAACAUAGCUUCUACAAUCAGAAGUGUCACCAACUAAAUCACUCUGAGCUUCACUGAUGUUAAGAUCCUUAAACCGGGAAAAUUGCAAUGAGGGUGGCCAGGUUUUUGGAACUUCUAGAUCACUGGUUACAAGUGACGAACAAUAAAAUCCAAUAACUAGUUAGAACUACAGAAAGGAGGGCUCAUAAAUAUUAAAUUAAAGGCAUGCCAACAAAAAUAGAUGGUUAAACAACAUACCCAUCAAGACACUUCUCCUUGCAAAGAUUAAUGAAGUCAUCAGUAUAUCUGUUGAAAAUACUAUCCAGGCGGUUUAUCAACUUUGGAAUAUCCUCCAGAGGCAAUAUGUCCCAGAUCUUUAAUACUUGAACAUAGCUCAAGUUCUUUGCAAUAUCAUUAGUGCAAACAAUGUAUAAGCGUUCAACCUUAAAUUUCUUCAAGAUCAUAGAUGAGCUACCACAACUUGUCUCAAAAUUUUGCUUCUUAGGUCUCCAACCACUGGAAAGAUUCAGUAGAAGAUGUAGCACUGACUUCUGCAAGCGGACUGAUGUCAGUUUNNNNNNNNNNNNNNNNNNNNNNNNNNNNNNNNNNNNNNNNNNNNNNNNUUGUAAGUGAGACAUUAACUCUUUGCGGUUUUGAAAUGAACUGAAGUGAUUGAUGGCUGUUGGAUCGUACAGUGGAAAUUAUAACUAUGUCCUCUUCCCACCUUGGAAUCCAUCAACUGUUUUUACCUUCACUACAAAGCCAUCAAGCUUAUCAUAUUUCCCACCCACUCUGUCCUUAAUUGCCACCACUUGAGCAGCAUAGGGAGAUACUAUACCAAUACUAAGUCUCUGUUUUGAUUCAACCCAUCCUGUAUACAAAGAGAGAGCCAAAAGAAAAUAUUAAACUAACACAAUACAUGCAUAAGACUUUGGCAAUGUUUGACAUCGUAAUGGUUUGAAAAUAUAACCCUACUAAAUGCGUACUUCUUGAGUUGAAACUCAUGCAAUGGAGACUUGCAUGAGAAGUGCUGAAGCAAAUUGCACACAGAUUUAAACAAAAAAAUAAUCAGCCAUACAAAGCCAGUUAUGUGGUACUACCACUUGUUCAGAAAGAAGAAACAAUACAUUUCUUGCAGUUCAAGUCAUUAUUCUCUAGUGAACAAAGUAAUGUAAAUUUUUAAACUGAAGCAUAAACAGCAUCGAUUUGGAAAUCCCAACUAAUAUAUAUACUGAGAUGACAAACAUGAAGAAGAAUCUCCUGUUAGACAUACCUUUGUACAGAUUCCGCAGUAUUUUUGAAACAACAGCAACCUCCACCAUAUUCUUCCGACUACGUCCAUCCUCAUCUUUCUCCUCUCUUCCACCAAUCACAUUUAUAAAAGAAUACGGACCAAACAUUGCUCCUGGAAGAUAGUGUUUCUCGUGGCUUCUUCGUUUUACAUUUGGAGCAUCCAGGAUCAAGUUAGAAUAGAAACUUGAAUUUGGGAAUAAACUUAUUGAUGGAUGCAUUCUGUAUUGCACAUUUAAUAGAUGUUUUGAAUGACCCAUUAAACUUAACCUCUCAAACAAGCUUCUUGCAAAACCAGCUUCAUCAGAAACCUAUAGAAAAUAAAAAAGCAGAUUUUGUAACAAGUUAGAAGUACAAUAUGAAUUUAUGAGAAGAGAAGGAAAGAAUAUAGCAUCAACAUACAUUACUUGUUACAGUAGCUGGUAACUGACAUUCAUCACCAACAAGAACAGCAUGCUUCACACCUGGAAGUUGCAGGGGUAUUGUUGACUCACACUCUUUUAGCUGUGCAGCCUCGUCAAUAACAACAAUACUUAGUGGCUGCAUUGCCACUCUGUGCAGCUUAUAUGAACUAGAUGCAGUGCAAAAUAUUAGAGUUGCUCUUUGAAAACAGAACUCCCGUAUAGAAUCCUUGCUCCUAAUAUUUGGAAGUUUAAGCUCACUAAGAGAAUCCCGUAAAGUGCGUAAAGCUAUAAGGCAAUCCUUUCUCAUCGUCCAAAGAUCAAAGAACUUGUCUACUAACGACUUAGACACAUCUUCAACAUCUGAAUGGGAAAAGAGUUCUUCCAAGGCUUCAGAAACAACAUUAUCUUGAGACAACAACAUUGUCUUAAAGGAUUCAACUUUCUGAACAAGUGAAACCAAGUCUUGGAAAUUAUCUUCCGGAAUAUAACUUUUCCCUAUAUGAGUACAGAACACAGAAAUGCAACAUCUUAACGGCACUGCAGUAGAGACAAAUCUAUCUCUCAAAAAUUCGACAAAGGUUUUGCACUUCAACUUUUUAACUUGAGCAACUCUUCUGCAUUCAUUAUCUUUCAUUUCACUAACAGUUGUUUGUUCCGUCUCUUUGGUGAAUUCAUUUUCCAAGAAAAUAUGGUAGUCAGAAACACAAUCCUCAAGUAAACCUAUCAUGGAAGCAAAGCAAUGCCUCCAACCAGUCGUUGGCCCUAAACAAUCUUCUAGCCUUUUGAUACGGCAAUCCAUAUAAAUUUCUUCAAUCUCUGAACCAAUUUUGAGUCGCUCCUUAUUCCCAAAUAGAAGAAUCUCUCCUAGAGAACAAACCAAUUCUUUUGACUCUGCUUCAUGCACCAUUUUCACAAGACGAGAAGCAACUUCAGUUAUUGCAACAUUUGUUGGAGCACAGAUAAGAGUCCUAUAUUUCAUCUGUAGCAGGGUUGAAAGCAGAGUAACCGUGGUUUUUGUUUUGCCAGUACCAGGAGGUCCCCAGAUAAGUUCAACGGCAGACUUCUCACCAUAACGCAGCAUUUCAAGGCAGGCCAACACUGCCCCAGUUUGGGACUUAUUUAAUCCAGAUAAUAGACUCUCAGCUAUACUCUGAUUCCAGAUGUUAUUAUUCUUUUCAGAGCAGAAAUCUGUCUGAACCUAUUACCAAGCAUAGCAUAUUCAGUCAGUUCCAACAAUAAAUAUAAGCUUUUAAUCCAACUACAAAAGUUCUCUCGAUUCAAAAUCAACUGGUAUAAUUAGAUGGGAGGGAUACAAGGGUAAAGAAAGUCAAAACAUGUGAUUGCAUCAGUCAAUCAAUCCAGUAUAUAUAGUUUGAUUAAUAUAAAUCAAUUACUGUUCAAAUCAAAGAAAGUCAAAUCAUGUAUUGCAUCAGUCCCUAAAUCCUAGGAGGAAGACAUUGUGUCAGAAUUAUUAGGGAAUUAUCUUGAUAAUUAUGAAAACCUACUGAUUCAUCCCAUAUUUGUUCAUGUUGUUGUAGCUCUAUAACAAAACCUACAAUGCUGAUUAGUUAAACAAGAUAACAAAACAAAACCUCAUUACCAUUGAAUCAGUGCACAGAACUCCGUUGAUAAUCUUCAGAUUUCUGGACAUGUGCAAUGCUUUCCAAACUCUUCCUUCAGGGAUCAAAUUAACCAAGAAAACUAUAAAAAGUGAUGUCCUGAUAUUUUCGACUUCAAACUCUUUCGAUGCCUUGACUUUAAAAUAAAGAGAGGUACUGUCAUCUUCAUUCUCACUUUCUGAGACACUAGUGGCCGAUGCAAAAGCCCAUGACCUUCCCACCCUUUGUAAAUCAGAAACAGUUUCAGGUUUAGCAUCUGCUAAAACAAAAAGAUCACCAGGCAAAGUUUUAUAUGGCUCCUUGCCUCUAUCACUGAACCUGUUUCGCCAGUAAUCAACCUUGACAUCAUAUAGCUUUGUUCCAUAUGGCUUCAAUUCUUCAAAACCCACUACUUCAGCAAACGGUGCUCUAUUAAGAGUUUCCAUACUUGAAUGCACUUCUGCUCGAGUUUCUUCCAGUAAAGGAUAUAUAUAAGACCCAAAGUAAUGCUGAGCCGAUUGAAAUGAAUUAGGAAUCUCCUUCACCUAAAAAUGUGAAGGCACAGAAUAAGUACUCUUUCGGAUACAGCACAUAAUGAUAUCAUAGAAGUUAAACUAGUAUACUUUAACACGAACACUACAAUGUGAUAGAAAAUUAAGUCAAAAACAGACAAUUCUUAUAGUAAUCCAAACGCCUUUGUUCAAUGCUAUCCAUUAUUCCUGGUUUAGCCUGAAUUCCUAAAGUAAAUUUAGAAGAUAUGCAAAACCAAUACCUCUCGAUUUGCGAUUUGGGCCAUUUUAUUCAUGGGUAACGCUUUUCCUUUAAUUUUAACAACAUGAUCAUAUUAAAACGUGAAAAAAAUGGGCUACAUUAGAAAGCAAGCUCCUUUCAUAGGCAAUACGGGUAUUCCCCAUUACCAAGAAGAAAGCUGCAAUACCAAUCUCAACAACGUUUGAAGAUACAGAGAAUCCAGAAUGAUGACAAGAGAAGAUAAUAAUCACAUAAAGCAACAACCUUUCUUAACAAAAAAACAAAAACACGAGAUUUAUACUAUUAAAAAGUGGAAGCAAAUACCUUGUCUUUGUAAAGAUCCUCAUUGAGAAUGUCCUCCAGGGACCAAGAAAACACAGUAUCAGUGAAAGGUUCAGGCUUCACCUUCUUCUUGCCUGAAACCUCCAUCAUCUCCACCAAGACUCAAGUUUUUCUUCUCUGCCUUCUUCAACACAAAGCCUAUGUUUCUGAACCGUUUCACAGAAAACCCACUUCUUAGAUUUUGAUAAAGAUGAGAGCUUUGAAGUUUGAACAAAGAAAAGAGACAAGUCUAAGAAUCUAUAACAGGAUGAUCACUUCAUGCAUUGUUAUAGUACAAGUGAUUCCAAAACUAAAAUGCUUCUGGAUUAGAGCUUUGAUCAAAGCACAAGUGAUUCCAAAACCUCAUGAAUGAAAGAAAGAAAGAAAGAAAGAAAGAACGAAGAUUUCUCAAAAAAAGAAAGAAGAAAGAAAGAGUGAACAGUGAUGAGUAAAGCCUCUCUUUUCUUUUUUUUUCGAAAAGCGACGAGUAAAGCCUCUGAUUUCUACUUAGAGGAGAAGUUCUUCUCAUCAAUUGGCUGGUACUUAAUAACGCUCUCUUAGCCUCUUUCAAUUGACCAUUUGACCUCAGAAAUGGUUUUCUUUCUUGAGAUUAAAAAGAUGGUCCUAAAAAGAAACACAAAGUCCACUCGGACAAGUCUUCUUUUAAAUUUUUAUGCAAGAAACUCAUUGGGAAACGGGACAGGUUUUCACGAAAGUAUCAAACUGGUCAUAUGAGGAAAAAGCAAAGUACUUUUUUUUUUAACUACAAGACCUCCCCAGAUCAAAGCUUAGCCAUGAAGGCAUGAAUGAUACAAACAACUCUCUACAAGCCUGUUGAAUGCGCUCGACUAUAAAAAAUGAUGUUCUUACAGAGGGAAAAAGAGAGUAAAAGUUGAUACCUGAAUCAACAAUGGUGGACUUCACAGUUGCUUUUGGUUUACAUAUAUAUGUUGAAUAUACCAGCUUGUUACUUUGUGUUAAUACCGAGCGAGAUUAUAACGUGGAGAAAUGUGAAAGAAGGGGUCUCAUUAGUUUCCCAAUAAAUACAUAUGGAAAUAUCAGAGGUUGGGCAAUUGGUGAGGCUACAGCCUCUAGGAAAUUGAAGGGAAAUUUUACGAAUGAAUUUAAUUUAUUUUGAAGUUACACGGCAUUUGUAUUCAUAGUUGACGCCCGGCCUGUUUGAGUUACAUUGUUUAACCAAAUCAGACUAGUUGUCGGGUUGAUACUUCAUAGCCUAAUGACGUAGAUGAAUAAUCGAUAAUGAAAAUGUAUCGAAAUAGCAAAGUUUAGCUCAAAACAUAUACAUAUAUACUAUUACAUUUGGUUUUGUAUUGGUACAUUGAUAUACGACUAUCAAAGACACCUACAUGAAUUCAUAUGAAAGUAUGAAACUUUAUUUCAAAACAUACAAACCAGUUACUAAUGCAUGUAUGCCAACCUCGACUAGCUAGGACAUCGGAUUCUCAAUCCCAACCAACCAAUUGAAGCAAAAAACCAUCAUAGCACCAAAGUAAUUCCCCACAAGAAAACAAAAACAAAGAAAGUACAUCCUACAUAACAUUGUAAAUAGUAAAAUAGAUAAACAUUUCAGAUAUUAAAAAGUUGGGCAUAUACACUAAAGUAACAUUUGAAUGUACAAAUGAUAAAAAAAAUCUUCAAUUGUUCCGUAUGAUAAAAAAUCUUAUCUUACAUGAUAAGAUGGUCACCUUAAUACAUAUCAAAUGAUAAAAUGUUCACUCUAAAUGAUAAAAUGAUUCAUUUAGCUAAUUUUCACAUGACCAUUCUACCCUGCCAUCAAUAGUACCUUUUUUCUCUUUCACUUUCAAAAACGCAUCACCUCUCUCUCUCAUCAGAUUCGAUUCAAGAUCCGAAUAUGGAUCUGGAGAAACCAUAGGUUCCCUUAUUCGCAGACGAUCUAUAUAUACACUAUAAGAAGCAGUAGAAUAUGAUUGCAUGUCAUGUUGACAGCUUAAUUUAGAGCUUCCACAAAACAACUUGUGAAGAAAUGGCACAAUCUGGAAAUGAAUUAUAGCUAAAACUGAGUCAGGAAGAACCAAGACAUGCCACGGAAACUUGUUGAUUAAGAAAACAUUGAGGGUUGGAAUAUGCACAUUCCUGACGAUGAUCUGCAUAUGAAGCUUGGUAUUACCCUGUUGACAUGCAUAUGAAUAAACCUUGCAGUUUAAGUGCAUCUUAGUCAAUAUCUUAUCAUAUACAACUAGAGCGAGCAAAAAGUUUGAGAUAACCUGUCAGACUAUUUGAAGACAUGUAUUCCAUCAUUUACUCUCUUAAAAUAGGAUUUGGCUACAUGUAUAAUGUAGAUGAAGAGGAUUGUUCAAACCUAGCAAACACGCUAUUCAUGAAAACAGACAAAGUAAAAGGUAGGAAACAUCUAAGAGAUAGCAUAACAGAAGUACAAUUUAUUUAGCUGAAUGCACACCAUCCAGACAGGAAACAGAAUCUUGGCAUGGAAAACUUGUGGUGGGCGGUGGCAUCUUGUUCUCAGGUGGUUUAGAAAUGAUUGUAGACUCUGAAAGAAUCUUGGAGGGGCAAGUUCUGGGCCAGUGGUCACAUACCUUGCCACAUAAAUAACAAAACAUGGGAACAGGUUGCUUGCUGCCUCCUUCACUCAUCUCACCAUUGGCACCCAUACUGUAGAAAUAAGAACCCAUAACCCACCCUGGUUUCAAACCAUCGGGGCCUGGUCGGCGUGCCUUCUCACCUGUUAAAUACAUUAUUAUUAUUAUGUAACUUGAAUAAAUCGGUGCUAGUGACAAAACCUAAAUCAAAGAAUUGAUUGAGCAUGAUUUGGAAUUCUUUCUGUUAUCGUAUACAUAUAGAUGAAUGCAUGCACAAAGCAAACUACAAAACCCCUAAAACAGUAAUUAAUUUUUCCAGGAGAUCGUGGGUAAACAUAUAUCUUAAGCCUCGUCAAUGUUCUAAUCAAGAAAAAUAUAAAUCGAGUUAAGAUCAUACCGUCUUCUUCAUCCCAUUUGCGACUGAGCUCGUCAAAAAGUUCGCAAGUAAACCUUCCCCUACUGUCCUGAGUUUCCUCCAUGCCUGCCAUGGCGGAGAGAGAUUGUAUUCGUUCAGAGAUCAGGUUUUAGACUCAUAUUAUACGCCGAGGUUCUCAUAUUUAUACUCCUCUAAUUUUUGUAAAAAUUAAUUUCCGAUUUUAGCCCUUCUACAGAUUUAAAAAAAAAAACUCUAGUCCCCCACGAACAAGUUAUAUCAAGACCACCAAUUCUAUGUUCUAUGUUCUAUACAAAGCCAUAGAGAUAAGAGUCAUAUAUAGGACAUGUUUGGUUAAAUGUAUUGAUUUGGGUCUUGUUAAGCACUGUAUUUCAUUUUGAUUUGAUGACUUAGAUUAUAGUACACAUUGGUUUUCACCCAAAAUUGAAUGUUUUUACUUUUUCGACCAAACUUUUCUUGUUAUCAAGUCAUAAUUUUUAAAUAUUUCUCGAAUUGAUGUAAUUCGGAAAUCUCAAUCGGAUUCGUGUUUUACGGAACUCGCUUUAUUUGAGUCACUCGCCUUUCCUAUAGCACCCAAAAUCGAAUGUUCUUAUUUGUCGACCAAAUUUUUUGUAUUAUCAAAUCAUGGUUUGAUAUGGGGAUUCGGCAACAUUUUUGAUUCUGGAGUUGUUUCAGUAAAAACACAACUGAAGGAAACUCAUGCAACUAAUCAGAAAUUCUCUUUGAUCUGAUAUGUGUGUGUUGUUCUAUGUCACAAAGAAACGCCAUAUUCUAAGUCAUUUAGAUAUGGAGUGAAGUUUUGUACUGGAGUUGUACAGGCUUGAUUUGUACUGGAAAAUAGUCUGUUUGAUAUAUUACAAAAUAUAUCAACUUACCAAAUUGCCUACAUUACAAGAUAUUCAAGCCAUUUUGAAUCUUCGCUGAGAGGAAUCACCAACAUGGCAAACAACAUCAACAUUGAACCUAUAAAAAGAGUUUAGUACUGGAAGAUACAUCUGUUUGACAUACCGUAACUCACUAAAUUACCCAGAGAUUACAAAGUAUUCAAGUAGCAUCUACAUCACUGCAUUUGAUGGCUAUUUUCGGCCUUUUUUCCCCUUAGGGUUCUUGGUGUUGCCCUUUUUCUUCCCGUGGGUUGCAGAAGCAGCAUCUGGACACUUUGGCUUCGAGUCAUUGGAAAUGCAAAUCUCCUCAUCUUCACCCUCAGUGUCUCCAUCAUCCGACAGAAAAGUAUAACGAUUAUUACCUUUCCCUUCAACAGGCCUCAUUUGGCUUUUUGAAGCUGGAACAACAUGGGAUUUAGGGAACAAUUUCCUGAAAAUAUCUUCCUUGCACGGGUCUAAUGACAUGUCAACAUAAAUGGCAUCUGCGCAUACGAACCUUGAACAAUUAGACUAGCAAUUACUAGAGGAUUACCAAUCCCCUUAAGGGCAGUAGCUAUAGCUAGCACACAGGCAGUAGGAGAUUUGUCUUUCCUCCCCUUCUUAAGGACAUCAACAAAUUCCUUGGGCAGUACUGCAGUGACAUAGUUCUUCCCCAGAAUAUCAAGGAGCAUAUCUAAAGACUUCCCAAAGUUCACAGUGAGCAAACAUAGUAGAAUGACCAGUCUCAACAUCAGUAGUGAAUAAGAACUCAUCCCAUCUGCAUCAGUUUUUUUAAUCCAAUCAGUAAGGUUUGCCCUCUUAUAAACACAAUCUCGAACCACAUCGGUCACAAAAUCAGCAACCCGUUCCAGAGAUGGUGAACUUGUGGUGGUAUCUCCAUCCUUGUAUAUCAGCCAUUCUAUAAAACUUGAACUGGUGCACAUAACAAAACCAUGAAAGCAAGAUGCCAAAGUCAAAAGGCGCUCCUCUACAAGAUACAAGAAGCAACCAGGAGAUAUGUAAUCAUGAAGAGCCCUCCAGUUUGCACUAUAAGUUUUGACUAAUGCUUCAUAGAAUCGCCACAAAACUGACACCUGUUUUGGUUCUCCACGACGAGCGGCGGCGCACCCGGCCGUGACGGAGUGGAAGUUCCUGACGGCAAGGCUUCUGAGCGAGAUGGGGGAGACGAAUCCGCUGUCGUUUGAGGCCUUGUUUGAGAACGCGUUACUCAGGGACCGCUCCGGUGAGGGCCACGCGGUGAUCAGGCGGCUGGAGGAGGCGCUGAGGGUGGCGGAGGAGGAGAACAAGGUGAAGGAAGCGAGGGAUGUGAAGCUGAAAAUGGCGCAGAUACAGUUCUUGCAGAAGAAUGUGGAGGAUGCUUUGAGUAGCUACAACGAGUUGGUGAAGGAGGAUCCUAAGGACUUUAGGCCUUAUUUUUUGCAGGGGAAUGAUUUACAGCUUGCUUGAGAGGAAUGAUGAGGCUAAGGAGCAGUUUGAGAAGUAUCGGCAGCUUUCGCCUAAGAAGAUUGAGGUGGAUGGUUACUUGAGAUCGCCAUUGUCAAGAAUCAAGCUUUUCGGUAGCGAUGAGAAUUGAGUUGACAUCGUUAAACUUCUGUUAUCUGUUGUUUUUGAUUGAGACUUCAUUGGAAGUCGAAAAUAAGAGGCUUAGACAUUUUUGUUCAUUCGAUUAUGAUAUAAAAUGCAGCAACCACAGAUAAUAUGUUCUGAGUUACAUUAUAAACAAACAAGUUUCAGGCAAUUUACAAGGUAUAUAAACUUCAGGGCAUGUGGCAGCUAUUUCCGCCCGCCUUUCUUCUUGUUUUUCUUGUUCUUGCCCUUUGUCUUGUUCUUGGCCUCGCUUCCAGCUUCUUUACUGCCGGAUGGGGUGGAAGCAUUGACAUCUUGUUGGCAUGUCAGAUUUGACUCACUGGAUGCGCAGUUUUGCUCGCCUUCUGUGUGGCUGUCUUCGGCAUCACACUGCUUCUCAGCUGACACUUUGGAUAUGCAAUUACUCUCAUCUUUACUGUGACUGAAUUCAGCUUCACAUUGUGUUUCAUCUGCAACAUCAGUCUCUUUUACCAAGCUGGAGUCUGAAGGAGAAAGUUUAGAACUCUUUCCUCCUUCAGAAUUAUUUGCAGAUUGUACACCACUGCAAGAACUACUACCUCCAACUUCAACAGAUCCAACUUGGGAUGGUGCACCUUCAACAACAGGCGGCUUUGGAAACCAUUUUCUCAAUAUGUCAUUCUUGGACUGAUGGACCGUCAUGUCGACAACGAUGGCAUCUGAACAGAAAAAUCUUGAACAAUCCUCAAGCCCAAAACUAGCAACUACCAAAGUAUUAUCAAUCUUCUUGAGAGCUCCAGCAAGCACAUUCACAUUUAAGCUCAGAGAAUUGGGUUUCCUCCUCCUCCUAAGUGCAUCAAAAAAUUCCCAUGGUAGGAGUUCAGUGAUAUAGUUCCUCCCCAGCAAAUCAUGGAUUAUAUCCAAACACGAGCCAAAGUUCAAAUUAAUCAAACAUAAGACAGUAAUCAAUCGCAACAUGAGUGGCGGAUAAUACUUCCUCCAAUUUUUGUCAGACUUCUCAAUCCAUUCAAUCAUAUUCUUCAUGUUGUAAAUACAAUCGCGAACCACAUCAAUCACAAAUGGAAGAGUGCCUCCCAGGGAAGGACGUCCACCAGUCACUAUGCAACGUAAGCUGGUAUCAUCCUGACAUAUCAGCCAUUCGAUAAAGCAAGAACUUGUAGUGAUAACAAAACCUUGAAAGCAGCUUGCUGAGAGCAGAAGGCGCUCUACAAGAUACAAGAAGCAACCAGGUGAUAUGUAGUCGGAAACCUUCCUCCAGUUGACACUGUAAGUUUCAACCAAAGCCUCAUGUAACCAACGCAUGACAGACAACUUUAUUGGUUGCAGACUGGUAUUUCCAGGUUCAGUGCUCACACAGAGAUUCUCAAUGAAGGCCUUCCAUGGGGCAUGGCAUUCAAGUUUUUUCACAAGCUUAUCAGAGAGCUCAGCAUUCAGCUUACCUAACCCGAGAAUGAUCAUUGCGAUCCUUCCAAUCUGGCCAUAAGACAGCUCAUUCUUCGAGCUGGCAUAUUCAACUAUAACUUGAUUCAGCAUGUUCUUGGAAGCAUCAGUUCUUCUAAGAGAAAUCAUGUUUUGUCUCAACAAAUUCCUCCCAUCUAAAGGAAAGAUGUAAGCAACAUACUCCCCAGUUGAAAAUGUUACAUGCUUCUGCAGUGUCAACAUAUCUUGAUACCUUGGCUUCAGACACUUGGAAUCCAAAAGAUUCCUUGCAACAUCAUAAAUAAGGGUAAGAGCCCUGCACUGGAAGAAUGUUGAGUCAGAGUUCUUUGGUGGGAACUUGAAAAGUGCUUCAACCUUUUCCAAAACGUUGAUGCCAACAGAGAGCAGUUCUGAACUCCAAUAAUUCUGAGCGGCUGGAAUGAGCUGGUGAGCAUCAAUGGAAACCAACUUAUUAUAAGUUUUCAAAUGCCUUUUGUCCAGACCUCUGACCCAAUCAGCAUCAGGGACCAGUAAAACAUAGAUUGGAUUCAGAUUCUGACACAACCGCCAAACUCCUAAACAAGUAAAACAGAGCUCUGCAUAGCUAUUGAAUUCUGGAGUUUCCAAACAUCCUACAGAUUCAAUAAUGUGAAUAAUGUUCUCCUUCCAUAAAAUCCAGUAAUAGGCAAGCGAAUCAAUGGAUACCUGAUUUCUAGAUAUACAGUCUUUUGAAUGCUUCACAACAUCUCCAGUCAAUUCUUUCUCCCAAAAAUACUUGUCAGUUCUUGAAGAGAGAUGUGCAUCCAAAAUUUUUCGAGCUGACAACACUUCACCUAUAAUACUCCUAUCUCUUUGAGAAGCAUCCAUGUGAUGAUUCAAACCAGCCAAAUUAUCCUGCCCAUUCAGUAAAAUCUCCGACUCGGCGCAAACCAGCUUAUAAACAUUAUCUUCCCCAUUCUUGGCAAAUGACUUGGCCUUCAUCAACAGCUCCUCCUGUCUUGGAAACUUCUUCAUGGGCCAGCCUUUGCUACCAGAUGACCAAAGAGACUUGGANNNNNNNNNNNNNNNNNNNNAGUGAAAAGCACUCUGCAGCUCUCUGAAGUUCAGAUUCUCCACAUUUUUCGAAAUAUAUCCUAGCUGCACCAUUAAGAUUAACAACAUGAGAAACUACAUUUUAAUAAAUAGCAUUCAUAACAGAAGUUACCCAAAUCAUGCAACCAACAUAAAGUAAGUCCAACAGAUCAUAAAGGCAAGAGAAUCAUAUGAAUAUUAAAAGUACACUGGUGUUUGGUUAGACAUACCUGCUCUUUCAUAUUCCCCCAAAUCAGAAAAACAUCUGGCAGCAGAAUCCGCCUUUCCUAUAGCGUCAAAUAUUUCAGCAGCUUCUCUAAGAAUAGACUUAGCCUCUUCGGGAUUUGAUGUUCGCAUACGGUCAGCUAUAGCUUUAAGGCCGGAUGCUUUCGACCUCCUUUCCCAGUACAUAUCACCAGCUCUUUCAAAGCACAUUGUGGCCAUUUCAUAGUUAUGUUCAUGAUAUAGCUGCAAGGGCAAAUAGAAAAGAAAAAUAUUAUUUGAAAUAAUGGUGUCAACAACAGAUAUAGCUAUCUUUUAUAUGAAGGAUGAAGCAAACCUUAAUGCCUCUUGAUUUCCACUCCUCUGGACUGCUUGCCACUUGCAUAGCCUGGGCAAGUGAAUCAUCUAGCUGCCUUUGUUGCACAAGACAUUUUUUCUUCCAAUAGUCAAACAUAGGUUUCGAGAGGUCUUCCACAUUUUCACAAAUCCACAACCUCUGUCUUGUUCGAGUAACAGCAACAUAUAAUUGCUUAAGUUCAGAGCACAGUAUGUUAUGUUUUGAUUCACUGAANNNNNNNNNNNNNNNNNNNNNNNNNNNNNNNNNNNNNNNNNNNNNNNNNNNNNNNNNNNNNNNNNNNNNNNNNNNNNNNNNNNNNNNNNNNNNNNNNNNNNNNNNNNNNNNNNNNNNNNNNNNNNNNNNNNNNNNNNNNNNNNNNNNNNNNNNNNNNNNNNNNNNNNNNNNNNNNNNNNNNNNNNNNNNNNNNNNNNNNNNNNNNNNNNNNNNNNNNNNNNNNNNNNNNNNNNNNNNNNNNNNNNNNNNNNNNNNNNNNNNNNNNNNNNNNNNNNNNNNNNNNNNNNNNNNNNNNNNNNNNNNNNNNNNNNNNNNNNNNNNNNNNNNNNNNNNNNNNNNNNNNNNNNNNNNNNNNNNNNNNNNNNNNNNNNNNNNNNNNNNNNNNNNNNNNNNNNNNNNNNNNNNNNNNNNNNNNNNNNNNNNNNNNNNNNNNNNNNNNNNAACUGGAGCUUCCCCAUAAAUCAGACUGGUUUCAGGUUUCAGAACAUCUACAGAAAAUGGGAAAAACCGAUACAGUAGUUCAACAAUGCUUUGUGAUAACUUCAAUAUACCGGCAUGAGUACGGAAGUUCUGAGUCAACUGAAGUAAUUCAGAGAUGAGGCCUUUUUCUUUUCUUUCAUCAUUACUGUUGCUUCUUGACUCUAGUACAAACUUCUUGUAGAACAGAUGUCGUAUAUCCUGAAACCGAAAGUCAAUACCCCUUGCUAUCGUUUGUGCUGUAUCACCAGAAAAAACAAAUCCCUCUUCUACAUUGUUGCACAGAUGUUUAAACAAAGCAAUUUGACUCAUUGUGAGAUCUUGAACCUCAUCAAUAUAAACAAAUUCCAUCUGAUCACCCUCAUAUUUUUCUUGCUUGAGUCGACGGUGAAGAUCUAUUACAAAAUCAGCCAGAUCAAACUCACCCUUUUCCAUCUUCAACUUUUCAUAAGCCUGAAAAAUAUCGUAUAUUGCUUCUCUCUUUUGCUUGCUCAAGUUAGAACCCCGGCCCUCACACAGAUGAACGUAAUCCUGCCGGCUGAGUUUACCAUCACAUGCAUCUAUAGCUCCUAAGCCACCUUUUAUAUAAGAAAUAAUCUCUAUAAAGACUCUUGAAACGUCAAGCUUCUUCGUUACCUGAGCAUUAAAAUGGGGCCAAUACAAAGAGCUAAACCUCUCAUAAUUGACUUCUUUCGUCCUUAUGAAGUUCUGAAAUGCAACUGAUGACGAACUCCUAAACUGGCCAACAGUAGCUGUCACUUCAAGGAAUCUUUCAAAGUACGAGUUACUCAAAGUUCCAUCAAGCAUCAUCAAAAACUUAUGGAAUGUAAUGACGAGAGGAUAAGAGCUUGGAGGAAUAUUGUGAAAUGAACUUUGGAUAUCCUUGAAUUGGGUUUCCUCCUCAUCAAAAUCAACCAUAUCAAUCAAACCUCCCUCACUUGAGUCAGUUGAGUUACCUCCACCACAUACAAAACUGUGAACAUCAAAAUCAGCAGAUUAAACUUUUUGUAGAGAAAAUAUGUAGAGAAAAUCUAUAUUAAAAGUUAUGAGUAAGAAAGAGACUUCAACAUGAGUAACAGAGAUCAAUAUUUUUUCAUGUACAAUAAUUAUUUGAGACAUAUUUGAGAAAAGAAUAAUUAUUUGACAAGAAAAAAAUAAUAAUUAAACUAUUUAUAGUCUCUUCACUUUCUUGUGACACCAUAACUUCUAUUGCAUGAUAUCUCGAGGACGAUGUAGUAUACUGAUUCAUAUCAUAACCAUUAAAUUCACAAUAAAGCUAAAAGAGGCAGAAAAUGUCUUUUUCAAGAAUAGUCCCCUCACCUUUUCAAGUGUGAAACAUGUCGCUUGAUGGCAAAGCAUAGCUUUGGACUCACUGUCACAAAAAGCUGGCGCAGAACUUUCCCUUCAGUAGCUGCAGAACUCUCCUCAACCUGGCUAGUAUUUUGACUAUUAUAGCAUCCUUGAACUGCAAAUUGGUGCCACUGUUCUUUUUGAAACAAUUUCAUUGUUAAUACUGUGGUUUUCCCAGUUCCUGACCGUCCCACUAUAAAAGAACUUCUACGGUAAAGGAUAAUCUCCAUCUCUUCAUCUGUAACUUCAAAUGGAAGAUCCAACUCUCUACCCUCACGGUCUGACAACAAGUGGUUCACUACCCCAGACGACAAGGAAUAAAAUUUCAUCAGUAACAAACUCUCGCUAACCUGUGAGUUCUCAACAUNNNNNNNNNNNNNNNNNNNNNNNNNNNNNNNNNNNNNNNNNNNNNNNNNNNNNNNNNNNNNNNNNNNNNNNNNNNNNNNNNNNNNNNNNNNNNNNNNNNNNNNNNNNNNNNNNNNNNNNNNNNNNNNNNNNNNNNNNNNNNNNNNNNNNNNNNNNNNNNNNNNNNNNNNNNNNNNNNNNNNNNNNNNNNNNNNNNNNNNNNNNNNNNNNNNNNNNNNNNNNNNNNNNNNNNNNNNNNNNNNNNNNNNNNNNNNNNNNNNNNNNNNNNNNNNNNNNNNNNNNNNNNNNNNNNNNNNNNNNNNNNNNNNNNNNNNNNNNNNNNNNNNNNNNNNNNNNNNNNNNNNNNNNNNNNNNNNNNNNNNNNNNNNNNNNNNNNNNNNNNNNNNNNNNNNNNNNNNNNNNNNNNNNNNNNNNNNNNNNNNNNNNNNNNNNNNNNNNNNNNNNNNNNUCGCUAUCAGAGAGAGUCCUUUCAUUCCCCAAAAUCCACAAACAGUGCCUGAAGUCAUCAGAGAUUCAGCAGACAUUUCCACCAAAUAAACAAGAAGGAAAAGCAUAAAAAUUGAAGUAAAACAAUACCUAGCCCUUGUAAGUGAGACAUUAACUCUUUGCGGUUUUGAAAUGAACUGAAGUGAUUGAUGGCUGUUGGAUCGUACAGUGGAAAUUAUAACUAUGUCCUCUUCCCCACCUUGAAAUCCAUCAACUGUUUUUACCUUCACUACAAAGCCAUCAAGCUUAUCAUAUUUCUCACCCACUCUGUCCUUAAUUGCCACCACUUGAGCAGCAUAGGGAGAUACUAUACCAAUACUAAGUCUCUGUUUUGAUUCAACCCAUCCUGUAUACAAAGAGAGAGCCAAAAGAGAAUAUUAAACUAACACAAUACAUGCAUAAGACUUUGGCAAUGUUUGACAUCUUAAUGGUUUGAAAAUAUAACCCUACUAAAUGCAUACUUCUUGAGUUGAAACUCAUGCAAUGGAGACUUGCAUGAGAAGUGCUGAAGCAAAUUGCACACAGAUUUAAACAAAAAAAUAAUCAGCCAUACAAAGCCAGUUAUGUGGUACUACCACUUGUUCAGAAAGAUGAAACAAUACAUUUCUUGCAGUUCAAGUCAUUAUUCACUAGUGAACAAAGUGAUGUAAAUUUUUAAACUGAAGCAUAAACAGCAUCGAUUUGGAAAUCCCAACUAAUAUAUAUACCAAGAUGACAAACAUGAAGAAGAAUCUCUUGUUAGACAUACCUUUGUACAGAUUUCGCAGUAUUUUUGAAACAACAGCAACCUCCACCAUAUUCUUCCGACUUCGUCCAUCCUCAUCUUUCUCCUCUCUUCCACCAAUCACAUUUAUAAAAGAAUACGGACCAAACAUUGCUCCUGGAAGAUAGUGUUUCUCGUGGCUUCUUCGUUUUACAUUUGGAGCAUCCAGGAUCAAGUUAUAAUAGAAACUUGAAUUUGGGAAUAAACUUAUUGAUGGAUGCAUUCUGUAUUGCACAUUCAAUAGAUGUUUUGAAUGACCCAUUAAACUUAACCUCUCAAACAAGCUUCUUGCAAAACCAGCUACAUCAGAAACCUAUAGAAAAUAAAAAAGCAGAUUUUGUAACAAGUUAGAAGUACAAUAUGAAUCUAUGAGAAGAGAAGGAAAGAAUAUAGCGUCAACGUACAUUGCUUGUUACAGUAGCUGGUAACUGACAUUCAUCACCAACAAGAACAGCAUGCUUCACACCUGGAAGUUGCAGGGGUAUUGUUGACUCACACUCUUUUAGCUGUGCAGCCUCGUCAAUAACAACAAUGCUUAGUGGCUGCAUUGCCACUCUGUGCAGCUUAUAUGAACUAGAUGCAGUGCAAAAUAUUAGAGUUGCUCUUUGAAAACAGAACUCCUGUAUAGAAUCAUCGCUCCUAAUAUUUGGAAGUUUAAGCUCACUAAGAGAAUCCCGUAAAGUGCGUAAAGCUAUAAGGCAAUCCUUUCUAAUCAUCCAAAGAUCAAAGAAGUUGUCUACUAACGAAUUAGACACAUCUUCAACAUCUGAAUGGGAAAAGAGUUCUUCCAAGGCUUCAGAAACAACAUUGUCUUGAGACAACAACAUUGACAUAAAGGAAUCAACUUUCUGGAUAAGCGAAACCAAGUCUUGGAAAUUAUCUUCCGAAAUAUAACUUUUCCCUAUAUGAGUACAGAACACAGAAAUGCAAUAUCUUAACGGCACUGCAGUAGAGACAAAUCUAUCUCUCAAAAAUUCGACAAAGGUUUUGCACUUCAACUUUUUAACUUGAGCAACUCUUCUGCAUUCAUUAUCUUUCAUUUCACUAACAGUUGUUUGUUCUGUCUCUUUGGUGAAUUCAUUUUCCAAGAAAAUUUGGUAGUCAGAAACACAAUCCUCAAGUAAACCUAUCAUGGAAGCAAAGCAAUGCCUCCAACCAGUCGUUGGCCCUAAACAAUCUACAAGCCUUUUGAUACGGCAAUCCAUAUAAAUUUCUUCAAUGUCUGAACCAAUUUUGAGUCGCUCCUUAUUCCCAAAUAGAAGAAUCUCUCCUAGAGAACAAAACAAUUCUUUUGACUCUGCUUCAUGCACCAUCUUCACAAGACGAGAAGCAACUUCAGUUAUUGCAACAUUUGUUGGAGCACAGAUAAGAGUCCUAUAUUUCAUCUGCAGCAGGGUUGAAAGCAGAGUAACCGUGGUUUUUGUUUUGCCAGUACCAGGAGGUCCCCAGAUAAGUUCAACGGCAGACUUCUCACCAGAACGCAGCAUUUCAAGGCAGGCCAACACUGCCCCAGUUUGGGACUCAUUUAAUCCAGAUAAUAGACUCUCAGCUAUACUCUGAUUCCAGAUGUUAGUAUUCUUUUCAGAGCAGAAAUCUGUCUGAACCUAUUACCAAGCAUAGCAUAUUCAGUCAGUUGCAACAAUAAAUAUCAGCUUUUAAUCCAACUACAAAAGUUCUCUCGAUUCAAAAUCAACUGGUAUAAUUAGAUGGGAGGGAUACAAGGCUAAAGAAAGUCAAAACAUGUGAUUGCAUCAGUCAAUCAAUCCAGUAUAUAUAGUUUGAUUAAUAUAAAUCAAUUACUGUUCAAAUCAAAGAAAGUCAAAUCAUGUUUUGCAUCAGUCCCUAAAUCCUAGGAGGAAGACAUUGUGUCAGAAUUAUUAGGGAAUUAUCUUGAUAAUUAUGAAAACCUACUGAUUCAUCCCAUAUUUGUUCAUGUUGUUGUAGCUCUAUAACAAAACCUACAUUGUUGAUUAGUUCAACAAGAUGACAAAACAAAACCUCAUUACCAUUGAAUCAGUGCACAGAACUUCGUUGAUAAUCUUAAGAUUUCUGGACAUGUGCAAUGCUUUCCAAACUCUUGCUUCAGGGAUCAAAUUAACCAAGAAAACUAUAAAAAGUGAUGUCCUGCUAUUUUCGACUUCAAACUCUUUUGAUGCCUUGACUUUAAAAUAAAGAGUGGUACUGUCAUCUUCAUUCUCACUUUCUGAAACACUAGUGGCCGAUGCAAAAGCCCAUGACCUUCCCACCCGUUGUAAAUCAGAAACAGUUUCAGGUUUAGCAUCUGCUAAAACAAAAAGAUCACCAGGCAAAGUUUUAUAGGGCUCCUUGCCUCUAUCACUGAACCUGUUUCGCCAGUAAUCAACCUUGACAUCAUAUAGCUUUGUUCCAUAUGGCUUCAAUUCUUCAAAACCCACUACUUCAGCAAACGGUGCUCUAUUAAGAGUUUCCAUACUUGAAUGCACUUCUGCUCGGGUUUCUUCCAGUAAAGGAUAUAUAUAAGACCCAAAGUAAUGCUGAGCCGAUUGAAAUGAAUUAGGAAUCUCCUUCACCUAAAAAUGUCAAGGCACAGAAUAAGUACUCUUUCGGAUACAGCACAUAAUGAUAUCAUAGAAGUUAGACUAGUAUACUUUAACAGGAACACUACAAUGUGAUAGAAAAUUAAGUCAAAAACAGACAAUUCUUAUAGUAAUCCAAAUUCCUUUGUUCAAUGCUAUCAAUUCCUGGUUUAGCCUGAAUUCCUAAAGUAAAUUUAGAAGAUAUGCAAAACCAAUACCUCUCGAUUUGCGAUUUGGGCCAUUUUAUUCAUGGGUAACGCUUUUCCUUUAAUUUUAACAGCAUGAUCACAUUAAAACGUGAAAAAAAAAAAUGGGCUACAUUAGAAAGCAAGCUCCUUUCAUAGGCAUCAUGGGUCUUCCCUUACCAAGAAGAAAGCUGCAACACCAAUCUCAACAACGUUUGAAGAUACAGAGAAUCCAGAAUGAUGACAAGAGAACAUAAUAAAUUGAUAAUCACAUAAAGCAACAACCUUUCUUAACAAAAAACAAGAACACGCGAUUUAUACCAUUAAAAAGUGGAAGCAAAUACCUUGUCUUUGUAAAGAUCCUCAUUGCUAAUGUCCUCCAGGGACCAAGAAAACACAGUAUCAGUGAAAGGUUCAGGCUUGACCUUCUUCUCAAUUCCAGCGACGGUUGCAUUAGAUAGCUUACAACGAGAAUCCCUCUUUUUUCCGAUCCAGUUCCUCCACCACCACGAACCCCAGUUAGAUUCAAGCAUGAUACAGCUCUCAGAGAUCUUUUUUCCUUUUGGUAGAUACAGGAGCGAAACACACAAAGCCUAUGUUUCUGAACCGUUCCACAGAAAACCCACUUCUUAGAUUUUGAUAAAGAUGAGAGCUUUGAAGUUUGAACAAAGAAAAGAGACUGUCUAAGAAUCUAUAACAGGAUGAUCACUCCAUGCAUUGUUAUAGCACAAGUGAUCCCAGAACUAAAAUGCUUCUGGAUUAGAGCUUUGAUCGAAGCACAAGUGAUUCCAAAACUAAAAUGCUUCUGGAUUAGAGCUUUGAUCAAAGCACAAGUGAUUCCAAAACCUUAUGAAUGAAAGAAAGAAAGAAAGAUUUCUCAAAAAGAGAAAGAAGAAAGAAAGAGUGAACAGUGAUGAGUAAAGCCUCCGCUUUCUACUUCGAGGAGAAGCUCUUCUCAUCAAUUGGCUGGUACUUAAUAACUGUCUCUUAGUCUCUUUCAAUUGACCAUUUGACCUCAGAAAUGGUUUUCUUUCUUGAGAUUAAAAAACACAAAGUUCACUCGGACAAGUUUUCUUUUAAAUUUUUCUGCAAGAAAAUCAUUGGGAAACGGGACAGGUUUUCACCAAAGUAUCAAACUGGUCAUAUGAGGAAAUCAAAGUUAGGCCAUCUCCAACUGAGAGGGGUUAAAAUAACCGACGGGUUAAAUUUUAGCCUAAGAAAAUUAAAUGUGUAUAAAUAGUGAGAACUAAAAUUUUGAUCAUCUCUAAUCUGUAAGGCUAUAAGUUUACAACUCAUUGUAGCUCUCAUAAACAAAUAGCUCAAGAGCUAUAAGUUUACAUUUUAUGUUGUUUUGCUUACUGUGGUUCUCACAAAUAAAUAGCUCAAAGGCUAUACAAAAAACUAAAUGUAGCUUGGCCUUGGCCUUUGUACCCCCCAAUUUUUUUUUUUUUUUGUUUUAGCUUAGCCUUGGGUUAGAGAUAGAAUUUAUGACUUUUGGGGGCUAUAUCCACCCCUUAGCCCAGGGUUGGAGAUGGUCUUACUUUUUAACUACAAGACCUCCCCAUAACAAAGCUUAGCCAUGAAGGCAUGAAUGAUACAAACCUAUUGAAUGCACUCGACUAUAAAAAAUGAUGCUCUUAGAGCAUCUCCAAUAGCUUUCUCAUUUUCUUGAAUUUCUCAAUUUUAGGAAAUAUAAAGCUGUUUUUAGGUCCAACAGUUUUCUCAUCUCAUUCCCCAAAAUGGAGAUGGAGAAGAAAGAGAAGCCUUCAUUCCCUAAAUUUACAGCAAAGCCUUCCUUCCUCAAAAUUUAAUUCUUCACGUGCUCCAACGAAUUCAAAACAACAAUAGAAUAUUUGGUUGGGUAUUUUAUUGUUACAAUGAAAUAUAUAAUGGUCUUUUGUUAUAAUUAAUAAUGAUAUAGUAUAUUUUAUUGUUGUAUUAAAUGUCGAAAUAUCCAAAAUGGAGAAGCUGUUGGAUUUUGAGCAUAAUUUUUUUAGAGAUUUUAGCUUUUGCUUCCCCAUUUUAGAAAAUUUUUUAGGAAACUGUUGGAGAUGCUCUUAUAGAAAGGAAACAAAGAGUAAAAGUUGAUACCUGAAUCAACAACGGUGGACUUCACAGUUGCUUUUGUUUUACAUAUGUGUUGAAUGGGAGCGGAUUCUACGCACCAACGUGUAUUUGCACCAUUAAUGUAUAAGUGCUUAAAUCGUCGUAUGAGAAGAUCAAAUGAAGACUAUAGACUCUAAAUUCCUUACUUUCAUUUUCAUUUUUGAUCCGAUCAAAUUAAACGCCCAUAAUAAGAGUACGUCUUGUUCGAUCUAAUGUUCUCACUUCCUUAGUUGGAAACAGUUUGGACUAUUUUUUUUUGUUUCAAUUUGGUUAAUAGUAUUAGUAUAUAUGCAAAUAGUGCGACGUAGAUGACUGAGUCAAAAUACUGUAUAUUACUUGCUUGGUUCACUUGCACCUUGGUGCAUGGAAGAAUUUUCGGUGUUGAAUAUACCAGCUUGUUACUUUGUGUUGAUACUGAGCGAGAUUAUAACGUGGAGAAAUGUGAAAGAAGGGGUCUGAUAAGUUUCCCGAUAAAUACAUGGAAAUAUCAAAGGUUGGGCAAUUGGUGACUGGUGAGGCUACUAGGAAAUUGAAGGGAAAUUUUACGAAUGAAUUUAAUUUAUUUCGAAGUUACACACAGCAUUUGUAUUCAUAGUUGACGCCCGGCCUGCUUGAGUUACAUUGUUUGACCAAAUUAUACUAGUUUGUCGGGUUGAUACUUCAUAGCCUAAUGACGUAGAUGAAUAAUCGAUAAUGAAAAUGUAUCGAAAUAGCAAAGCUUAGCUCAAAACAUAUACAUAUAUACUAUUACAUCCGGUUUUGUAUUGGUACAUUGAUAUACGACUAUCAAAGACACCUACACGAAUUCAUAUGAAGGUAUGAAACUUUAUUUCAAAACAUAACAUUAAAUUAACAUUUAAAAGGUACAAAUGAUAAAAAAAAAAUCUUUAAUUGUUUCACAUGUCAUUUCUAAAAGUAAGGCAUAUAACACUAAAGUAACAUUUAAAAGUACAAAUGAUAAAAAAAUCUUCAAUUGUUCCAUGUGAUAAAAAUGUCACUUUUAAAGUAUCUUACAUGAUAAGAUGACCACCUCAGAAAAUAUCAAACGAUAAAGUGAUCACUCUAGAUGAUAAAACGGUUCAUUUAGCCAAUUUUCACAUAACCAGUCUACCUUGCCGUCAAUAAUACUUUUUUUUCUCUUUCACUUUCAAAAACGCAUCACCUCUCUCCUUAUUCACAGACGAUCUAUAUAUACACUAUAAGAAGCAGUAGAGUAUGAUUGCAUGUCAUGUUGACAGCUUAAUUUAGAGCAACUUGUGAAGAAAUGGCACAAUCUGGAAAUGAAUUAUAGCUAAAACUGAGUUAGGAAGAACCGAGACAUGCCACGGAAACUUGUUGAUUAAAAAAACAUUGAGUGUUGGAAUAUGCACAUUCCUGAGGAUGAUCUGCACAUGAAGCUUGGUAUUACCCUGUCGACAUGCAUAUGAAUAAAACUUGCAGUUUACGUGCAUCUUAGUCAAUAUCUUAUCAUUUACUCUUAAAAUAAGAUUCGGCUACAUGUAUAAUGUAGAUGAAGAGGUUUGUUCAAACAUAGUAAACACGCUACUCAUGAAAACAGACAAAGUAAAAGGUAGGAAACAUCUAAGAGAUAGCAUAACAGAAGUACAAUUUAUUUAGCUGAAUGCACACCAUCCAGACAGGAAACAGAAUCUUGGCAUGGAAAACUUGUGGUGGGCGGUGGCAUCUUGUUCUCAGGUGGUUUAGAAAUGAUUGUAGACUCUGAAAGAAUCUUGGAGGGGCAAGUUCUAGGCCAGUGGUCACAUACCUUGCCACAUAAAUAACAAAACAUGGGAACAGGUUGCUUGCUGCCUCCUUCACUCAUCUCACCAUUGGCACCCAUACUGUAGAAAUAAGAACCCAUAACCCACCCUGGUUUCAAACCAUCGGGGCCUGGUCGGCGUGCCUUCUCACCUGUUAAAUACAUUAUUAUUAUUAUGUAACUUGAAUAAAUCGGUGCUAGUGACAAAACCUAAAUCAAAGAAUUGAUUGAGCAUGAUUUGGAAUUCUUUCUGUUAUCGUAUACAUAUAGAUGAAUGCAUGCACAAAGCAAACUACAAAACCCCUAAAACAGUAAUCAAUUUUUCCAGGAGAUCGUGGGUAAACAUAUAUCUUAAGCCUCGUCAAUGUUCUAAUCAAGAAAAAUAUAAAUCGAGUUAAGAUCAUACCGUCUUCUUCUGCCCAUUUGCGACUGAGCUCGUCAAAAAGUUCGCAAGUAAACCUUCCCCUACUGUCCUGAGUUUCCUCCAUGCCUGCCAUGGCGGAGAGAGAUUGUAUUCGUUAAGAGAUCAGGAUUGAUUGAUUUUAGACUUAUAUUAUACGCUGAGGUUCUCAUAUUUAUACUCCUCUAGGUUUUGUAAAAAUUAAUUUCCGAUUUUAGCCCUUCUACAGAUUUUAUAAAAAAAAACCUAGUCCCCCACGAACAAGUUAUAUCAAGACCACCGAUUCUAAGUGUAUUAUUUCAAUCUUCUAUGUUCGUUCGUUCUAUAUGGGCCAUAGAGAUAAGUGUCAUAUAUAGGGCGUCAAUGAAUAGGGUAUGGGUUUUAUUUCGAAGAUCGCAAUGAGCCGGCUCACGGUUUGGGCCGGUUUGUCAUCUAAGUAUUUUGAAUUGUGGAUCCAUAUGAUUGCAAGCUUGAUGGUUUUCCCAGAAUUUGCAAACUUCACAUUUUGUUAGAUUAUCAGUUUGGAGUUGGGUAGGCAAAUUUGUAACUUACAGUUUCCAUAUAAAUUAUUGACAUUAAACUGGCACUGCAUAUUUCCACCCAACAUGACACAAUGCAAGUCGAUCACUUCUUGUUUAUGCAGUAAAUUCACAUAACAAAUUCUAUAUAACAGUAUGAUUCAUGGCUCAAUAUCAAAUGGAAAGAAAAGAAGGGGGCUAAAACAAAAGACGAAGGAGAAGCACCCUACUUAAGUAAUCAAAAUCUAAGGUGCCACCUUUUUAUCUAGAUGACGGAUUUAGCUCCAAACAAGUUCGUAUGAUGGAAAUACAAAACUUUUGGCACGCUCGACGCAAGUGAUUAUUUCAUACAACUACUUAUGCAUUGAAUCUAACAGUUUGAGAGCCAAAGCUUGCUGAUGCUCUAUAUAACUUGAGUCAGCAACAAACCCAGCUUUAUCCUUCUUCUCUUCUCUCUCACCAUCAUCAUCACUAUCAAAGUAUAUCUUUGACCUUUUGUGCGAUCGCUUAUCAGAUGGCUCUUCUUCUGACUCAGAUUCAUCGUCGUCCUCUUCUUCUGCAUUUGCUCUCUUCAGCUUCAUCUUCUCCUUCAUUCUUUUUUCACGACGACGCUGGCGGUCUUUUUCCUUGUCUUGCUUGUCUGUCUUCUUCACCUCUUCCCUAAGCCUCUUAUGAAAUUCUUCUUUCUUGUCUGCAGCAAAAAUAAUGUAUAUAUCAGGACACUAAUCCAAGCAGCUGCAAACACAUUCCAGUUCAUGCACAACAUGUGGGAUCAAGUCAUCAUAUUCAAGCGAUUAAAACUUGUUCUAUAUUUAUUCUACCUGAGCCAAUGAUAGAGGGAAGCCUCACAGUUAUAUAGAAGCUCAGACACUCAAUUGUAGUGGAGUCAACCAAUUAUUUCAGCUCACAUUCGGAUUUCAUUUUUUUCAAAAUUCAGGAAUCGAUACAUACCUUGAAGUCCAUCAAGAAUGCUGGGAUCACUGGGAGCAGCCAACCUUGCAAGUGGGUCCACCAAAUUGCCGUUCUCAUCAAAGACCCCCCUAGUUCCCGUAGGUUUAUCCAAGUUGAUCUUCAACUUCUUUUUCUUCGAAACCCGAGUUGCCGGCCUACAGGGAAAAAUGAGCACAGAAUAAAAGAGUGAAUUAAACGAGUGACCGAAGCAUUCAUUGAUAAUGCAUCCAUAACUACAACUUCUGGAUAUGCACAAAAAAAAAUAUAAUAAAUAAAUAAAUAAAACUUCUGGAUGAAACUAUUUGCGUGGGUAAUAAUCAGCAUUUGCGUCUGUUACUAAACUUGUCCUAACUACAUCUGGAUGAAAAUAUUUGCGCUGGUAAGAAUCAGUAAUUGCAUCUAUUACCAAAAGUCUAAACUUGUCCAACCUAUAUGUGAAUAUGUGGUUCUUGAUGACUAAAAUUAAUAAAUAAAAAAAGAAAUAAGAGAAGUACAUUAGACAAGCAACUUACAUAAUAUCUGCAAUCUGUCUUCUUUCCCCCUCUCUCUCAGUUGGUAUAUCAUUUAUUCGAAGAAGACCUUCCUCCACUUCCUCUUCGUCCCCAUCACCAAUAUCAAGCUCCUCUCUAGGAGUCUCUAAUGCAUUCUCCAUCUCAGAACUUUCUGGUUCAACAAUGGGAGACAGUUCCAAAGGUUUCUUGGAUUUCAUUUUAUGGUUUGAAAAACGGAUCUUGGGGGUCAUUGGUAAACCCAUUGAUGCGGAAAACUCAUCAACUGGCAGUUGCAUCACGUCAAAAACUUCUUUGUCCUUGUGGUUUUGAAUAGACUUUAAAUACGUGAUAAAAGCCCUUUUGGCCAGACCUGGAAGUGUGUCAGGGUACUUGACUAGCAAAGCUGACAGCAACCCACUUACAGGUUGCAGUCUCUUGUUGUUAGCCUGGGAGAGCAGCAUAACAGCAAUUUUAGCAUGGUGAAAUAUAUAAUAAACAAAGUUCUUGCAAACCACUUCCUCUGCCAGAAGAAGAAGAAAAUAAAGUUUACCUUGAUGCAAUCUAUGGGUAUUUUUGCGGCAUCUAACUUCUCAAGCAUUUUUGUUUCUGAGGGCAUCACAAAUAAAAGUGAUCGCCCUUCGGAUUGAUAGCGUGCAGUUCGGCCAACUCUGUGUAUAUAGGAUGCAACAUCUUCUGGACAAUCCACCUGCAAAUGGGGAGAUGAAAAUAUAAAGAACUGAUUAUAAAACAAAAACAAGGAACCAAGUUUUUUCAUCACAUUCUACACCAUUGUAACAAAAAUCUUGGAGCAAACAACUCACCUGAACAACCCAAUCAACUGCCUGGUUGAAAUCAAGGCCUCUCGAAGCUACAUCAGUCGAGAAAAGAACUGUAGCUUUUUCAUGAAACUGCGAGUAUGUGCCCAUUCUUCCCUCUUGCUUCAUCUUACCAUGAAGACACUUCAGGGGUAUUCCAGGUCGGAGCUUCUUAAAUGCUUCAUAGACAAAUUUUACCUAUUAAAGUAGCAAUUUAACCUAAUCAGCAAAGAUAAAAUUUAUAUCAUAUAAAAGAAGACUUAUUUAUAUCAACAACCAGAGGAAUGAUAAAUGAUAUAAAUGAAGGUUAAAUCUAAAGUCCACUGGAACUAGACUGCUGUUCCACAUAAAGGAAAAGGGUAAGCCUCUAAAAACAAGAUCAACUCUUGCAUAUGAUAAGAUGACAUUUUCUGGCAUGACAUAAUUGUGUGUCAGUAGAAUUAGAAACACAACGGCACCUGUUUACGUGUCGAUAAGAACACUAGAAUCCUAGAAUUCAGAUGUGCCUUUAUGAAGCUCCACAGCAUAUCUAAUUUUUUAUCAAGAGGAACAAUCAUUGCAGUUUGCUUCAAACGAUUUGGAGUGGCUCUUGUAGCCUUCUCGUGCACACUAAGGUAUUCUGGGUCCUUCAAACUAAGUCUUGCGAGAUCUUGAACUGACUUUGUUUGAGUUGCAGAGAAGAGAAAGGUUUGUCUUCUCUUAGGUAGCUGUGAAAUGAUGGCGUUCAAUGCCUUCUUAAAUCCCACGUCAAGAAUACGAUCUGCCUCAUCAAGAACCAAAACCUGUUCCCUGACCAGGAAAGUCCACCCAAGUCAGCAGAAAAUAUAUAUGUAUACAGGACUGACUAUGGGUAUAUAAGUAAAAUGAACUAUGGACCACAAAAAGUAAUAGAAUCUGAUGCAAUCAGAAGACUAAUAGAAUCAGAACUAAAUCUGAUAACUACGUCAUCAAACUGAUGCAAAAGAAGCAGCAACAGUAGAUUUGAAAUCAUAUUUCCAACUAUAUUAAGACAACACUAAUGUUUAAACAGAUAUCGGCAACUUUUUUCAUCUACUGCUGCCACAUAAAUACCAUUCCCCCCACCACCACCCCUUCUCAAAAGCAAACAAGAAAGAAAAAGUAGACCUGUAGCUGUGAACACUCAAAAUUUGGCGUCUCGUCCAUGUGUUGUAGAAGUCGUCCAGGAGUGCAAACCAGUAUGUUCAAUUCAUUUACGCGCUCCUUCUCCGCUUCAACAUCUUUCCGACCACCAAUUAGGAGGCCAGCACUAAAAUUAUGGUGCUUUCCAACUGCUCUUAACACAUCAAACGUCUGACUAGCUAGUUCUCUUGUCGGAGAUAUAAUAAUGCUGCCUACCCCAUCCUCAGGAUUCCAUCUCUCUUUAUACAAUUUUUCCAAGAGCUGAAAUCAACAAUGUACAAGAGGUGAAUAAAAAUGUCUUUUCUAAAUCUAUCCAAAUCAACACCAAAUGAAAGUAAAGCAUAUAGUUGAAAGAAAAUGCACAGACCGAUAUGCAAUAUAUCAAAUAUCAAUACUUUAGAAAUCUUAAGCCAGAACUUGGCACAAAGCAAAUGUUCCAAAACUCAAUUAACUGAACCAAAUACUAGCCAUUGACACUAUUCUUCACCUCUCACAAAACGAAGCAUCACACAACUCAUAGCAACUAUCCAAAAUCUAAGCAAAUAAUUUGACUCUGAGCAACAAUCACACAACUCAAUCAACUAGAACAAACACAAGCUCUACCUAAGACCCUCCAAACUUAACAGUAACUCAUCCACUUCCUCACAUUUCUCAUCAACCAAUGCCACCCAAAUCCAUCAUCUCUCACAAAAACCAAUCAUAAAUAUAAAAACCCAAUCUUUCACAGCUCAAAUUCUAAACCAAAAGCAAACUCAAAAUUCCAACAACCACCCAGAUACAAACUCCAUCUCAUAAACCAAACCCACAUACCGGAAUCACAAAAGCCAGAGUCUUGCCGGAGCCGGUCUUGGCGGCGCCCAGAAUGUCCCUUCCGCAGAGCGCGUGUGGCAAACACGCGCGCUGGAUAUCGGUCAUGUCGGUGUACCUGGACUGCCGCAAGGCGUCCUUGGUCUUCUUGGAGACGGGGAGCUCGGCGAACCUGGUGGCGCCGGCGUAGCGGGAGAAGGACGUGGGGUCCACGCACCCGAUGGGGGCGUUGGAGGGGAGAGGCGGGAGGGACAUUGGGUUGGAGCCGCAGUCGGGUUUCUGGGAUUCGAUCCAUGAAUUGAGGAGCUUGAUUUCUUCGACCUCUGAUAGCAGCUUUUGCUUCCGCGUUGUUUUCGAUAUGGGUUUUCUCAUUGCUGCUCUCUCUGCGACGACGACGUUAGGUUUUUGGGGUUUUAAACUGAUGAGGGUUUAAGCCUUUACGGCUUUACGUGAAAAUGUAAAAGUUAACUUAAACAAAACAAAAAGGGUAAAUUUUCUCUUGUUUUUACUUUUUAUUUUUUUAUCAGUUAAAUAACCCCGGAUACUAAAACGAGAGUCUGGUGUGAGUAAUCAUAUUGCACUCAUUCGUCUAUUUUAUUAUGAUCAUGGCUUCAUCUAUAAUCAUUCUCAAAAAAUACUACCAAGUCGUAACGCAUACCAUAUUUUAACCAGUAACUAGUUAGUCUCAUUUAUGAUUAUUUUUUAAAAAAUAUGUGUGAAUGACAAAAUAGAGUGUGUAAAUUACAUCACAUUUUUUUAUUAUUCUCAACCUCGUCAGAUGAAUCAUUGCACUCAUUCAUCUAUUUGUUAUGAUCAUUUUUCUUUAACUCAUGGUAAUUGUAUAAAAAACUUACGAUUUGCAAGUUAACUAAUUUAGCCAUCGAUCAAUUCUCAUUGAUUUUACAAUUCUAUUCAUUGAUUUGCAAGCAACUUGCGAUUUGAGACUCCAAUAAUGUAGUUGUCUAUGUAGAAAUAUUGUCGUUCUCAUUUAACACAAAUAACAUAAAAAGGGGAACGGUGAGGCCAUGAGGGAGCCUUUACCUUCCCGCUUAUCAUCAACAAGGACCAAACUUUACACCAAAAAUACUACGUAAGAGGGAUAGGAUAACACAAAAUGGCAGAAAAUGAGAAAGUUGCUCGGUAUCAUAACAAUGAUUAAACACAUUCAACUAGCAAAUUCAGCUUAGGAAGUUCUGGACAUGUACAUUUCCCUCCGUUUUGUCACACUUUUCUGCUGUAAAAUGGUUGCCGGACCCAGACAAUGGUCUCGAGUUCCUUUCCAGCAAGUUUGACAUUGUUCUCCAAAAACAGCUGCGAAAAUUCAGGUUCUAUCUUUUCAGGCCAAUAAAUCCUCUCCCGCCUCCUGAGCAACCUCCUGCUAAGUUGUGCAACUGUAGAUAUUUUGUUGCGGAGUUCUUGUUCACUAAGAACAAUACAGAAAAAUGAACAACCAUUGAGGCACCAAGCAAAGAAGGUUAAUCAAAAGGUUGCAGUAUCGGAAAUCAAACUGACCUCCCAUCUAAUGCCGCAUAAAGUUGCAUUAAAUCAUCAAGCAUUGUCAUCACUUCUCCAGAUAAUAUUUGUUCAAAUGCGUUCGGACAGCGUGCAGACCACACAGAAGUUAAAAGGAAAACAAAUUUUUCCAACUCCAACUGAAAUGCCAUCAAGUAAUGAGGAAUAUAAUCUACUACAACUGCUGCUCAUAAUGUGAACCAAAAUAACAAAAAAUCAAUGAUGAAUACUUACCUUUUUUGUUGAGGCAUCUGAAAAUAAACUCCUCUGAUAAACUCUUUUUUCACCAAGCCUUCCAAUAUAUCCCACAAGUGAUCAAAAUUCUUAGGGAGGUUCCCGCUGUAUUUCACCUCAUCUGCUUCCAGACCUGAGUUGGGUUGAAGAAGCUUAGAACUUUUGAUCUCAGCCUCAUCCGAAUCAAAAGCAGAAGGCCCAGCACAAUCAUUAGCAUUAGCUUCUACCAAAAACGGCUACAUAUUGAGAGGAUGAACAUGGAACAUGAAUAUGNNNNNNNNNNNNNNNNNNNNNNNNNNNNNNNNNNNNNNNNNNNNNNNNNNNNNNNNNNNNNNNNNNNNNNNNNNNNNNNNNNNNNNNNNNNNNNNNNNNNNNNNNNNNNNNNNNNNNNNNNNNNNNNNNNNNNNNNNNNNNNNNNNNNNNNNNNNNNNNNNNNNNNNNNNNNNNNNNNNNNNNNNNNNNNNNNNNNNNNNNNNNNNNNNNNNNNNNNNNNNNNNNNNNNNNNNNNNNNNNNNNNNNNNNNNNNNNNNNNNNNNNNNNNNNNNNNNNNNNNNNNNNNNNNNNNNNNNNNNNNNNNNNNNNNNNNNNNNNNNNNNNNNNNNNNNNNNNNNNNNNNNNNNNNNNNNNNNNNNNNNNNNNNNNNNNNNNNNNNNNNNNNNNNNNNNNNNNNNNNNNNNNNNNNNNNNNNNNNNNNNNNNNNNNNNNNNNNNNNNNNNNNNNNNNNNNNNNNNNNNNNNNNNNNNNNNNNNNNNNNNNNNNNNNNNNNNNNNNNNNNNNNNNNNNNNNNNNNNNNNNNNNGGAAGCAAGAUACCAACAUCAAAAGGCGUUCCGUAAGAUACAAGAAACCAUUAGGCGAAAUAUAGUCAAAAACAGUCCUCCAGUUUGUAUGAUAGGUUUCAACCAAAGCUUGAUGCAACUGCCUGACAAGGUUACACCUUGUUUCUCGAGUAUUAAUCACAUGUACAGACCCCUUCUUUACUCCAAUGAUACUCCCACACAUAUUCAGAAUGAACAACUCCCAUGGGCGACUACAUUUCAAAUCUUUCACGAGCUUCUCAUGUAGUUCAGAAUCAACACUACCGGACCCCAGAAUAAUCAUUGCUAGCCUUCCAACUUGCCCAUAGGAAAGCUCAAUAGUUGAGCUGGUAUAAUCAACAACGAGUUGUUUGAGAAGUUUUUUAAAAGCAUCACUUUGUCUAAGAAGAAUCAUAUUCCCUCUCAGAGUUUUUCUCCAAUCAAAAGGAAAUAUGCAAGCAACAAUACUUUCAGCUGACAGAUCAACAAAUUUCCUUAGAUUAGACGAGUAGUAUUAUCCUCGCUCUGAUCUAUUGGGAAUACUUCAGUGGCUAUCUUGGGCCAACGACCCAAUAAUAGAUGGAAAUAACAGCCCAGCCCAAACCGGACCGACUGCGAUCUCCGAAAUAAAAGGGGAAUAAGAAACUUAAUCUACCAUUCCCUUUCGUUAUCUAUCUUUCACGCUCUCAUAGAAAUCUCGGACCCUAAGAAGAAAAAAUUAUGGCUACCGCAACCGAAACGAGCUCCCAGCAAGAUGUGAAAAAACUGACCUUCUCCUUUGAGCAUCUCGGCGCCUCUUCUCCCGGUAUGAAUUUCUUCGUUCAAUUUUUCUCGUAUGUUUUGGGAUGCGAAUUGUCUCUUAUCUGUUACUUUCGAAUUUAGAUCUGAAAGUUGUUGUCUCUUAUCUCUACUAUGUGCUCUAUUGCUUUUAUUACAAUCUGGUGUUUGUGUAAUUGGCUUUUACAAACCCCUAUGCUCGGAGUUGUUGCCGGAAUUUAUGUAAUUUUUGGUAAAGCUAGAGUCAAACGUGAUAUCCCAGGACUUGUUUAAUGGGUAUAAUGUUGCAUAAAGUUAUACAAUCAUUUAAGAUUCUGAUUUUCUUAUCUUUUAUGGGUAUCUAACAAUGGAACUUAAACAAACAGGUUCCUAUACCCCCGUCCCAUUAAGGUCGGAGGUGGUGCCUUACAAUGAGGAUUCUAAGGUGGACCGCAAACAAACUGCCGCCUAUGUUCCAAUGGGGGGUGAAGAUGAUUUUUACAUAGACAUGUCCCAGUUCGCAUUGUCUCGCAUUAAUGAGGGUUCUAAGGUGAACUGCAAACGAACAGCCACCGAUAUACCUGAUGUCUUGGGGUCUGCGAUCAGACGAUCAGUCUUGGGGCCUGUGAUCAGAGGACCAGUGUCGGGCGAAGGUGCUUAUAAACACAAAAGACCGUGUGUGCCUUGUAAUGAGUGUUCUAAGGAGCACCCCUCUUUUCCUUCUUGCCCUUAUGUGCUUUGUGAUCUUUGUCAUGACCGUCACUACCCUAUUUAUUGCCCUAGCGUGCCUUGUCAAGUUUGUUAUCAGGAUCUUCACCUUACUCCUUAUUGCCCUUACUUUCACCUUAUCCCACAGGGUGCAGCUUUUGACCGUGACAACUAUGAAGUAGUUUGUUGCUGUGGUAAUGAAUUUAAUGAGGAAAAGUGGGUUUGUACCUAUUGUACUGGGAGAAAUGCACUGCUGAAGCGUAAGUAUUGUUCCAUUUGUGAUAGUAGCUGGAAACAGCACAGCACCCAUGAAUGCCCCAAGGACAAGGUCCUUGCUACCGAGUCUAAGUCGAUUAGGGACCCAUUAUCUUUGUCAGGGCGAACAUGAUUCCAUAUGAUGUGGUCUGUUCUCUAAGAGCCCCAUGAGGAACUGUUUCAACACCUUCUGUGUUUGUGGACACAUGCAUGAAAGAUGGCAAGUUUACUGUGUUUAUGAAAUAAGCUAACGAUUAGUUUUUGUUUUUUCUGGAAAAUAGACCGGUUGCACCAGAGAGGAUUUGGUUAAUGUAAGGUUAAUGCUACUGUAAUUAAAGGCACCUCUAACAGUAUCUGAAAUUUGCUAUUUACUAUGUUCUGUAGGAUUUGUUUGUUUUUUUUUCUUUUCUCUUUUUGAUCCUUUGAAUUUUGGUUUUCUUGUCGCGCAGAAACUCUAGGAUUUGUUAAUACCUCUAUUCUGCAUCAAACAUUCAAUGAAACAAGAUUUGGUAGUGGCAACAUAACCUUGGAAGCAAGGUACAAACAUUAGAAGGUGUUUAAUAAGCUAUAAGAAACAGGCCUCCGGUCUGCAUGAUAGUUUUCAACCAAAGCUUGAUGCAACUGCCUGGCAUGAAACGCCUCCCUUGUUUCUCGAGCAUGUACAUACCCCCUUCUGUUCUCCGAUGAUACUCCCACACAUAUUCAGGAUGCACAGCUACAUUUCAAUUUUUUCUCGAGCUUCCAACUUGCCCAUUGGACAGCUUGAUUGUUGAGCUGGUAUAUUGAACGACGAGAAGCAACAUUUUGUCUAAGAAGAAUCAUGUUCAUACAUGAUACAUCUUUGCUGCGACACAAAUCUGGUUAAGAGUCCAGGUCUGGAAGGAAACUGAAUCGGAAUUCUUGAUAAUGAACUGGUAGAGUUCUUCAAGCUUGUUCAAAACAUUAUUGCUAAUAGGGAUUAGUUUGCAACUCCAAAAACUCCGAACAGCCAAAAGAAUUUGGAAAUAGUGUGGUGACCAAUUCUCCAUUCUUCAGAAUAUAUCUCUUAUCUAGGUCUAUACCUCUAACCCAAGAAGCAUCAAACACGAGUGAAAUAUAGACCGGUUUCAGAUGAAAAUCCCUCCAUUCUCCCAGGUAAUGCAGAAAGAGAUCUCCAUAGCUUCCUUUUUUGUUAACAUCUUGGGCUUCCUGAUGUUCAAAAUAUUUGACCUCUAUCUAUGGAGCCAGACUCUCCCGUCCGACAGCGUCUAUAGACACGCCGCCGUCAGAUGGAGGCUACAUGUUUUUGAAACCCCUAGCACAGCGGCAGAGAGUAACAGAAAAAUUAACUAUGCGAUGUACUUGAUCGAAUAAUUUUGAUAUUGAAUGUUUAGAACUUUGCAAAACAACGAAUUGUUUCUAAUUUUGUUAUAUUUUUUUUUAAUCAAUUUACCACUACGCCAAGUAGAGAAGAAAUUCAAAUUCCACCCCACCACUGAAUUUGAAAUCCAAACCCAGCUAUCAAAACUAAAAUAAACAACACUACUAUAAUUUUGGGUCUCAAGUUAGAAAUAUCCAAAAGCUGACAAUUCAAACUACUUGGAACCUGUAAACUGGGCUUAAAUGGUACAAAAACAUCAUCAAAUAGCACAAAAAUCCACAGGAUGUCCCAAUAUCUUCAGUCUUCCUUAACCAAGUCCGUAAACGAUGUCAUCCUAGCAGCUCUAUCAAAUACCUCCCUGCUAGCAUACGCUAGAUAAUAAUCACAAAUUUCACCGUCUGUGUUGGUAUAAGUUUGCUGCCGAAUAUGGUUUCCAAAAACAUUACACGAACCGAACCAAUUCUUGCAACAAUCUGGUGAGGACAGUUUGACAAGGUAAACCAGAAAGCCUGUUGGAGAACAUAACCAAAGUAUACUUUUCCUACGUAGACCUGUGUCAAAGCUAUAAAACCAAAACAAAAAAGACAUGUUAUGUGACUUAUGUCUAACAGUUUAACAGAAUACAUAAUACAGAAUACAUAUACACAUACACAUACACAGUUUUACAGAAUACACACAACAAUUUUACAGAAUACAGAAUACACACAGACAUACACAUAACAGUUUUACAGAACACACAUAACAGUUUUACAGAAUACAGAAUACACAUACACAUAAUAGUUUUACAGAAUACACAUAUACAUACACAUACACAUAACAGUUUUACAUAAUACAUACACAUACACAUAUUUUACAGAAUACAUACACAUACAAAUACACAGUUCUACAGAAUACACAUACACAUAACAGUUUUACAGAAUACAAAAUACACAUACACAUAACAGUUUUACAGAAUACAUACACAUACACAUACCUUCGUAGAUGUAAUUCCAAAUCCAAUGGACUCAAGAUGCGUUCAUCUGUGUUUUGAAUGAUGAAAAUCAUGGUUUUUCCAUCAUAAAACUUGUUUUCAUACUCAAUUUUAUGACGAUACAACUCAUCGAACACAGAUCCUUCAAACAAAAGCUUCGAUUCCCCGCGUUUUAUAGAAUAAACUGUCAAAAAUAUAUAAAAUGGGAGAAACUCAAUAAUUUUUAGCUCUAAUAUUUAAAAUGGAAAAAAAUAUGACAAUAUACCUUGAAUAACUCCACCAGUGUAAGGAUCAUUCUUUGCCGCUUCCAUUAAUUCUUUGACUAAGGCAUCCAUGUCCCUUGCUGAUUCUGGCCUGGUAGAAUUGUAAAAAUAAUUGAAAUAUAAGAAUAAUUAUUAUUAGUUACAGGGGAAACAUAAAAAAGCAUUCACAUAUUCUAAAGAAACUAAUAAGAAUUAUUUUUUUUUUUUUACAUACUUUCUUAACUGACAUAAUCCGAGCAAGCUUCCACUUCCAGAUCCAAAAACAUUAUCUUUUACGUUGAUCGCCUGAUCAAGCCCAUCCCCCACAAGCCUAACAUCAUGUGCCUACAAGAAAAAACAAUAGUUAAAUGUUAGAUCUUUUAUUUAUAAAAAAAAAAUAAUGUUUGAGCUUUGAUUUAUAUCAAAAAGGAGAAAUUCGAUAUAAUUUAAGACAUUUUGAGUCAAUUUAGCUUAUUUACUAUGUCCUAAUUGGUACAUUGUGGGUGUUAAAACUUGGGUGAAUAUAUGUCUAUGAGGUAUUUCAAAAAUUGGGUAUAGAUUAAAAUUCACAAACAAAAAUCUAUAUCAAAACACAUACCUAUUUAUCAGGAAUCCAAGAACAUAAGUGAACAAAAGAACGGUGAUCCUUUACAGGGUCCAAUGGAGACUCAUGAAAGUACUCAAUGGCAGCCCUGCCAACUUGAGCAAGAGUAAAUGGCAUUUGACUUCUUUUUUUUAUGCUCAUUCAUUUGUUCAUUGACACGCUGUUUCAUCUUCUGGCACCUGAUGGCAUCUCCACAUAGAGUGGCAUAAACAUUUGGAACGAUCUCUAUGAACUUCUGAUCAUUAAAGCUCAGCAGAAGCUCAUAACCAGUUCUCUUAUGUUUUGGAUCGACCGCUGGAAAUCAAACAUAAAUACGUGAACAUUAUUAAGUCUCACUUAAACAUAUACAUACACACACAAAGCAAUUUGAAUGUACCUUUAUAUGUUUGACUCUUUAGUGAAUCAACACCAACUAGUAGCUCUGUUGGCGAACAGCGUAUCCAAAAAACUGUGGUCCCGUGACAUGAUCCCAUGAAAUACUGAGUAAGCUCAGCCUCAGUGUUGCUCUCAUGCAGACUAAGGUACUCCGGGUCCUUCAAACUUGGCCAGCUCUUUGGAACUUCCAGAUCACUGAUCACAAAAUGUAAAACACAAGGAGACCAAUAAUUAGAUAAAAGUUCAGAAAAGAAGAAAAAUAUGUAUAUUAUAUCACUGCUAAGAGUAGAGUCAUUAUUUAUAAAAUCAUGGACGAAAAGAAAACGCUGAUUAUCUGGAAUAUAUUCUGGAAGGUAAAAUGACAUACCCCUCGAGACAUUUCUCCUUACACAGAUUAAUAUACUCAUCUGUAUAUUUGUUUAACAUAUUGUCCAUGCGAUUUACCAACUCUGGGAUAUCCUCUAUAGGCAUUAUGUCCCAAAUCUUCAAUACUUGUAUAUAUCUCAAAUCCUUUGCUAUGUCUGUUGUGCAAACAAUAUAUAGGUCUUCAACCUUAAAUUUCUUCAGGAUCAGUGAAGAGUUACCACAAAGUAUAUCUGAACUUUGCAUCUUCGGUCUCCAGCCACUGGCAAGCUUUAGUAGAACAUUUAUCACUGACCUCUUCAAACUGACUGACUUCAGUUUCUUGAAUGAAUUCAAAAAAUCAUCGCUAAAAAGUACCUGAAGAUUUAUUAUAGAGCAGAACAUCCAAUUUCAGAAACUUUUGAUAAGUUCACAUUAGGUUCUUAGAAAUUUAGGGGCGAUCAAGAAGUAAUAACAAAAAUCAAUAUCUUCAAUUACCUUCCAUCUAGCUCUUCUGAAAAGUACACUGUCAGAAUUAAGCAAAUCAUCUAGUUGGUCGAACUGUUUCUUCACUUGUAGUAUGGCCUUGGCUAAAUCCUCGUCUUCAUCAGCAUUAAAAAAGCAUUGGCGAUUUUUGGCAUCAAGGACCAAGGCCUCCCAAACAGACUCACUUUCACAUAGCGUUCUUUCAUUCCCCAAAAUCCACAGGCAGUGCCUGCAAACAUCAGAGAACCAGAAGUUAUAUCCAUCAAGCUAAUUAAAAAAGAUGCAAAAGCAUACAGGUUUAUGUAGGACAUACCUUGCCCUUGUAAGAGCAACAUUAAUUAUCUGCGGUUUUGAAAUAAACUCAAGUGACUGUUGACAAUUGGAUCGUACAGUGGAAAAUAUAAUGAUGUCCUCUUCCCCACCCUGGAACCCGUCAACUGUCUUCACUUUCACUAUAAAUCCAUCAAGAUUAUUAUAUUUCUUUCCAAGUUUGUCCUCGAUUGCAACUACUUGAGCAGCAUAUGAAGAAACUACACCAAUACUGAGAUUCUGUUUUGAAUCAAUCCAUUCUGUUACAAAAAGAAAACCGAAAGCCAUCAAUUGUCAGUAUGAAAAGAUAAAGAUGAUAGAAUUUCUACAGUUACGUGCUUGUUUGAGAAAAUGAUUCAAGGAAUUAUACUACCAAUGCUUAAAACCUUCAUUUCUACUACAGGAUUUAUAAUAGAUAAAUAAAUAAACCAUAUACAAUGAUCAUGCAUCAGAAGAAGAAAAGAAAAAAAAAAAAAAACCUAUUCAGUCUUGUAAACUAUAUAUAUUCACCACCUAAAUGGAACCAGUCCCACCAGAAGCUAUGAAGCACAGGGCAGAUAUAAGAAGUCUUGCAUGCAGUACAAAAACUCUUAGAUGAGCUUUAGCUUUUCUAAAUGGAAUAAAUAUUUAUCCUUACUAACAAAAUAUUAAACUUUCAAGUCAAUGCUAUGCAUACACCAAAGACAAUUUGAAAUUUAUUAACAAAUAUGACCAGAUCAGAAGCUGAAGUGCACCGUCACAUAAAAUAAAAUGAAGCAAGUUAAAAAUUGAAAAAAUAAAAUGAGAUGAGAACACAAGGAAGAAUGCAACGAUAUACCUAUGUACAAAUUCUGCAGUAUUUGUGAAACAACAGCAACCUCAACCAUAUUCUUCCGACUACAUCCAUCCUCGUCUUUCUCUUCUUGUCCACCAAUUACAUUGAUAAAAGAGUAAGGACCAAACAUUGACCCUUUAAGAUAACUUUCCUCCUGGCCUCUCCUUUUGAUAUAUGGAGCAUCCAGGAUCAUGUUAUUGUAGAAACUAGAAUUUGGGAAGGAACUGAUUGAUGGAUGCAUCCUGUACUGCAUAUUCAGGAGGUGUUUUGAGUGACCAACUAAGCUUAACCUCUCAAACAAGCUUCUUGCAAAACCAGCUUCAUCAGAAACCUACAGAAGUAAGGAAUUUAGCAUAAAGUAUACAUAAAUAAGAAGUGGAACAAAAACUGAUAGGACGAGUAAAGACAUGACAUCUACUUACAGUGCUCUUUACUAUAGCAGGUAACUGACAUUCGUCACCAACAAGAACAGCAUGCCUCACACCUGGUAGUUGAAGGGGGAUUGUUGAUUCACACUCUUUCAAUUGUGCAGCUUCGUCAAUAACCACAAUGCUUAAUGGCUCCAUUGCCAGUUUAUGCAACUUAUAUGAGCUGGAUGCAGUGCAAAAUAUCAAGGAAGCACUUUUGAAAACAAAAUGCCAUUAGAGACUCUUGCUUCAUAAAGUCCGGAAGAUCAAGUUUUCUAAGAGAGUCAAAUAGUUUAUGCAAAACUUUAAGGCAUUCUCUUCUAUUUGUGAAUAGAAGAAAAGAGUUAUCAACACAUGUCUCUGAUAUGUCUUCUACAUCAGAACGAGAGAAAAUGUCUUCAAGUGCUUCAGGAGCAACAUUACCUUGAAACAACAAUGAUUCAAAGGAAUCUACCAGGUUGACAAGCGAAACCAUGCUUUGGAAAAUAUCUGCGGAAAUGUGAUUUUUCGCCAUGUGGGUACAGAAGAUAGAAAUGCAAUAUCUUAGAGGUGAUGCAAUAGAAACAAAUCUAUCUCUUAUAAACUCCAGAAAUGUUUUGCACUUGUCCUUGCCAACUUUAGUGACAAUUCUACUUUCUUUCACUUGCAUUUGGCCUGUAGUCUUCAGUUCCUUCUCAAUAGUUAACCCGUUUCCCAGAAAAGUACGGUAGUGAGAAACACCAUCUUCAAGACAUUCUAUCAUGGAAGUAAAGCAAUGCCUCCAACCAGUCUGUGGCCCUAGGCACUCAACAAGCCUUUUGAGACGGAAAUCUAAAUAUAUCUCUUCAAUGUCUGAGCCAAUUUUGAGUCGCUCCUUAUUCCCAAAUAGAAGAACUUUUCCCAAAGAACAAUACGGAGCAUUGGACUCUACUUCAGUCACCAUCUUUACAAGGCGAGAAGCAAUUUCAGUUAUUGCAACAUUUGUUGGGGCACAAACAAGAGUCCUGCAAUUCAUCUGUAGCAGGCUUAAGAGUAGAGUGACAAUGGUUUUCGUCUUUCCAGUACCAGGAGGACCCCAAAUCAGUUCCACAGCAGACUUGUCACGAGAAUGCAGCAUUUCAAGACAGGCUAAAACAGUCCCAGUUUGGGAUUCACUCAAGCCAGAUGAUAAACUCUGUACCAAUCCCAUAUUCACAAUGUCACUGUUCUUUUCAGAGCAGACACUUUUCUGAGCCUGUAAUCAAGCAUAAGGUCUUCAGUCAGUUCCAGCAAUAUAUGACAGUUUAAAGAAAGAAAGAGUUACAGAUACAUAUAUGAUUACAUCUAAAAAAACCAUUACUUAAUUUCAGUGGUACACAAGUAUUAGAGUUAAAAGCAAGGGGGAAACAUUUGUCAUAUUUCUUCAUGAAAUUUAAACCAGAAGAUAUGGUCUCAAUAUUAAUAAAUUAUAACUGAUAUAGUAAAGGUUAUUUAGCUGUGUAAAAAAGCUGAAUUCACCGAGUAGGUGAGUACUAUCUAUGGUGUGACCAGUAUUACAUUACAUCUUACAUCAUCUAUAGCUUAUGUAACGCAACUAUUUCCCAUGUUAGUGAAUGUACUAACUCAACUAAUCAAAAUCUACUAUCACAAUUUACAAAGCUCUCACCACAUUAUCAGUGCACAGAACCUCCUUGACAAUCUUCAAGUUUUUGGACAUGUGCAAAGCUUUCCAUAUUCUUCCAUUUGGUAUUAAGUUCACUAGGAAAACCAUAAACAAUGGUGUUGUGCUCUUUAAGACUUUAAGCUCUUUGGAAGCCUUGACUUUAAAAUAAAGAGAAGUAGUGUCAUCCUUGUUCUCAUUUUCUGACACUUUAGUGACUGAUCCAAAAGCCCACGACCUCCCUAACCUUUGUAAAUCAGAAACAGUUUCAAGUUUAGCAUUUGCUAAAACAAAGAGAUCACCAGGCAAAGUUUUGUAUGGCUCCUUGCCACGGUCAUUGAACCUGUUUCGCCAGUAAUCAACCUUGACAUUGUAGAGCUUUCUUCCAUAUGGCUUGGCAUUUUCAAAAGAAACUACUUUAGCAUAUGGUGCCCUGUGAAUAGUCUCCAUACUUGAAUGGACUUGUGCUCGUGUUUCUUCUAAUAAAGGAUACACAUAACACCCGAAGUAAUGCUCAACAGACUGAAAUGACUCAGGAAUCUUUUCCACCUACAAUAACAAACACAAACAGUAAGUACUUACAAAGAUAGAAAAACAAUCAGUACUUACUCCUCAUUUCAUUGGAAAAACUUGAAUUCUCUAGAGCCGUUUUUCGCAAAAGCAUGAACUAUUUACAUGAAUCUUAAACAUAUAAGUUAAUCCGAAACGCAUUUACUCAUAGUUUCAGAAUUCAAACACAGCACACAAUCAAAACAGAGCCUUUUUCUUUUGCACAUCUCUGCUCAGCAGUACAAAAUGAAAAACAAAACCCACAAAAUCAAUUACAUUUUCACAUUGCAGUAAAAUCAAAGCAUGAUGAAAAAUUAGAAAACUGAAACAGUUGGGGUUAAAGAUUAGGUCUUUCUGAGUCAUCAAGAUUUGGUGGGCUUUGAGCUACUAAAAAGGAACCUCCUUUCACAACCGUCAUCAAGAUUCAAGCCAUAAAACCUUUCCCAUUUCACUCAUCUAUGCUAAGUAAACAUAAAGACGCUACCUUUCCUCAGUAAAAACACGAAAGAUGUGAUUUUUAUGCAGCAAAAGUGAAAACCAAUUACCUUGUUCUUGAAGAGACGUUCGUUGAGAACGUCAUCAAUGGACCAAGAGAAGACUGUAUCGGCCAAAAGGUUGGGUCUUUUACCUUUCUUCUUGUGUGAAGCUUCCAUCUUCACCUUUUCCAACUCAAAGGCGCUUGCUUUCCUUGUCUGCAUUCAAAACAAAGCAUGUGAUUUUGAUUUUGGAACCCACAAAGUUGUGUAGAGAAAGAAAAAGAACUGAUUUUGAAGAACAGAAAUGAAAGAAGUACAUUACAUUUUCAACUCUCUGGGAUUGAAGCUAGCAUGGAGUGUGAAAAGAGAGAGGUGAAGCUUCUGUGUGGAGUAAUCGCAAGGGUUUAGAAAGUGAGAGCAAAUUGUGAAGGCUUGGAGGAGAAGUAGUUCAUCUCUUGACCAUUUGACCCUUGUCUUCUUUUUUCUUUUUCUUUUUAUGCUUUGUAUUGUAAAAUGCACAUUUAUUUAGACGUUGGUUAUGUGAAGAGAGUCGUUGGGAGUCCGGACAAGUUCUUCCCACAAAGGUCUUUAUAUACAAGUGCACUAAAUAUACAAGUUCAUAUUUUGUCAAAGUUUAGAUUAUCAAUUUGGACAUUUGGGUAGAUCAAAUCCGAAACAAACGUUGUGUUACAAACUGAAGGUAAAUGGUCACUAAAAGGCAAACUGAAGCCCAGUUGUGUACAGUACACCAAGAGAGAAAAGAAUAUAGAGAAAAAUAAAUUACACACGGUGUACCUAUGCAUUGUGUCUCCGUAGCUAGUUUCUCAACUGUAGCCAUAUUAUCAUGAUGUGGCAUCAAAAUGUACUAAGAGAUACGAAAGCUACCAAGACAAUCGAAAUGUUUAUAACUGACCUUCCAUCUAAUGUGGCGUAGAAUUGCACCAAUUCAUCCAGCAUUUUCAGCACUUGUCUAGAUAACUUAUGUUCUUCUUUGCCAACACCAGACCAUGCAGCAGCGAAAAGCCAAAUAAUCUUCUCCAAAGCCAACUGAAAAGAACAGUAAGGAAAAAUUUAACACUAUGAAUCGCUGGCUUAUCUGAACCAUGUAAUAACUACUAGAAUUACCUUGAUUGUUGAGGCAUCUGAAAAUCUAUUGCACUGUUCUCUUCCCUUAGCUUUGUUGGUUUGAAACCCUUUAACUAUUUCCCACAAAGGGAUAAAAAUGGAUUGGGAAGUUAUUUCUAUUCCAAUGCUGAAGGGUUUCAGUGGUGUGCCUUUGCCCUUGUGAAGAACGAGCCACAGGAUGUUUUGAUUUCAGAAUUUCACCAGUGCAUAGGUUAGCCUUCAUGUAGAUGCAAAUGACAUCUGAACAGCAGAACCUUGAACAUUCAACCCCGAAACUUGUAACCACCAGAGAAUCACGUAAAGAUGCAAUUCCCUUAAGGACAUAACAAAACUCCUUUGGUAGCUGUUCAGAAAUGUACUUCCUCCUCAGCAUAUCCAAAAGAAUAUCAAAACCCAUACCAAAUUCAGAUAAAGCAAACAAAACACAAAACCCCAUCUCUGCAUCAGUAGCAAGUAAUACAUCUUCCAGCAUCUUCCAACUCUUGGUACACUUUUUAAUCAAUUUAAUCAUAUUUAUCUUAUCAAAAAGAAGUUCCCGAACCACAUCAAUCAGAAACUGAAGGAUGCAUCCAAAAGAAAUUAAAACAUCAGCCACUAUUACUCGGUAAUAUUCCUCUUUAUAUAUUAGCUGUUCAAUAAAACAAGAUCUUGUAGUGAUUGCAUAACCUUAGAAGCAACAGAUCCAAAUCAGAAGGCAAUCUACAAGAUAUAAGGAGCAAUCAGGUGAUAUAUGUAGCAGUGUAAACUCCAAUUCUUACUAUAAGUUUCGAACAAUGCAUCAUGAAACCUCCGCAAAAGAGAACCUCUGGACUGAUAUUUCCAAUUAAAGAGCCUUCAGAAAAGUCUGACUCUCUUUGUUCUACAACAGUGUCAGACACCACAGCACAUUCUAGAACUGUUGUAUUUUUAGGCUGCUCACUGUUAUAACCUUCUGGAAGCUCAGACAGAAUAUUGUCACAUGACACAUAGAUCCUCAAUGAACUUUUUCCAAGGAGAGUUGCAGUCUAUAUUUUUUACAAGCUUCCCACAAAGUUCAUUAUCCAGCUUACCAGACCCGAGAAUGAAACUUGAUUUGGUAGUGACAACAUUACCUUGGAAGUAGGAUACCAACAUCAGAAGGUGUUCAAUAAGAUACAAGAAACAAUUAGGUCAAAUGUAGUCAAAAACUUCCUCCAGUUUGCAUGAUAUAUAGGUUUCAACCAAAGCUUGAUGCAACUGCCUGACAAGAAACACCUCCCUUCUUUUCUCCAAUGGCAUUCCCACACAUAAGGCACUCCCUACAUAAUCAGAAAUAACAACUCCCAUGGCCGACUACAUUUCAAAUGUUCUCGAGCUUGUAUAGUUCAGAAUCAACAAUCCCAGACCCCGGAAUAACCUACAUGUCAAUCUACCGCGUUCACUUCUAUUGUUAUGCAUAGCUAGCUGGCUGAAUAUCAGAUGCUCAGGUGUUCUUCCCUAGGAAAAGCUCUGAACAGUAUCUGACCAUUUCCCCGGAGAAUGAUCACUGCUGCUGUUCAAAGACAGUAUAGCAUCUGCCCUCGAAUCCCUUAUCAUGCUCAAAACCUUUCUCAUUGUAGGUCUGUUCUCUGGUGUAAUCGAAACACAAGCCAUUGCAAUAUUAAGAAGCGCCUGAAGUUUCUCCUCUGAUGCCUCAUUGCCAGAGCUGACAGGUUCUGUCUCCUCGCGAACGGAACGAACCCAUCGAGGAAUGUUUUGAGUCAUGUUCAAAUAGAGGCAAUACAUGCAUGGGAAAACAAAUUCUCAUGUACCCAGUCCCUUUCUUUUCCACACCAAGUUCAGUUUCUCCUUACUGCAAUCCUCCUCCAUCAACCAUUUCAGCCCCUAACAUAUACAUUAAGAUUAAUAAUCCAACUCUCAACCAAUUUAGUACCCCAAGUAGGAUCAAAGCAUGCUACCUUAAUCCAAAUUCCAACUCUCCACAAAGUACUUCGGUUGUUCCUUCAUUGAAUUUGAAAGCUCGGAGUUCCUUAAUCAAAUAAAAUUCAUCGCAAAUCAGAAACGAAGUCUCAAUUUGGCCUUAACAAAACGAAUUAGAUGGUCCACACGCCGCGGCGUUUGCCGGAGUUGAAAGUCUGAAUCAUGGUGUUUCGGGUAAACCAGAGCCGCUGACUUCACCAUGGAAGUUUAGAUGUGGCCGGAGAAGGUGAAUCGAUCCUUCCUUGCUGCGAAGGGGCGUACGUGAUCGUCCGGCAUCGGGGGUGGCUGAAGGCUUUGAGGAUCGCAUAUGGCUACAUGCCUGCAUGUGAGGUUCAGAUUGGGUUUUGGUCGGUUUGGAAGUCUGUUUCAAUGCAUAAAAAAUAGCUUGGGUUGGGCUUGAUAAUGGGUUGGGCUUGUUUUUUGGUAGGCCUAGUUAUUUAGGGUUUUAAUAUAUUUUUUUAGGUUUUCAAUCUGUUAACGUGGAACUUGGGGUAACCCCCUCUGCGUAGGGUGGUCUAGGUUGCGCCUGGCUCUGUUCUUUUGAGUUUCAUCACAUGAUGAUUGCAUUAAGUUAUUUUAGGGUAUCUCUGCAUGGCUUAAUUCUUACGUGGCCCCUCUGAGGCAAAUCAUGUAUAUGUAAUCUCAUUUUUUAUUGAAUACAAAGCCGUACGUCUUUCCUCUCAAAAAAGAGUUUUGGCUAUCUUGGGCCAACGAUCCAUUAAGCUUAUAAUAGAUGGAUCCACAAUUGAAAUAACAAACCCAACCGACUGCGAUCUCCGAUAUAAAAAGGGAAUAAGAAACCUAAUCUAUCUACCAUUCCCUUUCGUUAUCUAUCUUUCACGCUCGAACCCUAAGAAGAAAAAAUUAUGGCUACUGCAACCGAAACGAGCUCCCAGCAAGAUGUGAAAAAACUAAUUAACCUUCUCCUUUGAGAAUCUCGCCGCCUCUUCUCCCGGUAUGAAUUUCUUCGUUCAAUUUUUCUCAUAUGUUUUGGGAUUUUUCAACAGUUUGUUGCGAAUGUUUUUGAUAAAAAUAUGAUUAUUGAUUGUGAAAAAUAUAUAUGUUACUUUAUAAUCUCAGAUCUGAAGUUGUUGUUGUUGCUCUUGUCAGGUAAAAAGAAACAGUUGGGUUCCAGAUCUGGAAGCAGCGAUGGAAAAGGCUACACGGCAUCCGAUGAUUCAGGUUUUCUGCUUAAUUCGUUCCCCUUUCGUUUAUUAAACUAAAGAUGAUGCUCCCAAUCAUGCCGGGAAAACCACGUUGUUGUCCUUUAUGUAUAAGUCUUUACAGAUCUACGGCAUUAGGAGCUCGAAGAUACCAACCCCCGUACAAAUACUCCACUUAUGCACAAAAUUUCUUGAGGCAUUUCAAAGCAGUUGAUGCUCCCAUCCUGGUGACUUCAUCAUAUUGAUCAACCCCUGCAUCAUAUGCAAGCAUUCGUAACGCACCUAUCAUUUUUUGUUCUGGGAGCAAUCCCAGCUUUCUUGUGACAUUUGGCUUCUGUUUCCAAAAAUCGUCGAAAUUGCAAAGGUCCGCCAUGAUGCGAUUGAAUACUGGUUUUUGCAUUUGAUAACGCUGACAAAAAAUUGUGUUGCUAUACACUAGACGCUCGACAAAGUAAUCCUUCAUCAUGUUAGCCCCUCUUGAUUGCCUGUGUCUUUCGACGUUAUAGGCACAACCAAGUCGUGAACCACGACCUUAAGGAGUCUGCAUCUGCAUAUGGUGAUAUUGGGCAACCAAUGCAGCGGCUUGAGCAUUGUUGGACCGAAUCUGCAUAAUAUGCUCUUCAUCUUCUUCAUCUCUCGCUCUCAAAUAAUUUCUAGUACAAUCCAUGAAAAUGGUGAGAAGUGAAAUAGAUGAUGAUAUCUGAGUUUAGAAGGAGGAGAUGAAUGUGUGAAUGUAGAAUGAGUUUAAAGCUUAUUUAUUGACGUUUUUAGGAGACAAACUGUUAUCGUCUACACACGUGGCAUGUCAUGAUUUGCUUGAAAUCCUAUCCAAAAUCAUCUCAAUUAUUUUUGACGAUAACGAUAUAUGAAAAAGACAUGUGUCGUCUGUUUAAAUUCCAACAACCACCCAGAUACAAACUCCAUCUCAUAAACCAAACCCACAUACCGGAAUCACAAAAGCCAGAGUCUUGCCGGAGCCGGUCUUGGCGGCGCCCAGAAUGUCCCUUCCGCAGAGCGCGUGUGGCAAACACGCGCGCUGGAUAUCGGUCAUGUCGGUGUACCUGGACUGCCGCAAGGCGUCCUUGGUCUUCUUGGAGACGGGGAGCUCGGCGAACCUGGUGGCGCCGGCGUAGCGGGAGAAGGACGUGGGGUCCACGCGCCCGAUGGGGGCGUUGGAGGGGAGAGGCGGGAGGGACAUUGGGUUGGAGCCGCAGUCGGGUUUCUGGGAUUCGAUCCAUGAAUUGAGGAGCUUGAUUUCUUCGACCUCUGAUAGCAGCUUUUGCUUCCGCGUUGUUUUCGAUAUGGGUUUUCUCAUUGCUGCUCUCUCUGCGACGACGACGUUAGGUUUUUGGGGUUUUAAACUGAUGAGGGUUUAAGCCUUUACGGCUUUACGUGAAAAUGUAAAAGUUAACUUAAACAAAACAAAAAGGGUAAAUUUUCUCUUGUUUUUACUUUUUAUUUUUUUAUCAGUUAAAUAACCCCGGAUACUAAAACGAGAGUCUGGUGUGAGUAAUCAUAUUGCACUCAUUCGUCUAUUUUAUUAUGAUCAUGGCUUCAUCUAUAAUCAUUCUCAAAAAAUACCACCAAGUCGUGACGCGUACCAUAUUUUAACCAGUAAUUAGUUAGUCUCAUUUAUAAUUAUUUUUUAAAAAAUAUGUGUCAAUGACAAAAUAAAAUGUGUUAAUAGCAUCACAUUUUUCUUAUUAUUCUCAACCUUGUCAGAUGAAUCAUAUUGCACUCACUCGUCUAUUUGUUAUGAUCAUUUUUCUUUAAAGUACUACUCAUGGUAAUUGUAUAAAAAACUUACGAUUUGCAAGUUAACUAAUUUAGCCAUCGAUCAAUUCUCAUUGAUUUUACAAUUCUAUUCAUUGAUUUGCAAGCAACUUGCGAUUUGAGACUCCAAUAAUGUAGUUGUCUAUGUAGAAAUAUUGUCGUUCUCAUUUAACACAAAUAACAUAAAAAGGGGAACGGUGAGGCCGUGAGGGAGCCUUUUCCUUCCCGCUUAUCAUCAACAAGGACCAAACUUUACACCAAAAAUACUACGUAAGAGGGAUAGGAUAACACAAAAUGGCAGAAAAUGAGAAAGUUGCUCGGUAUCAUAACAAUGAUUAAACACAUUCAACUAGCAAAUUCAGCUUAGGAAGUUCUGGACACGUACAUUUCCCUCCGUUUUGUCACACUUUUCUGCUGUAAAAUGGUUGCCGGACCCAGACAAUGGUCUCGAGUUCCUUUCCAGCAAGUUUGACAUUGUGCUCCAAAAACAGCUGCGAAAAUUCAGGUUCUAUCUUUUCAGGCCAAUAAAUCCUCUCCCCCCUCGUGAGCAACCUCCUGCUAAGUUGUGCAACUGUAGAUAUUUUGUUCCGGAGUUCUUGUUCACUAAGAACAAUAGAGAAAAAUGAACAACCAAUGAGGCACCAAGCAAAGAAGGUUAAUCAAAAGGUUGCAGUAUCGGAAAUCGAACUGACCUCCCAUCUAAUGCCGCAUAAAGUUGCAUUAAAUCAUCAAGCAUUGUCAUCACUUCUCCAGAUAAUAUUUGUUCAAAUGCGUUCGGACAGCGUGCAGACCACACAGAAGUUAAAAGGAAAACAAAUUUUUCCAACUCCAACUGAAAUGCCAUCAAGUAAUGAGGAAUAUUAUCUACUACAACUGCUGCUCAUAAUGUGAACCAAAUAACAAAAAGUAAUGAUCCACUUACCUUUUUGUUGAGGCAUCUGAAAUAAACUCCUCUGAUGAACUCUUUUUCACCUCCUGCAAGCCUUCCAAUAUAUCCCACAAGUGAUCAAAAUCCUUAGGGAGGUUCCCGCUGUUUUUCACCUCAUCUGCUUCCAGACCUGAGUCGGGUUGAAGAAGCUUAGAACUUUUGAUCUCAGCCUCAUCCGAAUCAAAGCAGAAGGCCCAGCACAAUCAUUAGCAUUAGCUUCUCCAAAANNNNNNNNNNNNNNNNNNNNCAGACCCCUUCUUUACUCCAAUGAUACUCCCACACAUAUUCAGAAUGAACAACUCCCAUGGGCGACUACAUUUCAAAUCUUUCACGAGCUUCUCAUGUAGUUCAGAAUCAACACUACCGGACCCCAGAAUAAUCAUUGCUAGCCUUCCAACUUGCCCAUAGGAAAGCUCAAUAGUUGAGCUGGUAUAAUCAACAACGAGUUGUUUGAGAAGUUUUUUAAAAGCAUCACUUUGUCUAAGAAGAAUCAUAUUCCCUCUCAGAGUUUUUCUCCAAUCAAAAGGAAAUAUGCAAGCAACAAUACUUUCAGCUGACAGAUCAACAAAUUUCCUUAGUGUGUUUAGAUCUUCAUCAUUCAAAAACUUGGAUCCCAAAACACACUUCGCUACCGCAUACAUCUUUGCAGCUACAUAAACCUGGUUAAGAGUCCAGCUCUGGAAAGAAACUGAAUCGGACUUCUUGAUAAUGAACUUGUAGAGCUCUUCAAGCUUGUUCAAGACCUUAAUACUACAAGAGAUUAGUUUGGAACUCCAGAAAUUCCGAGAAUCCAAAAGAAUUUGGAAAUAGUCUAUGGUGACCAAUUCCCCCUUCAUCAGAAUAUAUCUUUUAUUUUUACCUGUGACCCAAUCAUCAUCAGACAUGAGUGAAACAUAGACUGGUUUCAGAUCAUCAUGAAAAUCCCUCCAUACUCCCAAAUAAUUCAGAAACAAGUCUCCAUAGCAUCUCUUUUUGUUAACAUCUUGGUCUUCAAGAUUAUCGAAAUAUUUGAUCAAGUAAACAAUCUUGUCCUUCACAAGAUUCCAGAAAUACACCAGUGAAUCAACAGAAAACUGCUUUUUUGAUUCCUUCACUUCUAAACACUUUAUCAUAUCAUCAGGCGAUUUUUCUUCCCACAAAUACUUUGAGCUUGAGGACAGAUGAGAAUUAAGUAUUUUUUGGCUGGAAAACAGUUCAGCUCUCACCAAUUUCAUCUCUGGUCUGAUAUUAUCAACCUCAUCAUAAUAGUGAACUGCACAUCUCUCAAGAAACUUAAGUUCAGUUUUAUCAGUCCCUUUUUCUCUUAUAGCCAGACCAUACUCUUCUCUUGCAUGUUGCUUCCAAUCCUUAAUAUACUGCAAACCUAUGUCAAAUAGAUCUCCCACCAAACAUGCAGUAAGACACUCUGAGAAAAGUUUCCCCCUAGCAUAUACAUCAGCCGCCAAAUCAUAGCGUUCUGCUAGUGAGAAGCAUUCGCCGGCCUUUUGAAGUCCGGGUUCACCACAUUUUUCCAUAUAUAUAGUAGCUGCAAAAUUGAAAUUUAAUACUUGAGACAUUAAUUAUACUUAAAACUCAAAAGGCCAAUGACUGAAACCACAAAAGCUGGAUAAUCACAACAGAUGAUGCUAUCAUACCUGCCCUUACAUACAUCCCCAAAUUACAAAAGCAUCUAGCAGCAUAUUCUGGCCUUUCUAUGGAUUCAAAAAUGUUUGCCGCAUCCUCAUAGCUGCCUGCUAGAUAAAAGCAUUCUGCAGCUCUUUCCAGUCCUUGUUCACCACAUUUGUCCAAAUAAAUCCUACCUGCAUCACCAAAUAUACUUACUCAAUGCAAGCAAGAGUUUGGAUAUAGCAAUAACAGACAUAUGAAAAAUAAUUAUUUACUGUUGCAGGAAAUUGUAUCCUCAUACCAGCCCUUUCGUAAUCCCCUAAAUCAAAAAAGCAAUUGGCAGCAGAAUUUGCCAUUCCUAUAUCUUCAAAAGUUAUUGCAGCUUCCCUAAGAAAGGAUCUGGCCUUUUCAGGAUUUGAUGAUUGCGUACAAUCAGCCAAAACUUUAAGGCCAGAUGCUCUUGACUUUCUUUCCCAAUUAAUAUCAUGUGCUUUUUCAAAGCACAUAGUGGCCAGUUCAUAGUUAUGCUGGUGAUAUAGCUGCACAAAACAUGAAUAUUAGUAAUUCAGACAGAUAAGAAGGAAAAAAAAAAUAAUGAAAGGAUCCUAUGAAAAAAAUAAUUAUAAUCAUCUUAGCAUCACAAUGACAAUCACUGUGAUGCUUAAAACAUGCAUAAAGGUGAUAUUAAUAUAACAUCUGAUACAACAGCAGCAACAACAGCAGCAAAAAUGCUUAUAUCUAUUCCAGAAACUAAACUAACCUUCAUGCCACGCAUUCUCCACUCCUCUGGGGUACUUUCAACUUUCAUUUUCUCUACAAGAGAAUCAUCAAUUUGCCUCACUUGUAUCAGACACUUCUUCUUCCAAAAGUCAAACAUGGGACUGCAGAUAUCAGCCAUUUUCUCAUAAAUCCAAAGUCUCUGUUUUGUGCGUGUAACAGCAACAUACAAUUGCUUCAAUUCAGAGCACAGCAAAUGGUGUUUGCCUCCAUUGAAACUUGGAAAUUUCUCAGGUGUUCUCGGAUCAAGCAAUUCAUUUUCCUUCAUAUAUUCAUAUAUCAGCCUCCAUUGCUGUUUGAGGGAUGAAGAUCCAAAAAAGUCAUACAAAAUCACAUCCUACAAAACAGAGAUAUGAAUGUUAUGACUUACAAAUGAACAAAGGAUGGAUUUGAGCCAAAUAUAAAAAGCCAAUUGGCCCGAUUGUAUCUCUAUAUAUAUUAUAAAUUGCAGCAAGUUCUUAUCAAUUUCAAAUCUGAACCAGCAUCAUACCCUAAAGACAUUUAAAAACUGCAGCCAAAUGAUAUUGAAAGAGAAAGAAACAAAAGAACCGAUCUUGUCACUGGCAGAUUGAUUACAACUUAAAUCUCUUAAGAUGAUCAACGUUACGACUUCCAUGUGAUACGACUAUUUAAUGACCACUAUGGUAAUCACCUGAAACUCGAGCCCCUUGCUCUCCAAUAUGGUAAGAACAAGAGCCUGCUUGCCAACAAAGUUGGAAAUUUCCUUUCGAGCACAAGAGUCACGCACCAAAAUAACCUGCUCUGCUCCGAAGCCAACAAUGCUUCCUGAUGUACUAUUACUCCCAAAUAACUUUCCAAUCAUAUUUUCAUUUUCAUCUUCUCCGGAUUCAAGUAAAACCGGAGCUUCCCCAUGUACUGGACUAGUUUCAGGAUUCAAAGGAUCAAUAUAUUGGGGGAAAAAAUGAUACAGUAGAUCAAUUAUGCUCUGUGAUAACUUCAAUAUACCAUUAUGUGUGCGGAAGUUCUGAGUCAAAUGAAACUUGUUCGAGAUUUUUGCUUUGCCAAACCCUUUUUCAUGCUUGUUGCUUCCCGAUUCCAACAUAAACUUCUUGUAGAACAGAUGCCGUAUAUCUUCAAAUCUGAAGUCAAUACCCUUUGAAAUGGUCUGCGCCGUAUCACCCGAAAAGACAAAACCCUCGUCGACAUUACUACAGAUAUGCUUGAAUAGGGCAACUUGACUCAUUGUAAGAUCCUGUACUUCAUCAAUGUACACAUAAUCCAUCUCAUCACCCCUAUAAUUUUCAUGUUUCAGCCGACGGUGAAUAUCAUUUACGAAAUCAGCAAUAUCGAACUCCCCAUUCCUCAGCUUCAUUUUUUCAUAAACCUGAAAUAUAUCAUAUAUGAUCUCUUUAUUCUCCUCACUAAGGUUGGAAGCACGACCUGACAUUUUCACAUAACAGUCCCUACUACAUAUCCCAUCACUUGCUUCCAAAGCUUCCAGACCACCUUUUAUAUGAGAAAUAAUCUCUGUAAAGACUCUUGAAGCAUCAAGCUUCUUUGUUAUCUGGAUAUUAAAAUGAGGCCAGUAUGAUGAAUAGAACUUAUCAUAAUUGACCUCCUUUGUCCUCAUGACGGUUUGCAGCAGAACAGAUCUAGAACACUCUAGUGAACCAUGAGGAAGAUUUAGCUUUUCAAGGAAUCUUUCAAAGUAAGAAUUACCCAAACUUCCAUCCAGCAUCAUUAAGAACUUACUAAAUGUUAUGAAAAGAGGAUAGAUCUUCAGCGGAAGAUCAAGAAAAGAGUUUGGAAUAUCCCCAAACUGUGCUUCCUCAGCAUCAAAAUCAUCCAUGUCAAACAAACUGAACUCAGAUGAAUGGCUUCCACCAGAAGAAAAACUGUAGGGACACAAAAUUAAUAUUAUUAAAACGAUUCAUCAAUUGAAGUUGAUGUAUACAGUUGAAGAGAAUAUCUGGCAUGGUUUGCCAAGAUGACAAUGUAUCAUAUUAAGCUAAAAUAUCUACAGAUGGAUGAGCAGGAAGAAUGGUAUCACAAAUGAGGUGCUAAAUAUCAUGCAUGCUUGCAUAUUUAGCUAACUUAAUUGAUAAAAGUUCAUGUACCUAAGGUGAAUUAUUUGUUCGCAGAAACUGAAUAUGAAUAUGCAAUGACAGAAAUUAAGUUUUCUGUACGUACAUUCAGGUUCGUUUCAUUUGCAUACUUACAAGAUAUUACCAAGUUUCAUCUAAGAUCAACAUAAAGAAUAUAAAAUGAUUCUUGGGUAUCUAGUGCUACAAGAGAAUGGUGAACAGAAUUAAAGAGUUCAGUAUAAAAUGUAUAUAUAGUGAAUACAAACAAAUAGGUUCAAUUAUAUAUACUAAACCAUCCACGAUUCAUUUGUGAAAGAAUCCCCUUACCUUUUCAAAUGUAAAACAUGUUGCUUCACAGCAAAACAAAGUUUCGGACUCACUGUUACAAAAAUCUGUCGUAGAACAGAACUCUCCUCUGCUCCAUUCAAUGCUUCUUCUGCCAUAUUGUGACCCUCUUCGUUCUGAUACAACUUCAUUGACAAAACAGUAGUCUUACCGGUUCCUGAUCGUCCAACUAUAAAGGUACUCCAACCGUAAAGGAUUGCGUCCAUUUCCUCGUCUGUGACUUCAAAAGGGAGAUCCAUUUUUGUACCCUCACGGUCAGAGAGUAAGUGAUUCACCACCCCAGAUGAUAAGGAGUAGAACUUCAUCAGUAACAAACUCUGAUUGAACUUUGAACCUUCAACAGAACUAUCAUCCUGGGACAUGCUAAGAUCCUUAUAUCGAACAAUAUCCAAAGAGGGCGGCCAGGUCAUUGGAACUUCCAAGUCACUGGUUGCAAUUGACAAACCACAAAAGUAUUACUAUUUUCUAAAAAUAAAACAAAUUUGUACCUAUAUAUAUACAUGUUGUAUAAUUCCAUAUAAAGGGGAACAGGAACAAAUGUACAACUUCAAUCAAAAUACUAAAAGGUAAAACAUACCCCUCGAAAUAUUUCUCACAGCAGAGUUUGAUGAAACCGGCAGUAUAUCUCACGAAAAACAGAUCCAAGUGAUUUACCAGUGUUUGGAUAGCACAAAGAUCCGGCAAUAUGUCCCAUACUUUUAAAACUUGCAUGUAUCUCAAAUGUUUUAUGAUGUCAGUUGAGCAAAGAAUAUAUAACCCUUGAACUUUGAACUUCUUCACAACCAUCGAAGAGGUAACACAAACUAUUUCAGCAUUACGUUUCGUACCUCUCCAGCCAGUUGAUAGCUUAAGUAGCAAACUGACUACAGACAACUUUGUUCGGAUUGACGUCAGUCGAUUGAACGACUUCAGAAAGUUAUCACUGAAAGUCACCUAGAAAAAUUGAGCUUUUCUUAAAUACUUACAAAAACAAGUACUUUGAAAAUUAAAGACGAAUUAAAGCUGGGAAAAUAGAAGCAGAGUACUGAAGCUUGUACCUUCCAUCUAGCAUGAGUAGCAUCUGUGCACAUGUGCAUAGCUUUCCAUAUUCUCAUGUUUGGUGCUAUAUUCUCCAAGUAAAUGAUAAACAGUGGUGUCUGAAUGCCACUGUUGAUAUCAAACUCUUUCGAUGCUUUGACUCUAAAACGAAGACAAGUAGUAUUAUCCUCGCUCUGAUCUAUUGGGAAUAAUUCAGUGGCUAUUAGAAACACCCAUGAUCUCCCUUCCUUUAGUAGAUCAGAAACAGUUUCAGGUUUAGCAUCAGCUAAAAUGAAAAGAUCACCGGGCCUAGUUUCGUAUGGCUCUUUACUGACAUUGUUUCUCCAACAAUCAACUUUGACAUCACAUAGCUUAUUUCUUGCGCAUGCUUCAAUAGAUAUUACCUUACCAAACGGUGCUCCAUGGAUAGUUUCCACCUUGGAUUGCAACUCAGAUCGAGUUUCAUCUAACAAUGGAUAUAUGUAAGAACCAAAAUAUUGUAGUAGGUCCGACCCAAAUGAUUGAGGACUCUUUCCCAAUCCGGCAACCUACAAAUAUUGUUCGAAUCGAAGGCAGAUCAUAUCAGUAAAACAUGUGUAUCAGUAACGAGUGAUGCAUGUUUCAUCUCUUAGAACAAAUCAAGUACGCUCUGUACUAAACUAGAGAUCGACAUGCACAAUUAUAUUAUACCUUAACAGAAGAAAUAAAACGAUCAAGGAGUUAGGUUGACAUGCAAACUCAUUUCCAGACUAGGCAUAUUCCACAAAAUCUCAUCAAAUUUUUAAGGGGGAGUAACAGAGACGAGGAUGAGCAAGAGAGGUAACUGAAUGUGUGUGUGUAAAACAUUUUACCUGGUGCUGGUAAAAAUUUUCAUUGAGAAUAUCCUCCAGAGACCAAGAAAACACAACAUCAACGAAGCUAUCAGAAGACGACUCAAAACCCUCCAUCAUGAUCCCCAGACUCUCUUAAUGCCUCAAUUACUGCAUCUAACUAUGAGUAUGAAAGAGAGAAAUGAGACGACUCUGCAUGUAAUAUUUCUUCCCUGUUGUACUUGCUUCUUCACUUUUUCUCCUUUUUAUCCUCUCUACUGUUCUUCUUUUCUUUUUCUCCUUUCUUUUUUUUUACAAAAAAAUUUAAUUGAGAGCUAAAUUACGCUACACCAUCAUCAUCAAGGCAAACUUAUAACCUCAACCUUAAAAACCUAACAGUGGACAAGUACAUAUUACACCAGCCUUUAGAUAUGAAUUUCCACAAAACCAAUAAGAUCUAUUAGUAAUAAAGAUCGAAUUUAAAUAAUAAGAUCUUCGUCAGAAACCGUCUUUACCAACUGAGCCAAUUUACUGAGCCAAGUUGGCUUCUUUUUCUCCUUUCUACUUUCUUCUUUUCUUUUUCUCCUUUCCACUUUCUUCUUUUCUUUUUUCUCCUUAAUGGCCUUUUUUAUGUUCAUCUUAACUGAGGCUUAAUUGUUAUAACUUGUGAGUGACUGAGUACUGGAGAAAUGGAAAAGGCGCGUGCGGUUGGAUCACCAUCCCGACCAACACGUGGAGAGCUAGAACCUCAAGGGCUAGCUAGGGUUCUGGUUUAGACAAGUGACGUCACCAGACCAUACUGCAAAAGUAGAGCGCUAUAAUUAGUGGCAGUAGAAGUGAAAGGUGGAGAGUAAAGCGUUUCGUGUUCGCGGAGUGAAUUUUCAAAUUCCGAGAAUCCUUUUUCUCGAAAGGCACAUAGAGUAGGAGAAGAACUGAAGCUUUAAGCAAUCUCAACAUAUUGGGCUCUAUUUGGGAAAGCCAAAAGGGCCUGAGACAACCUCUAAAUGGGCCCAAUGAAGUCAAGAGAAGCCCAAGCUGGGCAGCCUUGUAGAUUCUAUUAGGCACAAGCAAAACAAUACAAAAGAAACUCAUUAGAUGAAAGUCGUGAGAAAGUUGUGAGAUUGCACAUUUGCAUGAAAGUUGUCUGACAAAUUCAAUGUGUCUUGCUAGUUUUUUUUAAUGAAAAAGGUCAUACUCUAUUAACUAGGGCUGGCAAUUUAGGUCAUAUCGAAACCAACCAACCGUACCAACCUAGUUAAUAUACUAAAAACUUGGUAACCGACUUACUUGAUACGGUAUACCGUACCAAUUUUGGUAACAUGGUUGUUACUUGGUAUUGAGAUUUUCAUACAGUCGGUAUACCGUACCAACCAUGUAUGUAUAAUUAUGUAAAAAUACACUUAUAUCUAUGUAGGAAACGAGAAUUGAACCUCUAACCUUUUACAAACAAUCUAUAAAAUGUAUAAUAUAUGUAAAGAAAAUUAAAAUAUAUGUAUAAUAUAUAAUAUAUGUUUUGUUUUAUAGCUAUAACAUGCUAUAGAUAUAAAUACAAUUAAAUUAUAAAGUGUUUAAAUUUUAGCAAGAGGUAUGUUUCGAAAUCAUGACUGCUCUGAUGAAAAAUAUGACCACAUACCAUCAGACCAAAGCUAUCAUUGAAUUAUAUUUGUGAAAAAAUUAUGUUUAUCACUUCAUUUUUUGGGCCACAAUCUAAACUUGGUAGAGACUUAUUACCAACCGUACCAACCGUACCAAUUAAGUCGGUAUACCAACUUCGGUGGUUGGUUUUGGUAGAGGAUUUUGUCUACCAAUCAUAAGUUAGUUGGUACAUGGUAUUAAUAAAUAAAGUCGGUAUACCUACCAAUGAGUAAGCAGUAAAAAAACGAUCUCCCAAUGGGGUUCACAGAAAGAACCAUUAUGUAUAAACUAUUACAAAUUCAUCCAAAAAGAGUAAACUAAACUAGUAAUUUCUAAUACACCCACCUUCUUGUAUGAAACCCAUAACAAAAUGAAUGAAAACCCCGACUAAUAAAAGUUUCCCCAAAUGAGGUCACCGAGGUCUUUCUUCCUUAUGCGAUCUCUCCCACUCAAAUCGAGAUAAUAAAAAACUCAUUAUCCAUUGGUAAAAAGAGAUGUGAGCUGAAAACAAAAAUAAAAAUAAAAACAAAACAAUAACUACCCAAGAAGAAAACCCUAAGAGUCAUCCCUGACCAAGCUUUGCCACCGUCAAUCCCUACCCAAGCUGAAGCCGCCGCCGCCGCCGCUACCGUGCUCACACUGUGAAACCCGACACCAGCAACCAACCCAAGCUCACGAUUUUGCCCUCUAAGUUUAUCAAUAAUGCGCCAUCAUACUUUAAUUAGUUUAGGAGAGUUUGAGAUAUCUUUGUCAUCCUGGGCCAACGACCCAUUAACAAACCAGCCCAAACCCGACCGAAGAAACCUAAUCCAUCUAUCAUUUCGUUAUCUAUCUUUCACGCUCUCAUAGAAAUCUUGAACCCUAAGAAGAAAAAAAUAUGGCUUCUGCAACCGAAACGAGCUCCCAGCAAGAUGUGAAAAAACUGACCUUCUCCUUUGAGAAUCUCGGCACCUCUUCUCCCGGUAUGAAUUUUUUCGUUCAAUUUUUCUCGUAUGUUUUGGGAUUUUUCAACAGUUUGUUGCGAAUGUUUUUGAUAAAAAUAUGAUUAAUGAUUGUGAAAAAUAUCUGUUACUUUAUAACCUCAGAUCUGAAAGUUGUUGUUGUUGCUCUUGUCAGGUACAAAGAAACCGUUGAGUUCCAGCAGCGAUGGUUUUUUUCUCAUCUUAUGUUUUGAGAUUUUCUGCUUAAUUCGUUCCCGUUUAGUUUAUUAAUUUGUUUCCUAUGUUAGAAUUAUAUUAGUGAUAUCGUUGUUAUAUUGUACUUGUUAUAUUCGUUCCCAUUCAAGAUUCUUAUUUAUUUUAUCUUUUAUGGGUAUCUAACAAUGGAACUGAAACAAACAGGCUCCUAUCCUCCCAUCCCGUUCAGGUCGGAGUUCAUAGUGCCGGAUCCUGAGGUGAACUACAAACAAACAGCCGCCUAUAUUCGAGUGGGGGGUGAAAAUUCUUACUUAGACAUGUCCCAGUUCAUAGUGACUGGNNNNNNNNNNNNNNNNNNNNUACAUACCCACCUAUUCUCCUUUUGGCUUAAGGUCCGUGGCGGGUGAAGGUGCUUAUAGUGAAGAAAGUCGACCAAGUGUGCCUUGCGAUGAGUGUUCUAAGGAGCACCCCACUUAUUCUCGUUGCCCUUACUUGCCUUGUGACCUUUGUCAUCAGCGUCACCACCCUUCUUAUUGCCCUGCCGUGCCUUGUAAAAUUUGUUAUCAGCAUCUUCACCCCACUUCUAGUUGCCCUUACCCCUCCUCCAUUUCCCACAGGGUGCAACUUUUGACCAUCUCAACUAUGAAAUAAUUUGUGCAUGUGGUAAUCACUUCAAUGUGGAUAAGUGGGUUUGUACCUUUUGUACUAGGAGUAUACCUGUGCUUAAGAAGAAGUAUUGUUCCAUUUGUAAUAGUAGCUACGUACAGCACAGCACACAUGAAUGCCCAAAGGACGAGGUUCUUGCUGCUGAGUAUAAAUCGGUUAGAGACCAUCGUCUUUCAGUCGGGGCCAAAGUGAUUCCCUAUGACGAGGGUUCUCUGUGAGCAUCAUCAGGAACUGUGUCAAUUCCUCCUUCCGGGUUUGUGGACACAUGCAUGAAAGAUGGCAAGUUUAUUGUGUUCACCAAAUAAGCUUCAAUUACUUGUUUGCUUUUCUUGAAAAUAGACUGGUUGAACCAGAGGGGAUUUGGUUAAUGUAAGGUUAAUGCGACUUUAAUUAAAGACACCUUGAGAACUUGUUAAUAUCUGAAAUGUUUUUCUAUUUACUAUGUCCUGUAGGAUUUGCGUUUUUUGUUUGUUAUUGUCUUUCUAUGAUUAUGAUUGAACUCAGCCACUCAGGUGCUAUGAAGGUUAUGGAUUAUUAUUAUUAUUUUUUUUUCCCGCAGUUGGGAAAUAAUUUGUUGGUAGCUGUUCUCUGAUAUGUUCCCUCCUUUAUACAUCUAAGAGCACAUCAAAACACAUCCCAUAAUUCAUAUGAAGCAAAGUCAUCCACUCUGAUAAACCUUUUCAUCCAUUGAAUUUUGGUUUUUCUUAUUUUGGUUUUUGUUAUCGCUCAUAAACUCUUGGAUUUGUUUAAAAGAUAUCAGCACGUCUGCCUGUGUUUGGUACCUCUAUUCUGCAUCAACCAUUCAAUGAAACUUGAUUUGGUAGUGACAACAUUACCUUAGAAGUAGGAUACCAGCAUCAGAAGGUGUUCAAUAAGAUACGAGAAACAAUUAGGUCCAAUGUAGUCAAAAACUUCCUCCAGUUUGCAUGAUAGGUUUCAACCAAAGCUUGAUGCAACUGCCUGACAAGAAACACCUCCCUUCUUUUCUCCGAUGGCAUUCCCACACAUAAGGCACUCCCACACAUAAUCAGAAAUAACAACUCCCAUGCCCGACUACAUUUCAAAUGUUCUCGAGACAAUCCCGGACCCUGGAAUAACCUACAUGUUAGUCUACCGCGUUCACUUCUAUUGUUAUGCAUAGCUAGCUGGCUGAAUCAAAUGCUCAGGUGUUCUUCCCUAGGAAAAGCUCGGGAGAAUGAUCACUGCUGCUCUUCGAAGACACUAUAGCAUCUGCCCUCGAAUCCCUUAUCAUGCUCAAAACCUUUCUCAUUGUAGGUCUAGUUCUCUGGUGUAAUCGAAACACAAGCCAUUGCAAUAUUAAGAAGCGCCUGAAGUUUCUCCUCUGAUGCCUCAUCGCCAGAGCUGACAGGUUCUGUCUCCUCGCGAACUGAACGAACCCAUCUAGGAAUGUCUUGAGUCAUGUUCAAGUAGAGGCAAUAUUCAUGUACCCUUUCUUUUCCACACCAAGUUCAGUUUCUCGCUCCUUACUGCAUGCAAAUGAUGCAAUCCUCCUCCAUCAACCAUUUCAGCCCCUAACAUAUACAUUAAGAUUAAUAAUCCAACUCUCAACCAAUUUAGUGCCCCAAGUAGGAUCAAAGCAUGCUACCUUAAUCCAAAUUCCAAGUAAACCCUCCACAAAGUACUUCGGCUGUUCCUUCAUUGAAUUUGAAAGCUCUGAGUUCCUUAAUCAAAUAAAAUUCAUCGCAAAUCAGAAACGAGGUCUCAAUUUGGCCUUAACAAAAAGAAUUAGAUGGUCCACACGCCGCGGCGUUUGCCGGAGUUGAAAGUCUGAAUCAUGGUGUUUCGAGUAAACCAGAGCCGCUGACUUCACCAUGGUAGUUUAGAUGUGGCCGGAGAAGGUGAAUCGAUCCUUCCUUGCGGCGAAGGGGCGUACGUGGUCAUCCGGCAUCGGGGGUGGCUGAAGGCUUUGAGGAUCGCAUAUGGCUGCAUGUGAGGUUCAGAUUAGGUUUUGGUCGGUUUGGAAGUCUGUUUCAAUGCGAGGUGGCGGUGACAAGAGGUGGAGGCGGGGAGCUGCAGAACUUUAAAAACGCAUAAAAAAUAGCUUGGGUUGGGCUUGUUUUUUGGUAGGCCUAGCUAUUUAGGAUUUAAUUUUUUUUUUUUUUAGGUUUUCAAUCUGUUAGCGUGAAACUUGUGUAACCCCUCUGCGUAGAGUGGUUCAGGUUGCGCUUGGUUUUGUUCUUUUAAGUUUCAUCACAUGGUGAUUACAUUAAGUUAUUUUAAGGUAUCUCUACAUGGCUUAAUUCUCAUGUGACCUUUCUAGGGCAAGUUAUGUAUAUGUAAUCCCAUUAUUUACUGAAUACAAAGCCGUACGUUAUUUUUAGCUAUCUUGGGCCAACGACCCAUUAAGCUUAUAAUAGAUGGAUCCACAAUUGAAAUAACAAAGCAGCCCAAACCCGACUGCGAUCUGCGAUCUCCGUAUCUCAGUUUCUCACUAUCAGACUGAGAUAGUAUCAGUCUCUGCCAAAUGCGAGGUCUCCGCCGUCGCCCGUCGAUUGUCGUUGACCGUCGUCAUCGUCUCCCGUCCCUGCCGCUCGCCGAGAUGGAUGGGUGUCUGCUUGAGAUCGAGGUUGGCUUCGAAGGAGGAGAAGUUCUCAUACAGCGGCGAGGUCGGCUUCAAGGGAGGCAUGACAUAUCUUGCAGAGGAGAUCGCCGAUGUGUUGAGAUUGAGAUUUAAAAGUUGAAUUGAGAUUUUUAUUUUGAGAGGAACUACCGCAACCAAAACGAGCUCCCAGCAAGAUGAGAAAAAACUUACCUUCUCCUUUGAGAAUCUCGCUGCCUCUUCUCCCGGUAUGAAUUUUUUCGUUCAAUUUUUCUCGUAUGCUUUGGGAUUUUUCAACAGUUUGUUGCGAAUGUUUUUGAUAAAAAUAUGAUUAAGGAUUGUGAAAAAUAUCUGUUACUUUAUAAUCUCAGAUGUGAAAGUUGUUGUUGUUGCUCUUGUCAGGUACAAAGAAACUGUUGGGUUCCAGAUCUGGAAGAAGCGAUGGAAAAGGCUACACGGCAUCCGAUGGUUCUAGGUUUUUUUUUUUCCUCAUCUUAUGUUUUGAGAUUUUCUGCUUAAUUCGUUCCCGUUUAGUUUAUUAAGUUGUUCCCUAUGUUAGAAUAAUAUUAGUAAUAUCAUUGUUAUAUUGUAUCUGAUAGAGAUCUGAAAUUUGUUUCUCCCUGCCGUGUGGAUCAUAGUUGAAAACUCUGCUAUUGAAUCUAACUUUUGUUUUGGUUAGUAAAUUUGAGAUUGCUUUCUCUACUAUGUGCUUUAUUGCUUUUAUUACAAUCUGGUGUUUGUGUAAUUGGCUUUUACAAACCCCUAUGCGUGGAUUUGUUGCUGGAAUUUAUGUAAAUUUUGGUAAAGCUAGAUUCAAAAGUGAUAUCCCAGGACUUAUUUAAUUGGUAUAAUGUUGCAUAAAGUCAUACAAUCAUUUAAGAUUCUGAUUUUCUUAUCUUUUAUGGGUAUCUAACAACGGAACAUAAACAAACAGGCUCCUAUCCUCCCACCCCGUUCAGAUCGGGGUUCAUAGUGCCGAAUCCUGAGGUGCACUAUAAACAAACAGCUGCCUAUAUUCGAGUGGGGGAUGAAAGUUCCAAAGAGCUAGCCAAGUUUGAAGGACCCGGAGUACCUUAGUGUGCAUGAGAGCAACACUGAGGCUGAGCUUACUAAGUAUUUCAUGGGAUCAUGUCACGGGACCACAGUUUUUUGGAUACGCCGUUCGCCAACAGAGCUACUAGUUGGUGUUGAUUCACUAGAGAGUCAAACAUAUACAGGUACAUUCAAAUUGCUUUAUGUAUAUGUAUAUGUUUAAGUGAGACUUAAUAAUGUUCACGUAUUUAUGUUUGAUUUCUAGUGGUUAAUCCAAAACAUAAGAGAAAAAAUUAUGAGCUUUCAUGAUCAAAAGUUUAUAGAGAUUGUUCCAAAUGUUUAUGUCACUCUAUGUGGAGAUGCUAGAAGAUGAAGGACUAUGUCAAUGAACAAAUGAAAGAGCAUAACAAAAAAAGUCAAAUGUCAUUUACUGUUGCUCAAGUUGGCAGGGUUUCCAUUGAGUAUUUUUAUGAGUCUCCAUUGGAUCCUGUAAAGGAGCACAUUUCUUUAGUUCACUUAUGUUUUUGGAUUCCUGAUAAACAUGUAUGUGUUUUGAUAUAGAUUUUUGUUUGUGAAUUUAAUCUAUAACCAAUUUUUGAAAUAUCUCAUAGACAUAUAUUGAGUGUUAAACCUUGGGUGAAUAUAUGUCUAUGAGGUAUUUCAAAAUUGGUUAUAGAUUAAAAUUCACAAACAAAAAUCUAUAUCAAAACACAUACAUGUUUAUCAGGAAUCCAAAAACAUAAGUGAACUAAAGAAAUGUGCUCCUUUACAGGAUCCAAUAGAGACUCAUGAAAGUACUCAAUGGCAACCCUGCCAACUUGAGCAACAGUAAAUGGCAUUUGACUUUUUUUGUUAUGCUCUUUCAUUUGUUCAUUGACAUAGUCUUUUAUUUUCUAGCAUCUCCAUAGAGUGGCAUAAACAUUUGGAACGAUCUCUAUAAACUUCUGAUUAUGAAAGCUCAUAAUUUUUUCUCUUAUAUUUUGGAUCGACCAUUGGAAAUCAAACAUAAAUACGUGAAUAUUAUUAAGUCUCACCUAAACAUAUACAUAUACACAAAGCAAUUUGAAUGUACCUGUAUAUGUUUAACUCUUUAGUGAAUCAACACAAACUAGUAGCUUUGUUGGUGAACGGCGCAUCUAAAACACGGGUGGUCCCGUGACAUGAUCCCAUGAAAUACUUAGUAAGCUCAGCCUCAGUGUUGCUCUCAUGCACAAAGGUACUCCCGGGUCCUUCAAACUUGGCCAGCUCUUUGGAACUUCUAGAUCGCUGAUCACAAAACACAGGGAGACCAAUAAUUAGAUAAAAAAUAUGUAUAUUAUAUCACUGCUAAGAGUAGAGUCAUUAUUUCAUGGACGAAAAGACGCUGAUUUUCUGGAAGGUAAAAUGACAUACCCCUUGAGACAUUUCUCCUUACACAGAUUAAUAUACUCAUCUGUAUAUUUGUUUAAUAUAUUGUCCAUGCGAUCCAACACUGGGAUGUCCUCUAUAGGCAUUAUGUCCCAAAUCUUCAAUACUUGAAUGUAUCUUAAAUUCUUUGCUAUGUCUGUUGUGCAAACAAUAUAUAGGUCUUCAACCUUAAAUUUCUUCAGGUUCAGUGAAGAGUUACCACAAAGUAUAUCUGAACUUUGCAUCACUGGCAAGCUUUAGUAGAACAUUUAGCACUGACUGACUUCAGUUUCUUGAAUGACUUCAAAAAGUCAUCGCUAAAAAGUACCUGAAGAUUUAUUAUAGAGCAGAACAUCCAAUUUCAGAAACUUUUGAUAUAUGCAAUCAGGUUCUUAGAAAAUUAGGGUCGAUCAAGAAGUAACAAAAAUCAAUAUCUUCAAUUACCUUCCAUCUAGCUCUUCUUGAAAGUACACUGUCAGAAUUUAGCAAAUCAUCUAGUUGGUCGAACUGUUUCUUCAGUUGUAGUAUGGCCUUUUGGCUAAAUCCUCGUCUUCAUCAGCAUUAAAAAAGCAUUGGCGAUUUUUGGCAUCAAGAACCAAGGCCUCCCAAACAGACUCGCUGUCACAGAGUUUUUUCACUCCUCAAAAUCCACAGGCAGUGCCUGAAAACCUCAGAGAAUCAGUAGUUAUUUCCAUCAAGCUAUUACACCGGCUUAUGUAAAACAUACCUUGCCCUUUGUAAGAGCAACAUUAAUUAUCCGCGGUUUUGAAAUAUACUCAAGUGACUGUUGACAAUUGGAUCGUACAGUGGAAAAUAUAAUGAUGUCCUCUUCCCAACCCUGGAACCCGUCAACUGUCUUCACUUUCACUAUGAAUCCAUGAUCCAUCAAGAUUAUUAUAUUUCCGUCCAAGUUUGUCCUCGAUUGCCUCUACUUGAGCAGCAUAUGGAGAAAUUACACCAUUACUCUGAUUCUGUUUUGAAUCAACCCGUUCUGUUUACAAAGAGAAAACGGAAAGCGAUCAAUUGUCAUUAUGAGAAGAUAAAGGUGAUAGAAUUUCUACAGUUAUGUGCUCGUUUGAGAAAAUGAUUAGAGGAAUUAUACUGCCACAUGCUUAAUGGGUCAAAAUCUGCAUUUCUACUAAAGGAUUAUGAUAGAUAAAUAAAUAAACCAUAUACCAUGAUCAUGCAUCAGAAGAAGAAAAAGGAAAAAAAAAAAAAAACUAAUUCAGUCUUGUAAACUAUAUAUAUUGACCACCUAAAAUGGUACCAGUCCCACCAUAAACCAUCUGCAUUUCUAUUGCAAUGGCUUGUGUUUCGAUUACGAUUACACCAGAGAACAGACCUACAAUGAGAAAGGUUUUGAGCAUGAUAAGGGAUUCGAGGGCAGAUGCCAUAGUGUCUUCGAACAGCAGCAGUGAUCAUUCUCCGGGGAAAUGGUCAGAUACUGUUCAGAGCUUUUCCUAGGGAAGAACACCUGAGCAUUUGAUUCAGCCAGCUAGCUGUGCAUAACAAUAGAAGUGAACGCGGUAGACUAACAUGUAGGUUAUUCCAGGGUCCGGUAUUGUCUCGAGAACAUUUGAAAUGUAGUCGGGCAUGGGAGUGGUUAUUUCUGAUUAUGUGUGGGAGUGCCUUAUGUGUGGGAAUGCCAUCGGAGAAAAGAGGGAGGUGUUUCUUGUCAGGCAGUUGCAUCAAGCUUUGGUUGAAACCUAUCAUGCAAACUGGAGGAAGUUUUUGACUACAUUGGACCUAAUUGUUUCUCGUAUCUUAUUGAACACCUUCGGAUGUUGGUAUACUACUUCCAAGGUAAUGUUGUCACUACCAAAUCAAGUUUCAUUGAAUGGUUGAUGCAGAACAGAGGUAUUAACAAAUCCUUGAAUUUUGGGAUGUGAUUUGAUGUGCGAGGGAACAUAUAUAUCACCGAACAACUACCAACAGAUUAUAGUCCCAACUGAGGCUAAAAAAAAUAAAAAAAAACAAAACAAAACAAAUCCACAACAUCGAGCGGGGUUAGCAACUUAUAGCACCAAAGCAAUUCCAUAGAAAAACAAACAAACAAAUCCUACAGAAGAUAGUAAAUAGCAAAUUUCAGAUACUGUUAGAGGUGCCUUUAAUUACAGUGGCAUUAACCUUACAUUAACCAAAUCCUCUCUGGUGCAACCGGUCUAUUUUCCAGAAAAGCAAACAAAAACUAAUCGGAAGCUUAUUCCGUAAACACAGUAAACUUGCCAUCUUUCAUGCAUGUGUCCACAAACACAGGAGUUGAAACAGUUCCUCAUGGUGCUCUUAGAGAACAGACCACAUCAUAUGGAAUCAUGUUUGCCCUGACAAAGAUAAUGGGUCUCUAAUUGAUUUAGACUCGGCAGCAAGAACCUUGUCCUUGGGGCAUUCAUGGGUGCUGUGCUGUUUCCAGCUACUAUCACAAAUGGAACAAUACUUACGCUUCAGCAGUGCUCUUCUCCCAGUACAAUAGGUACAAACCCACUUUUCCUCAUUAAAUUCAUUACCACAGCAACAAAAUAUUUCAUAGUUGUCACGGUCAAAAGCUGCACCCUGUGGGAUAAGGCGAAAGUAAGGGCAAUAAAAGGUAUGGUGAAGAUACUGAUAACAAACUUCACAAGGCACGCUAGGGCAAUAAUUAGGGUAGUGACGGUCGUGACAAAUAUUACAAAGCACGUAAGGGCAAGAAGGACAAGGAGGGUGCUCCUUAGAACACUCAUUGCAAGGCACACAUGGUCUUUUGUGUUUAUAAGCACCUUCGCCCGACACUGGUCCUCUGAUCACAGACCCCAAGACAUCAGGAAUAUCGGUUGCUGUUUGUUUGCAGUUCAUCACCUUAGAACCCUCAUCCUCAUUAAUGCGAGACAAUGCGAACUGGGACAUGUCUCUGUAAAAAUCAUCUUCACCCCCCAUUGGAACAUAGGCGGCUUUUUGUUCGCGGUUCACCUUAGAAUCCUCAUUGUAAGGCCCCAUGAACUCUGACCUGAAUGGGACGGGGGUAUAGGAACCUGUUUGUUUCAGUUCCAUUGUUAGAUACCCAUAAAAGAUAAGAAAAUAAGAAUCUUAAAUGGUUGUAUAACUUUAUGCAACAAUAUAAGUACUGGUAUGUGUGUGUGUCCCUAUUAUAUAUCUGUCUUAUCAGUCAUGACUCAUGAGUACGUCUAGCUUUGCUAAACGUACAUUACAUAAAUUCCCGGAACAAAGUCGAGCAUAGGGGUUUGUAAAAGCCAAUUACACACGUACGUACACCAGGUUGUAAUAGGAGCCAGAAAGAACAUAGUAGAGAAAGCAAUCUCAACAUUAUAACUACUAUGAUCCACAUAUGCAGCAGGGAGAAACAAAUUAACAAGACAAAUUUCAGAUCUCUCUCAAAUACAAUAUAGCGGGAUAAAAUCACAGUUACUAAUAGUAUUCUAACACAAGGAACAACUUAACAAACUAAACGGGAACGACUUAAGCAGAAAAAACCUCAAAAGAUAAGAUAAGAAAAAAACCUGAACCAUCGGAUGCUGUGUAGCCUUUUCCAUCGCUGCAUUCAGAACUGGAACUGAACGGUUUCUUUGUAUCUGACAAGAUCUAAAUUCCGGAUUAGCAACAACAAUUUUCAGAUUGAAUUCGAAAGUAACACAUACUUUCACAAUCAUUAAUCAUAUUUUCAUCAAAAACCACGAAAUAGGGUUCCCUUGAGCAGAGACAGUUUUUAACAAACUGUUAUUUGAAAACAAACGGGUAAGAAGCAAACGAACCCUAAAAAAAGAAGAAGAUAGAGUAUAACUUGUUUCAGAUCACAGCAAAAUUAUACGAAAAGAGUUCAUACCAGGAGAAGAGGCGUCGAGAGUCUCAAAGGAGAGGGCUAACUUUUUUACAUCUCCCUGAGAGCUCGCGUCGGAUGCAGCCAUACUUUCUAGGGUUUCGAUUCAAUUAGAGCGCCAAAGAACAAUGCUAAUGCCUAAAGGGUUUCUUACGCCUUUUGUUUCCAAGAUCGCAGUGGGCCGGGUCAAGUCGCACGGUUUGGGCCGGGUUCUUCAAUUUCCGAAUACCAAUAUGUUCCCCCGCCCUGAAAUGUCCAAGUGUCUAACUGUUAUUGGCUCACAAGAUUUACACGCAUGGCAGAAAUCCACUGGGAUAAGGUAUAUAUAGACACACAUGACUUUGAGUUCUUCCUCUGUUCAUUCAAACCUUAUCUCUCCAAUGGCCAUCUCCAGUUCUUCUCCAAGUUCUGGAGACUGGUCAUCUUUGCCUUCUUUCAUAUCUUGCAGAAAAUCCCACAAAACACACAACCUCCAUUCCUUCUUUUCCAUUCCCAGAUGGACCAAUCUUCGAGCUAAUUUCCAAGUCAUCAACUCCUCUAGCUGCCCUUCUCCAAUUCUCGAAGAUCAAUCAUCGACCAACUUGUCACUCAUAGACCUGAAACUUCAACAACAUCAGACCCCGGAUGCCGGAAAGUUGAAUGAAUUCCUAUGUGAGCUGUUUCAAGAUCCAGAGAAGGAAGCAAUGGGGUAUGAACAGUAUGAGAAGGCCAAGAAGGUCGCAGAAUUCAGACCAAACAAGUCAACAUUGGAGCAUGUAACGAGGUAUUUGGUACGAUCCAAGAAAUGGGAUUCAAUUCUUUCGGUUUGUACUGAUUUCAAGACUUAUGAUUUGCUGCCUGAUAGAUAUACAUGUUCUAGAUUGGUUACUAGCUGCAUUAGAGCUAGGAAGUUCAAGGUUGUUAGGACUUUGCUUCAAGUGUUUAAGUCUGACGGCGAUGUUGCUCUGCCGGCCUUGGAUUCCGCAAUGAGAGGCUACAAUGAGCUUCAUAUGUAUAGAAGUACAAUGUCUGUGUUUGAAGAAAUGAUAUCUGCUGGAAUUGGACCGGAUUCCGGGUGUUAUUGUAGGAUAAUGGAAGCUUAUUUCAGAAAAGGUGACCAUAAAAAAGUUGUUGAGUUAUUUCAGGAUUUGAAAAGUAGGCAAUUAGAUUUGACACCAUUGUCAAUUCAGAUUCUAUGCCAAUCUUUAGCCAAAUUGGGGAAGCCUCUAGAAGCUCUAGAGAUUUUUCGAAGUGUGACAAAGGAAGGCGUUUCUUUAGACUCUUCAAAGAUAUAUUCUGUUUUGAUUAGUUCAUUUGCGAGCAUUCGAGAUGUGAAGGUGGCUGAAGAGCUAUUCAAAGAAGCAGAAACCAAGAAAAUGUUGAGGGAUCCGACGGUGUUUUUGAGACUGAUCACAAUGUAUGUUGAAGAAGGGUUGCUGGAUAUGACUCUUGAAGUAGUUAAGGCAAUGAAGGGUGCAAAUAUCAGAGUUUCGGAUAACAUAUGUUGCGCAGUUGUGAGUGGCUUCUCCCGGAAAAGCACGCUUCUGAAUGCAGUUAAAGUGUUUGAAGAUUUGAUCUUAAUGGGAUGUGAACCCGGGCAGGUAACAUACGCUUCAGUAAUCAAUGUGUAUUGUCGUCUUGGGCUUUAUUCUAAGGCUGAGAUGGUAUUUAGGGAGAUGGAAGAAAAAGGAUUUGAUAAAUGUGUGGUGGCGUAUUCAAGCAUGGUUGUUAUGUAUGGGAAGACAGGAAGGCCAAGAGAGGCAAUGAGGCUUGUCGCCAAGAUGAAAGAAAGAGGGUGUAAGCCAAAUGUGUGGAUCUACAAUUCUUUGAUGGAUAUGUAUGGAAGGGAUAAUAAUACGAGGCACGUUGCAAAGCUAUGGAGCGAAAUGAAGAGAAGGAAGGUUGCACCAGAUAAGGUGAGUUACACUACUGUUAUAGGUGCUUAUAACAAGGCAGGGGACUUUGAAAUGUGCCUGAGGUUUUACAAUGAGUAUAGGAUUCAUGGUGGUGUUUUGGAUAAGACCAUGGCUGCAAUGAUGGUUGGGGUUUUCUCCAAGAGUGGUCGAGUUGACGAGUUAGUGAAGCUUCUGCGAGAUAUGAAAGCAGAAGGAACAGGACUAGACGUGAGGCUUUAUCGGUCUGCCUUGAAUGCUUUGGCAGAUUCUGGUCUGGAAAUGCAGGUGAAAUGGUUGCAAAGUAGCUUUGAGGUGACAUAGAAAUAGAGGGCUUGAUUGUAUAGUGUACAAAAUCCCAGUGCUUGGCGAAGGCACUCGUUCAAGUAUGUUCUCUACUAUUAGAACCUCGGGAGUUCUUUGUAUUGGAAAUUGAAAUUGCAUAUAGAAAAAUUUGUUAUACUCCCAUCAUUUUCAUGUAGGUAACUGAUAUUUGAAUGUGGAAUAUACACUUAAAAGUACAAUUUUAUCGUCUUCAAUAACUUUAAAUUUCUUUAGAAGAUCCGGGAAGAACUUAUUUUCAUAUCCAUGGAAUUUAUUUUAUAAACUACAAACAUAUAAAGCACCGUAUAAGUUUUACAAUUGAAUGAAUCAAUGGAACAAGACAUUGCUCUUUUUCGUUGCUUUGCUGCUGACACUCUGGCGUAUGAAGGCUCAGAUUUCAGUUGAGAGCACUACAAAUCCUUCUUAUCUGCCCAUUUGAGCCAGUGAGAGGGUUAAUGUCUCCCAUCUUGAUCAUGGCAGCCGCAAAAUCAGCCUUGAAGUUUGCAGGUUUGGAGCUAUACUCCGAGACAAUGCUGUCUGUGGAUCCUCCACUAAAGAGAACUUGAUCGGAUGCAAGAAGACCCUUCUUCUGGAUCAAGUUCUUGAAGUAGUUGUUGUCCAGUUGAUUUGGUGUCACCAAAUCAAGUGCUGCCAAAUUUGCAUCACCAUCAUUAGCUGCUGCGGGACAAGUACGUCCGCGAGUACGAGCAAAGUUAGCAUCAAUGUCACUGGUGUUGCUGUAGAUUCUUCCGCGGAAUGUGAAGCACUGAGCUUGUCCGAUGGAAUGUGCACCUGAGAGCGCAACCAAGUCUCUGGCAUUGAGGCCUAAACCAGCAAACCUGUUAGUAAGGCUUUCAAGGCUGUCUAAGAAACUGGGAAGCGAGCUUCCAGCUAGGCUUUUGCUUGCUGUGGUCGAAUCCCUUCUUCCAAGCUUCACCGACCAGUCUGGACCUCCAACCUAUAUGUAUACAUAUUAUCAGUUCCAACAAGUAGAACAAGGGAAGCUAGAAGUUGGUGAACAAAAAAAUGAAUGAAUCAAGUACUCACAGCAACUGAAGCAUCCCUAGCAGCCACAGCGACGAUAUCUGCACAAGAAACUACACCAGGACAUAGUUUCUCCACUUCAGAUUUGGCAUUAUCUAUGACUCCAUAUCCUCUCACAGAGUUCAGAUUAGGCGGUGCGGUCUUUUCGCCUGUGAUGGAAGAAGUAUCGUCAAGUAAGAUUGACGCAUCACAACCCUGAAAACACAUGAGUACUGCACCGUAAGUUAUAGCUCAAAACGAAAGGCAUCAUUUAGUUGGUUAUAUUUAUAGGUUAAUUAGUACCUGAACAAAGCAGUCAUGGAAAUGCAGGCGGAUUAGGGAGGCUGCCAUCCGACGUUCAGCUGAGACUGCUGAUCGUAUGGAUUUUCUGAUCGUAGCGAGAGCGUUUGGACAUGCGUUGUCAUAAAAUGUUGAGGAGGAGAGCUGAGCUGAGCUUGUUGUGCUCAUCAGGGCAAGCAACAGCAGCAGUGCAAUAGAGGCAACAUUUACAUUUGAACUAAAAGACUUCAUCAUUGAACUUGAAAGUAAAAACUCCCCUACUCAAUACCAAAACCAAUUUACGUUUUGGAUGUGUAAAAACUUGUACUCGAAGCAACUAAUUUAAAACCCUAUGAAUUGCGAAUGAAGUUGAGGAAAUGAGAAGGAUUGAAGGUGAUGAAGAUUAAGGUUAUAUCUCGCAUGUAUUUAUAGGGCAAUUUUGAGUAAAGUAGACCUUAAGGUUUGCCCUGGUCACUAUUUACUGCUAACGCGUGCCCCUUUCAACAAUACCACUGUUCAAUUCUGAAAAUGACCCAUUCUGAUUUGGUAGGCAAAAAAGUCACCGUUUUUUACAUGCGUUAUCCUUUGACAAAUCUUAUCUGGAUCAAGUAAUAUGCUCUCAAACUGAUUAUGAAAGGUAAUCAUAUGCAAAUAAUAGAACUAGACCUCGCUAGUCAUUGUCUUACUGUAAUCAAAGUCUCUAAUUGUGAUUAAAGGUCAUAUAAACAGCUAAUCUGUUAUGCAUGCAUUUCUUUUCUUUUUUUUGGUCGUGUUAUGCAUGCAUUUGGGUAUCAUAUAUGUAAAGUCAGAAUAAAGAUUCUUGGCCUAUAUGGGUUGAACAUAGCAGGCCAUGCUUUGUUCUUGUUCAUAGUAUUUUUCACCAGUAUAAUAAUCCGAAAACGAAGAAUUAAACCACAAAAGGCCAGAGCUAGCGCAUAAUUCAACUCAUACAUAUUUGAAUCCCUCAACUCAUUUGACUAAUGCUCAAGCAUCCACCAAACUCAGCUUUAGCUGUAACUCAUAAUCUUGCUUAGAAGCUCUGAAGAUGUCAACAUGUUCUGCAAUCAUAUUUUACUAGUUCUUCUUAUUAUGUAUAUUAGCUGACUUUCUGAAAGUUACACAAAUGAUGACUUGGUACUUGCAUAGAAUUGUCUCUUCAAUACUCGUUCGCAUCACCAAAGCUAUAGUAAUCGGAGAAAUAAAUGCGGAACAGAAAUAGUCGUAGAGCAAUUACAACUCGAAUCGAAACAUAGCCAAUACUGAAGGUGAGCAAUUUCAUUCUUUCUUCACAUCAACACCAUCCACCGGCGGCAAUGACUGUACACACAAAGCAAACACAGAACCCAUCAUUUUUUUUAUACGAACCAAUUUCAUCAAACAUUUUUGUAAAGUCGAGUGAGGCAUUUCGUCGAACAGGUUACGUGCACUAAUUCAUAAUGAAAUUUUUUUGGAAGUAGAGGUAGUGAGAAAGAGAAGAGAGAUAGUAAGUGAGAUUACGAGAUCGGGUUUGUAGAGAUUGUGGACGACGGAGGCUCCGGCGAGAAGCGAAGCGACGACGACGACGCUGGACCAAGCCAGCGAGGGAGUGCCGGUCGGCAGUUUCCCUCCCCCGAACUUCUUAUUCAUAGGUGAAAUUUGAAAAGAGCUCAGUGACGUGCAACUAGAUAGUUUUCUUCGCCGGAACUUUGGUCGGAAAGAGUUGGUAUUCGCCGGACUGUUUUCUUUUCUGGUUAGACGAAGUGGUUAUUACAGUAUUACUUAUUGGGGAAGGCGACUUCAACGACGUCCUUUCGGGUCGAAUGUUGUUAAUGGGUUUCAAAGGGGAUCCGCCCGCCAGGGCAAAGUUAUCUUUGUUCUUGGGCUUGAUCUAAAAAUUAGUUUCAAGAAUCCUAUUAUGAUGCGAAAAUUUUACGACUUGAAAUGCAAGAAACAUAAGCGUUUAAGCUAACAAUGUAUUGCCUCGUAGUUUAAUAUAUUUGAUGUGAUUUAUAUGCUAAUUUUGUUGUAUACGGGACUCUUACUAUGAUUUGAAACACGUUUAGUAUCCAUAUUCGUGAUUAUUUGUUUAGAUGAAAUUGUUUUGGCCACGAUCCUCAGCGGGGAUACAGAGAUAACUUAGUAGUACCAAAAGUAAACAACGGGCGCAGGGUGUGCCACCGCGCGGACGCGGAAUGAGAACAGCGUGUGCUUGGCUUCUAAUCAAGCGAAAAUAGGGCUCCGGUGCCACCUCGCAGACGAGAGAUUACGAGUAAGCCUUUAUUCACCUGUGAAUCGAUACUCACUGUUAGAGCGAGCAGAGCAACUAAUCAAGAAGAAAAUGCGAGUCUGAACGGGCUCUGUAAACCAGAGCUAGAGAUGCUUUAGCACUUAGGGUUUUGAGGAGGCUCGAAGAUUUGUUUGUAGUUUAUAUGAUUUGAUUGUGUGUGUUGAAUAACCCUCGAGCCCCCUUUAUAUAGUGACUCGCGACUAGCUGAUAGAGAUGCAAUCACAAACCAAUUUAGACUCAACAAUUAGAAUGCCACAAGAACACGCCUUACUCGCGAAUUGCCUUAUCCAGACGACACGUGUCCAGUCGCACAACAGACUCCGCCUAGAUCACAAGCACUGCCUUCACGCUAUCCAACUGUAGUCCCCCAUGCGAACUCAAAUAAUGAGCAACCUUAUCUCGCGAGGUGCCACAAUCCUUGUCAAAAUCUAUCUCGCGCGCCUCCGAAGCUCGCGACUCUUAACGGCCUUUAUAUUAAAAAAAUAUCCCAGGUAUUGGCUCAAAUACUAUCCAAAAACUAUUACGUGGUCUUGGACCAAAAUAUCCACUCGGCUCAAACAGAAAUUUCUAAAUCAAAUGGUAUCUAAGAUGAGAAAGCUGCAAUAUAAAUGUACGGCAUUAUAAUCAUAUACAAAUCCAAGUUACAUAUAUCCAGAUGAUCUCCAAAUUGGAUGAAACUUUACAGGAAUGAUCUACACACUAUAUUCUAGACACAGAACAGUGGAGAUAUGAAAAUGUGACUUAAAAAUGAGCGAAAUGAGAAACACCACACUUUAAUUUUAAAAUUGUGUCCCUCUCGGGAAGAAAACUGUAUAGAUCAAUAAAUCAUCAUACUUAAAACACGACAUCACCUUCAUAUAUAUUCGAACAUUUGCCAAGUUUGAUUAAUCCGAUCCCUUGUAUAGAGGUGUACGUACGUGCUUAAAGCUAGCUGGGUAUAGUCAUGACAGGUCACAAGUACAUACUGUGGUGAGUCACUUUCCCGAGUUUGCUCAACCAUGGAAUGAGCAGCAGCAUGGGUUUCUCAGUCUCACACACAUGGGAUAUCUGCAUUUUACAGGUACUCUCUACUCACAUUUAUGAAGGAUCGAUAGAAUUCGAGAUGACAAUACUUUAAUAUCCAAGAAAGUGACAAGACUUGUACCUUGCCGAGAACAUGAUUAUAAACAACUAAUGAGAACAUGAUGAUGAACUUAAAGCAUUACAGAAUCGUGUGGGAAAGAGUUGGAAUUGUCGGCCGGAUUGUUUUCUCUGGUCUCCGGCAAAGACGAAGUGUUAUUGGGGAAGUUGAUUUGUGUUCUUAAUGGGUUUCAUAUUUGGAAUCAAGCCCGCCUAGGGAAAUCUAUCUUCCUUUGUUAUGGUGCUUGAUCAGGAUUUCUUUACAGUGCAUCUGGUUAUGAUUUGAAAGCACAUAGAGCAUCAUUACUGGUAAUUAUUUCUUCAGAUUGCUAAAGGAAGGAUGCAUACUCAAAACGCCUGCUAAAAAGAAAGAACCGAAGUGCGGCAUUACAAUCCUACACAAAUCCAAGCUACAUAGAUCACCCAACCUUAAAACACAGCAAGUAGACACAAACAUCAUUUAUUCUAAACACGUAGGUACGCUACAAUUAUAUGCAUCCUUCUUGCAUUGCUAAUUACUCAUUAACAGUGUUUGGUGCAGAAGCAUCUGCGGCGAAGACCGCGGCAGUCGCCUCCACUGAAGCCCUCAGUUUUGCAAACAGAUGCACAGUUGGUCUCACUCAAGCAAGUUCCCUUGAACUUGUGGCUCAGACUCUCACAAGUUCUUGCUUCUGCGACCAUUGUAUUUGGCCCCAUUCCUACAUACAGUUUAAACACACACAUUAGUAUUCAUACAUAAAGUUCAUUUACAUCUAGAGAUCAAAACAGUCAGUAAAUAUCAGAAGAAUGUAGAUAUUGAUUAUACCAGUAGCCACCAGAAGCAGAAGAGCGACGAAGACAGCCGAAAACAUACGCAUGAAACUCUCCAUUAUCUUCUUGUUCUUAAUAGCUCUUAACUGUGUAUAGGUGUGUUGAGGAUGAGAUGAGAUUACAAUGCAAGCUUACUAGCCUUUAUAUAGAAGCUGUCCACUAAUUAAGCUAGCUGAGUCAUCCGAAAGAUCGAGAAAGCCAUAAUGGUAAAAAGGAGGGAGGAGCUGGGGACGAGUCAUGAAUGGCGAGUAGGGUAUGGUCUGCACUAACAUCACUGCUUUUUCUGCUUUUUUUGAUUCUAGCGAACCACACGUUUGUGAAUUGUGUCAAUUCAAGCUCCAUUGAGUUGGCAAACCUGCAAUGAAUUACUGAAUACUGACUCAUUCUGCAAAGUUAGCUCAAUCAUGCAUGAAUGGGUAACAUGGUCUUCUCAAACUAGCUAGGGAUAUCACCGUCAACCAAUGUUGUACAUAUGUGAAGGAUAGAAUUCCAGAUAACAAUAGUUUAUGGUAAAGAAAGUCAUGAACUCAUGAUACACGUAGCUAAUGAUAAUGAAAUAUGUUUAGAAACCUAAAGGUGUACUCAACUACAUAAUAAGAACAGGGUAGAGGCUGCUUAUAGCAUUACAGAAUCAUAGGUGGUGCAGAAAAUGGAAAAGGAAUUUAGCCCAACAAUGGAAAUCUACCUUUUAGAAAAGAAAGAUAACACAGAUAUUGAAAGUGAGGAUCAUGAAUUUGACUUGUGUCUACCGACAUUGAAGAUUUUAACCUUACACGUACAGUAGCCAUAGUCACCCUAUUUCUUUCUGAAAGCAAAGCAUCUUAGCCAAAUACAACUUUCCUAUUUUUCUCUUUUCUUUGUUACAAAAUUUCUACCAUUCUAAUGGAUAUAAUAUACUGUUUAUUAUCAGCAAAGAACUGAUGGAAAACUGAGAAGUAAGAACCAACCCAAAAUUAAUCUUGACAACAAGACUACAAGAGAAGAAAUAGAACAAUUAAAUUUCUGAUAUAUAAUAGCUAGUAUGCUUCUACAUCAGAGAAAACCAAACAUAUGAAGAGAAAUAUAAUUUUCUUGAUUGAAGUAGAUGAUUGAUGACAAAGGAGAAUACAUGUUUAAACUACUACAGUACUACAAUCAGAGAUGCUAGCUAGCUAGACUAGGAUUUUGUCUUCAUCUAUUUGCUCUAGGUUUGUCUUGGCUUGUAGCAUAAGGAUGGACCUUGUGAGCAGAGCACGGUGGCAUUUGCAUGCAUACUAUUGUGUUUCAGAUAUGGACUGCUAUUUUUUUUUUUUUUUCCGAUUAAUGGUAUGCUGCUGGUGUAUUGCAAUCCUAUAUGCUUAUCAGUAAUAUAUAUAGUCGAAAAAGAUUCUAUAUAAAACAUGCAUACAAGGUAAACUAAAGGCUUAUUUGGUACAUUUUUCCCUAUCAGCUUGGGUUCCCCCAAACUUCUUCCUUAGAGAUUCUACUUCUUCAUCUUUCAACGUCGUAAAUAAUGUUUUGGGUUCCCCAAUCUUGUGACCAUCAGCUACAAUCUCCCAAGGCCGUUUUGAUUUAUUGACAUCACAAAGGGAUUUGAUUGACUCAUGAGGCAAGUUCAGCUGCUCAAGUACCCUAGCAGAAAUGGAAGGCAUGUACGGUUCCAAUAAGAAAUCAAGAAGAUGCACUAACCCUACUGAAGUUUUGAUGACAAUAGAGCACCGAGGCCGGUCCUCCUUGUAGAGCUUCCAGAACUGGGAUCCUUGGAGAUAUGCAUUCCCCUCGCUAGAAAUACUCAUUGCUAAUUUAAGCCCUUGCUUUAGUUUGAGCUUCUCCAUUGCUUCCAUGUAUUGCUCUACAUGUCUGCCGACUUUUUCUGCUAACUCAACUGUCAAAGCAUCAGAGUCUGCACCUGCAGCCUCAGGAAUUAUGCCACCAUAUCCUCCUGAAGGUUUAGCAAUGAAACUCAAAACUCUGUUGAUGAAGUCGCCUAAAUUACCAACCAACUCACUUUUGAGUUUUGUUUGUAAAUCGGACCAAGCAAACUCAGUGUCGGAUCCCUCAGGCCUAUUAGUCAGCAAGUAAUAGAGCCACACUUCAACUGGAAUGCCUGUGAGUUUUGCAUCGUUUCCGAAAACUCCAAUGCCUCUACUCUUAGAAAACUUGCCUUUUUCAUAGUUUAAGUACUCAGUUACACUGAUAUUGUUCAUGAGUGUCCAAUUUUCUCCGGUUCCAAGAAGCGCUGAGGGGAACAUGAUUGUGUGAAAUGGCACAUUGUCCUUCCCCAUGAACUGACACAAUUCGACAUUCUCGGGAUUCUUCCACCACUUCUCAUACUGAUCAGGAGUGUAGCACUUAGUAAUGGAGAUGUAUCCAAUAGGUGCAUCGAACCACACGUAAAAUACCUUGUCUCUGAAGCCAUCGUGUGGAACUGGAACACCCCACUUGAGAUCCCUUGUAAUGCAACGUUGUUUAAGCCCCUCGUUGAGCCAUGCUUUUGUGAUAUGAACCGCAUUCUGGCUCCAACACCCUUUCUCUGAUGCUACAUUGAUGUACUCUUUCAACCUAUCCUUGAGCAAAGGGAGGUCCAGAAACAAGUGACUUGUUUCGCAAAUCCGCGGAGCUUCCUUGCAAACCUUGCAUUUAGGAUCUUCUAAUUCGAUCGGAUUCAAGAGCUAUCCACACUUGUCACACUGGUCUCCUGGGGCAGAAUCAUAGUGACAUCUAGGACAUGUCCCCUCCACGAACCGGUCCGCUAAGAACCUGUUACACUUGUCACAAUGGAGCUGCUGGAUUGAGUUUUCGGCAAGGCAGUCAUUGUGCAACAGUUUCUUGAAAAUGUCUUGGCAGACCUCAGUUUGCUGUGGCGUGGAAGUUCGUCCGAAAUGGUCAAAGCUUAUGUUAAACCACUCAUACACCUCCCUAUGGAUUUUGUGGUACUUGUCACAUAUCUGUUGGGGGCUGCACUUCUCUUCCAAGGCUUUGGUCUCCGUAGCCGUGCCGUACUCGUCGGUACCGGAGAUAUAGAGGGUAUUGUAUCCCCGGAGACGGCAGUACCGAGCAAAGACAUCGGCGCGCUCAAGAUGCAGCCGAUGAUGUUGCCGAGGUGGGGGACGUUGUUAACAUAUGGCAAGGCACUGGUGAUGAGGACGUUUCGCUCUCCUGGUAUUGGGAGCUUGGGGACUUUCUGGUCCUGCUUGGUUAGAUUUUCCAUUGUCAACUUUUAUAGCCAUUAAGUUGACCAAUUUACCCUUAAUUUCUCUUUUUUUUUUAGUUUUUUUAUAUUUGUUUUCAUAUUCCAAAAAUAUUAGAAGAGGUUUUAGAAUUUGAUAAUUCGGGUUGAUCUUUGUAAACUUGAAGAAGAUUGAAGAGAAACAUCCAGAAGUUUAAUCUUUGUUGUUUAUGCUGACACUCAAUCUUUGUUGAUCUUUAUAAACUUGAAGAGAAACAUACAAAAGUUCAAUAUUUGUUGUUUAUGCUGACACUCAAGGAUCUUGUUGUUGCCGUUGACAAUGAAGGAUAAUUGAGAUGAAAAAUUGAUUAUUAACAAGGAGAAAGUGACGAUGAAUUUUUUUUCUACGUUCCUAAAAAUAUAAAAAAACCAAAAAAGAAAAUUGGAAUAUGAAAACAAAGAAAAGAAUUUAAGGGUAUAUUGGUCAUCUUUUUUUGGUUUGAGGGUAAAUUAGUCAUCUUAAUAGCUAUAUAUACUAAUCUUAGGUCGGGAUGGAAACAUGAAAUACCAAUCUAAUAUUUUUAAAACUUGGUAUACCAAAGUUUAUAAGGAGCAAAAGUUUGUAUAUCAUUCAGACGAAUUUCUCUUACAGAAAUGAUCUAUACACUAUAUUCUAGAUACAGAACGGUGGAGAUGUGAAAAUGUUAUCUAAAAGUGAGCGAAAUGAGAAGCACUACAUUUUAAUUUGAAAGUGGUAUCUCUCUCUGGAAGAAAACUGUAUAGAUCAAUAAAUCAUCAUACUAAAAACACAACAUCACCUUCAUAUUCGAAUAUUUGCCAAGUUUGGUUAAUCCGAUCCCUCGUAUAUAGGUGUAUGUACGUGCUUAAAGCUAGCUGGGUAUAGUCAUAACAGGUCACAAGUACAUACUGUGGUGAGUCACUUUCCCGAGUUUGCUCAAUCAUGGAAUGAGCAGCAGCAUGGGCUCCUCAGUCUCACACACAUGGGAUAUCUACAUUUUACAGGUACCUCUCUACUCACAUUUAUGAAGGAUCCAUAGAAUUCGAGAUGACAAUACUUUAAUAUCCAAGAAAGUGACAAGACUUGUACCUAGCCGAGAACAUGGUUAUAAACCUAAAUGUACUCAAACACCUAAUGAGAACAUGAUUAUGAACUUAAAGCAUUACAGAAUCGUAUGGGAAAGAGUUGGAAUUGUCGGCCGGAUUGUUUUCUCUGGUCUCCGGCAAAGACGAAGUGUUAUUGGGGAAGUUGAUUUGUGUUCUUAAUGGGUUUCAUAUUUGGAAUCAAGCCCGCGUAGGGAAAUCUAUCCUCCUUUGUUAUGGUGCUUGAUCAGGAUUUCUCUUACAAUUUUUUUACAGUGCAUCUGGUUAUGAUCUGAAAGCACAUAGAGCAUCAUUGCUGGUAAUUACUUCUUCAGAUUGCUAAAGGAAGGAUGCAUACUCAAAACGUCUGCUAAAAAGAAAGAACCAAAGUGCGGCAUUACAAUCCUACACAAAUCCAAGCUACAUAGAUCACCCAAACUUAAAACACAGCAAGUAGACACAAAAAUCAUUUAUUCUAAACACGUAGGUACGCUACAAUUAUAUGCAUCCUUCUUGCACUGCUAAUUACUCAUUAACAGUGUUUGGUGCAGAAGCAUCUGCGGCGAAGACCGCGGCAGUCGCCUCCGGUGAAGCCCUCAGUUUGGCAAACAGAUGCACAGUUGCUUUCUCUCAAGCAAGUUCCCUUGAACUUGUGGCUCAAAGUCUCACAAGUUCUUGCUUCUGCAACCAUUGCAUUUGGCCCCAUUCCUACAUACAUUUUAAACACACACAUUAGUAUUCAUACAUAAAGUUCAUUUACAUCUAGAGAUCAAAACAUACAGUGAGUAAAUAUCAGAAGAAUGUAGAUAUUGAUUAUACCAGUAGCCACCAGAAGCAGAAGAGCGACGAAGACAGCCGAAAACAUACGCAUGAAACUCUCCAUUAUCUUCUCUUCCUGUUCUUAAUAUCUCUUAUCCUCUUAUCUAGCUGUGGGUGUGUAUAGGUGUGUUGAGGAUGAGAUGAGAUUACAAUGCAAGCUUACCAGCCUUUAUAUAGAAGCUGUGCACUAAGCUAGCUGAGUCAUCCGAAAGAUCGAGAAAGCUAUAAUAUGGUAAAAAGGACGGAGGAGCUGGGGACGAGUCAUGGCGAGUAGGGUAUGGUCUGCACUAACAUCACUGCUUUCUGCUCUUUUUGAUUCUAGCCAACCACACGUUUGUGAAUAAUUGUGACAAUUCAAGCUCCAUUGAGUUGGCAAACAUGCAAUGAAUUACUGAAUACCGACUCAUUCUGCAAAGUUAGCUCAAUCAUGAAUGGGUAACAUGUGAUAAAGUAAUUUGAGGUUCACAUCCAAAACCAAUUAAUAAUGGGUGAAGUGACCCAAACCCUUAUAAACUCACAAGCAAGGUCUUAUAUUCCCGAAGUGGGAUUGAUAUCUCAACACGCCCCCGCACGUGUUGCGAAUAAUGGGUGAAGUGACCCAAACCCUUAUAAACUCACAAGCAAGGUCUUAUAUUCCCGAAGUGGGAUUGAUAUCUCAACACGCCCCCGCACGUGUUGCGAAUUUUCAAGCCUAACACAUGGACAACUUUUUGGGUGAUGUGAAGUUCGUGUGGCCAUUUGGGCUUCACACAUGGACAUGGGUAACCCGCUCUGAUAUCAUAAUAAAGUAGUUUGGAGUUCACAUCUAAAACCAAUUGGUAAUAGGUGGAGUGGCCAAAACCCUUAUAAACUCAUAAAUAAGGUCUCAUGUUCCCGAUAUGGGAUUGAUUUCUCAACAACAUGGUCUUCUCAAACUAGCAAGGGAUAUCACCAUCAACCAAUGUUGUACAUAUGUGAAGGAUAGAAUUCCAGAUAACAAUAGUUUAUGGUAAAGAAAGUAAUGAUACACGUAGCUAAUGAUAAUGAAAUAUGUAUAGAAAUCUAAAAGGUGUACUCAACUACAUAAUAAGAACAGGAUAUCUAAACUAGAGGCUUAUACGUGGUGCAGAAAAUGGAAAAGGAAUUUAGCCCAACAAUGGAAAUCUACCUUUUAGAAAAGAAAGAUAACACAGAUAUUAAAAGUGAAGAUCAUGAAUUUGACUUGUGUCUACCGACACUGAAGACUUUAACCUUACACGUACAGUAGCCAUAGUCACCCUAUUUCUUCUUCUGAAAGCAAAGCAUCUUAGCCAAAUACAACUUUCCUAUUUUUCUCUUUUCUUUGUUACAAAUUUUCUACCAUUCUAAUGGAUACAGCCUCAAGGUAUUAUUAUCUUAUAAUAUACUGUUUAUUGUCAGCAAAGAACUGAUGGAAAACUAAGAACCAACCCAAAAUUAAUCUUGACAACAAGACUACAAGAGAAGAAAUAGAACAAUUAAAUUUCUGAUAAAUAACAGCUAGUAUGCUUCUACAUCAGAGAAAAACCAAACAUAUGAAGAGAAAUAUAAUUUUCUUGAUGGAAGUAGAUGAUUGAUGACAAAGGAGAAUACAUGUUUAAACUACUACAGUAUUACAAUCAGAGAUGCUAGCUAGACAUUCCAAACAAGUCGUGGUAUUUCUCGCCAAAAAAAAAAAAAACAAGUCGUGGUAUACUAGGUUUUUGUCUUCAUGUAUUUGCUCUGGGUUUGUCUUGGCUUGUAGCAUAAGGAUGGACCUUGUGAGCAGAGCAAGGUGGCAUUGGCAUGCUAGGACUGCAUUUUUUUUUUUUUGAUUAAUGGUAUGCUGCUGGUGUGUUGCAAUCCUAUAUGCUUAUCAGUAAUAUAGUCGAAAAAGAUUCUAUAUAAAACAUGCAUACAAGGUAAACUAAAGGCUUAUUUGGUACAUUUUCCCCUAUCAGCUUGGGUUCCCCCAAACUUCUUCCUUAGAUAUUCUACUUCUUCAUCUUUUAACGUCGUAAAUAAUGUUUUGGGUUCCCCAAUCUUGUGACCAUCAGCUACAAUCUCCCAAGGCCGUUUUGCUUUAUUGACAUCACAAAGGGAUUUGAUCGACUCAUGAGGCAAGUUCAGCUGCUCAAGUACCCUAGCAGAAAAUGAAGGCAUGUACGGUUCCAAUAAGCAAGCAAGAAGAUGCACUAACCCUACCGAAGUUUUGAUGACAAUAGAGCACCGAGGCCGGUCCUCCUUGUAGAGCUUCCAGAACUGGGAUCCUUGGAGAUAUGCAUUCCCCUCGCUAGAAAUACUCAUUGCUAAUUUAAGCCCUUGCUUUAGUUUGAGCUUCUCCAUUGCUUCUAUGUAUUGCUCUACAUGUCUGCCGACAUUUUCUGCUAAUUCAAGUGUCAAAGCAUCAGAGUCUGCACCUGCAACCUCAGGAAUGAUGGCACCAUAUCCUCCCGGAGGUUUAGCAAUGAAACUCAAAACUCUGUUGAUGAAGUUGCCUAAAUUACCAACCAACUCACUUUUGAGUUUUGUCUGUAAAUCGGACCAAGUAAACUCAGUGUCGGAUCCCUCAGGCCUAUUAGUCAGCAAGUAAUAGCGCCACACUUCAACUGGAAUGCCUGUGAGUUUUGCAUCGUUUCCGAAAACUCCAAUGCCUCUACUCUUAGAAAACUUGCCUUUGUGAAGGUCCUAGGAGGGGGGGGGGGGGGGGNNNNNNNNNNNNNNNNNNNNCACAAUGAUAUGAGUUGAAAAGGUUUUUGGUGCUCAGCUCUAAGAUUGACAAUCACAGGGAAGACUUAGAGAUAUAUGAGCAGUUUAGCAAAUGCUAGACUCAAUGGAAGAAAACAAGCAAGACUAUUUUCAACAACCAAAGAGCAAGAGAGGUCUUGCUCUCUAUUUAUAGGCAAAGUGCACAGCUAUGAGGAAGCAAGCACGUUUGCCGCAUCAACAAGAUUCUUUUGGACUCUAGCUGCUUGUCUGGAAUACUAGGACGGAUAGGACCUUAGGGAUCCCUCCACUCACAAGACAAAAGCUGAGAAUAGACUUUCCUAGGAAAGACUAAAGCCAAAAGAAUAAGACAAAAGGUUUUGGGAAAACUAGAUCAGAUUUAGUCAAGCAUAAAGACUCUACAAAACCACUUUACCUAAGAGGACACUUAGGACAGCUGAUAGCUUGGGCGGUGCAUCACAUGGGCAGCUGCCAACUUGGUUUUUGAAUCACAAAACCCAGCUGGUUCCCAAAGGCUCAAGUUAUGUGGUCACGGGUUGGUUUGCCACACCACCUAGACUAACUUGGAGCUUAAGUACGAAUAGACUAAUGUUUUGCUAAAAGGUAUUUGAAUUUCAAACACUUAAAAACUGAAGCAAACACAUUUGAAUAUGCAUAUGGUCAGACCCAGUAGAUAGAACAGAUACAACAGGGGUAUCCGUUUAAUCGGGAUGACAAGCACGGCUGCCAUCCUUAGUGAAUGAAUGUGAUGCACAUGCAUGAACUACCUGAUGCACAUGAGAACAGUCAGGUCUUCAAUCUUCACUUGAGCUAUCUUAUGUCUUUAGGACAUGAAGUGCAGCUUGUGCCUUGUGUGUUUUGACCAUAAGUAAUUGCCAAUAAAUCUUAUACCAACAAUCUCCCCCUUUGGCAUUCCUUGUCAAAACACAACUUCAGAGAUUGUGCUGGUUUCAAAAAGAGACUGAAAAACCUGCACAAACAACCUUAAGAACAAGUGAAGAAUUGGAGGGCCAAAAACUCAUCUGUACCAACUAUGGGAUAGCAACAAUAUUAUGCAUCAUAAACUUCAUGACAUCAAUAACAACUAAGCACAGAAGUAAUGAAACAUACCAUAGCAAUACCAUAGAUGAAACAACAUAGAUUUUAACAACACGCCCCUACAACUAGUUCUCCCCCUUUUUGACAUGGAAUGACAAAGGGAGACCAGUGUAGCCGAGAAUGAUAAAUUAACCAGAAUAAGAUCAGAGCGAUUCAUCAUAAUCACAAGAACAUAUCAUCCUCAGCAUUAGCAACUCUAUUUCCAGCAAACUCAUAACUAUCAAGGGUGGCAAUAAUGACUUUUUCAACAGGGGAAAAGUCAAAGGCAAAAACCUCUUGAUUCCACAACCAAACAAGAGCUAUAAAGCAUAGCUUGGUGUGAAGACCCGGAAAAACCAAGAGAGAACUCUCGUAGGUUAUAUGAGGGAUACGAGCAGUCUAGAUAUCCUAGAGACGUAUGGUUAAGCAUAAGAUAGGAUCCUAAGAUCUAAGCUCAACAUCUACACCAAUGUCCCAAGGGAAAGUUUGCUCAAAUGUCAUUUACCCAAGUAUGGUUAACCCUAGGAAAGGAUACUAAGGAAUUAUCUCAUCCCAACCCAUCAACAAACUACUUCACAACAUGGGGAAGAGUUUCAGGGUCAAUAGACUUCUCAUAAACAAUCAACCUUGAGAGAGUAAUAUGUACUCAUCAAAGACAAGAUGAGAAGGAGGGAAAGCUAGGGAAACAUAAGGGCUUUUGGGAGACAAAAUGGGUUUGGCAUCCUUAUAGCAGCUGGAGCUUUUCCUUCAAAGACAUCGUCUCCAUCUCUAAGUUUAGGCACUUUCCGAACACUAGCAUCAACAAUAGCUGAACAACCCGGUCUAUGUCUCAGUAAGAACUGAAGAGAAUGAUGGUGGAAAUGUGAUCUUGAUCUUGGGAGAGAUAAGGUCAAAAGGAUCAAGAAAGAGAGAGUGGAGCAGUUAGGAUGGCAUAUAGGCAGCGGAGGAAGCGUCGUGGUUUGACGUUAGAGUAUGCCUCUAAAACUACAACUCACUCAAACUCAAAACAACUAGCUAGAUUUUAUUCCCGUCAAAUCUCAAAGCUAGAGUUUAAUCCCCUCGCCUAUCCUAGAACUUGGGAAACAAGCCAAUCAUCAAAGCAAAACCCAAGAUCCUUCUCAGAAUAGAAGAGAUGCUUCAUAUCACCUGUAAUAGGGCAUAACCAAAAACAAGCAAUCUCACAUUUAACUCACGAGAAUGUUUUGACUAAGAUGCAAAUAUGUGUAUAGCCCACAACAUCAAUAUACUCCCCCUAAAAGGGUGCAAUGCUCCCCCUAUGAGUGUGCAUAAUAUAAAAGAAGGACCAACUAGAUGCAAGAUCUAUAAUCUGAUCCAAAUCAUAUAAUUGUAAGCACAAGCUCACAAAGUCCUCAAACAACAUGCAAAGAGUGACACACAAGAGUUUCCAAAAACUUUUGACAACCUUAAUUUAGAAAAAUAUAAGGUGCAUGUGUGUACCACAAGUUACCAAUUACUCCCCCUAAGAAAGUGAAUACAUUACAAAGAUAAUUAGACACCUUGGGUAGAGUAAAACACAAUAUGAGCACGUAACCACAAAUCCCACCUUUUAGGAUGGUUGGAGCAUAGACUAACAAAGCAUAGACACUAAGACUUCCACAACCCUUCAUUGCUCAAACACUUCAUAUGAAUAUAUGACUGAAACAAGAUAACAUGGUCCAUGUAUCAUGACAUAUAUCAGAAGGUGUGUGUGAAAAUAGCAGUCUUAAUGGGGCGUAUAAGGUGGCAUCAACUGAGAUAAGAGAUGAGGUAUCACAAGAGUCUUGAGACCAUAGGUCUUUUCCAUCCUUAUAUCUCCUAAGAACAUCUUCAGCAUUCUUAUUUUCAACAUUUUGCAGCCUUAUUUAUUUAUUUUAGGCGCCUAGCUGAAAGAUCGUCCUUAUAGGUUUAUGAAUCAGGAAAACAUUGUCAUUGACUCCCAAACCAGUUGGUUUUAGGGCAACAUGUGUAACAAGGACACGCCUAGGACAGUUUUCCCAAACCCAUUGAAGGAUAGAUCAUGACUCAGCUAUCCCCACUGAUCAACAUAUCCAGUGUGAGACUAACUAGUUAAACAUUUUAGAUCAUUAUCUCAUCCUUCAAAUAACAUCCUCAAAACUAGUCUCUUUUCUGCCCACCCUCAUAUCGUUCAUCACGAUCGAGGAAUGUAUACUUUGAGACUAGCCUUGGUAUCCCAUCAUCAAACCAAUCUCGUUUCUGCCCACCCUCAUAUCGUUCACCACGACUGAGGAAUGUAUACUUUGAGAUUAGCUUGGAAUAAUUCUUGCACCAACUCAUCUCAAGUUUAUAGCACUUGCAUUUUGCACACCACUUAGACACACUAUGUGAGGCAUAUAAGUUUUUUUUUUAUAUAUGUCAUGACUUUCAGACCACAGAAGAGUAAGUGCAGAUGCAUAUAAUCAUAGGAGAUGUAGAGCAGGUAAGAUUUGUGACAAUCCUAGACGCAUACUUAGGUCAAGAUCAACCAAAACAUCCAGGGAUAUCAUACAGCUCAUGCAUCCUAAUCUUACGGAGACCACAUAUGAGAUAUACUGAUGAAUCAGAUGCAAACAUAUAUGUGUACAAGAAAACAACUAAGAUAAGUGAAACUGAUACACUUACUUAGGUCACAUUCAGAAACUGCCUAAGGAUAUCACAUGGCAAAGGUAUUCUGAAAACACAUGUAUAUUUUGAAUUUUCUCUUUAAGAAAGAACUUCUAAGAGUAAACACUUAUGUGCACAUAUACAAGAGUCUCAAGGGAAGUAAUCAAUCUCUUUGGCACACACCAAUGGCCUUUCAAAGACAUAUAAAAUGAAGGUUGUCAAGAGAUUUUGUAAACAAACAUGUAUAUUGAUUUUCAGUAGGUAAAAACACAAUUCAAGCAAGAUAUGUUCAACCAAAUUUCUGAUGAACUGAUACUUACUCUCAAUAUGCUUGGUCCUAGCAUGCAGCACAAGAUUCUUGAAAACAUUCAAAAACAAGAGUACUAUCACAAAGACAAUGAUACAAUACCUUGUUGAAAUCCAUAAUUAGCAUACAUGUGCUACAUCCACAAUAGUUGCAUGCAACAACUUUCUGCAGUGAGGUACUCGGCUUGUGCAGUGGAGUUGGACACACAAUUUGGCUCCUAAUUGACCAAGAGACCAAAUUGGUUCACCUAAAGAAGCAACUCCUAAUGUGCUCUUUCUAUUCGUGGCAUCGUCAUCCCAAAUCCAAGUUGGAGAAUCCUGCAAUAUCAGUAUUAGUAUCAUAUGAAUAACUAAGACCAAAAUCACAAGUACCAAAAAUGGAAUCUAUAGAUACGGUUUACCGCCUUCACAUGGGAUCCCUUGGGGUUGGCUUGACAAUGACAAGCCCUAUGGUUGUGAGGUACAAGAGAACAUCAAUUAAGCUCUUGUAAUGGGUUUGAUCAACAUCCAAACCUUCCAGAUCGGCAUUGAUCUUACAGCUCGUGCCUAUCGGAUUCUGGAUGGCAGUGCAAGUUUCCAUCCUAAAUUACUGGAUGGCAUAUAUGUACUGACAAAUAAACAUACAUUCUAUUUGCACAACAUGUAAACCCAUAAAGUAACUUAAAAAGACUCAUCUCAAAUAUUUCCAUCAGAGUGGUAAACUUACCAACCAAAAAUAUCAAAAAUGGAACAAAAACACAAUGAGCUUGUGCAAUUAUAAUGUGCCUUGAGGUGCCUUUGACAAAUAUGGUUUUGUAACUGAACCUCUCACAUAACCAUUUUCAAUCAAGUGUGUGAACAGUCUCUCAUAAGCUCUAGAAACUUGCUUAUGGCCAAAAAGGGCAUUGACUAACAUGUACACAUAAUCAGGAUGGGUGAAGCUUAAGAAUCCUAGGAGUUUGGAUCUAUGAACUAAGUGUCACAAACAACAUCAAGCAAGGCUUUUUAAACUGGUCCAGCUCCUCUUGCAAGGCAUUGAUAUAAAUAUCAUCAUGCAAAUCAGUUAUAACAAUUAUGGACACAAAACCAUACAUAAGCAAGAAGAGGAUAUCAUAUCAAUCAAACAUUUGAGGAUAGCAACAUAGUUUACCAGUCCACUUGACUUACCCUUAGUUUGUCUAAGCACAUUAGAAAUAGGUUAACGUCACCAAGUGAACCAUGAGACAACUUACCCAUCUUACAAUCCCUACACAUACCUCAAGGGAUACCAACAGGCUUUGGUAUCCUUCUUACACUCUCUUUUGAAGAUAGCUUCACAAUGUCCAGAUGAUUCAGGUGACACAUUCACCUUCCAUGAUACUUUCAACCUUUACCAUCAGGUUUCAAGCAUUUUGUUUGGUCAAAGAUAAUCGAGUCAUGCUUAUCAACAAACCGACUCACACUAGGACACUGGCUUUUUAAUCCCCUGACUAGGGAGACCAGAAGUGCUAACUGUCCCACAUCAUAUGAUUUUGGUUUUAGCACCAUCACCAAACACAACAUUACCGUAUGGGUAGGAUUUAUGAAUGGAUGUGAACCACUUUGGAUUACUGGUCAUAUGCCUAGAGCACCCGCUAUCCACAAACCAGGAGUUGGGUUUCCUAAUAGAAAGGUCAGUGAGAUCAACAUUGCAUAUGGCAUCUAUCAUAUCCUGAGGUUUAGGAUUGAAGUAGACUCUUGUAAAGAAGCAUGACAAAUAUUCAUCUGAGUCAUGACCAUGGUCAUGUAAGGGUUUGGAGUCAACUAGGACUCUUGGCCUUCCCACUUUCGGGUUUGCUCUCCUUCUCUCCAUUGGUUUCUUAACAAGAAUCUUAGGCUUUGGGAUGGCAAGGUUCUGUGCUAUCCUUGACAGUUCUUUCAGGGAGUUUUCUAAAGAUGACUGAAGAGUGUUGAGACUCUCCUUCUUCUGUGACUUCCUACAGUUUCGCUGACUGGAUCUUAACUUCCUACAAUGAGGACGAAUGUGUCCUAUGAUUCCACAAAAAUGACAAGUGGGAACAAAACGUUGUGGGAUAGUAGACUCUAUGGUAGUGGAAUUUAGGGGAUCUUUGCUUUUCACAAACAUGGUCUUGCUACCCUGAUUAGAGCUACUUCCUGGCACGAAACCUAGACCGGUUUUGUCCUUAUCGGACCUACCCAAACCACAGAUUUUGGUCAACUUUUCAGAUCCAAGAGAGAACUUCUCAAAUUGGUGACGUGACUCACUCAAAGCUUUCUGAAGAUCUGACUUUUCAGAGGAUAGUGUGGAAACCAGUUUAGUCUGUACGUCUAAGCUAGUUUGUAAGGACAACACUUGGUUCUCUAGACAGACCUUUUCGGCUUUCCAUUUUGACUUACGGGAUAUGAACUUCUCAUGUAUCCCUACUUUAGUCUCCUUGCAUUUUGAAAGCUCAUUAGUGAGAACUUCAAUCUUUGCAAGCAUGGACUUCGAGGCAGAAACUAACCUAGCACACUUAUUAUGCAUGGUCAUGUCAGAGUCAUCAUCCUCAAAGGAUUCGUCUAGCAUAACAGAGGUAAUAAAAGCUACAGUCUCAUCAUGGUCAUAGGAUGACUCAGACUCACUAUCACUCCAGGUUACUUUGUAGGCUUUGUGGGAUUUAUUUUUCCUACUUGGACACUCGACAACCCUAUGGCCAACACCACCACAUUCAAGGCAUCUAUCAAUCCUCUGGAGGGAUCUAGGUUUAGGAUUCCUAUCACCUGUAGGAUCAUUGGUUCUAGGAUUCCUAGGAGAAGCACCUCUGGUCAUAUUGCGAUCAGAAAGAAAAGACAUUCUUUUCCUAAGCAGCUUAUCAAACUGUUUGGACAUGUAGGCUUCUAAACUACCCUCAUCAAACUCGGGUUCUGUUUCUUUUUCUUCUGGCUCUCUAACAGUGGAUAGGGCUAUGGUCUUCUCCUUUCUAGACUUCAUUCUCUUAGACUCAUAGGUUUUCAAGUUCCCUACCAGUUCAUCUAAGGUAUAUGUGUCUAGAUCUUGGGCUUCUUCUAUGGCAAUUUGCUUAGCCUCAAAACUAGGAGGAAGAGCACGAAGAAAUUUCUUAACAAUCCUAUGGAAUGCAAUGGGAUCUUCCAAUCCUUGACACUGGUUGGUGACACUAAGGAGACGACCAUGAAACUCAUCUAUACUCUCAUCUUCCCUCAUGUUCAGUUCCUCAAAUUCAAGAAACAGACUUUGAAGUUUUUGAGCUUUUACCUUAGAGUUACCUUCAUAGGUUGUGGCCAAGGUAUUCCAUGCGCUUUUGGCGGUAGGACAAGUAAUGAUUCUUCUCCGUUCCUUUUCAGACAAGGCCGAGAACAAGCUAUUAAGAGCUUUGGUGUUCAUUCUGAAAUCACCCUUUUCAUUAUCGUCCCAUUCUGAUUUGGGUUUUUGCAUGGAAACAGCAGAUCCCUCAAUCAUAGGACUCAUGGGAUGUAUCCAUCCCUCUUCGACAAUCGUCCAUUGUCUCCCAUCAUCUUGGGAGAUAAGGAAGGCAGUCAUCAUCACCUUCCACUGUGAAUAGUUUGUUCCAUUAAAGAAUGGUGGAGUAUUCACAGGGGUAGGGCCUCUAUAACAGUCCAUUCUCGGGACACAGAGGGGAUCUCACUAGCAAGCUAGUGACCUGCUCUGAUACCACUUGAAGGUCCUAGAGGGGGGGGGGUGAAUAGGCCCUGACAACUUUUUUGCUCUAUCCCGCACACAAGGAUAGCAAAGAUUGUACUAUCCUGUUUGCUGUGAGACUAAGUUGUGUAAAUAAAAAGGCAAGUACUGAAAGUAAAAGAUAUAACACCAGUACGUUUUUUAUACUCAGAAACCCUGCAACCAGGGAGAAAAACUGCGUGCCUCUGACCCUUGAGAGACAAACUAUUCCACUAUUGUAAAGACACUUCUUACAAGACUCACAACUCAGAGGAUAGCACAACACCUAGCUAUCCUGUCUAGUCUAACUACUAGCACUCAACUGAACUUGCUCUCUUNNNNNNNNNNNNNNNNNNNNNNNNNNNNNNNNNNNNNNNNNNNNNNNNNNNNNNNNNNNNNNNNNNNNNNNNNNNNNNNNNNNNNNNNNNNNNNNNNNNNNNNNNNNNNNNNNNNNNNNNNNNNNNNNNNNNNNNNNNNNNNNNNNNNNNNNNNNNNNNNNNNNNNNNNNNNNNNNNNNNNNNNNNNNNNNNNNNNNNNNNNNNNNNNNNNNNNNNNNNNNNNNNNNNNNNNNNNNNNNNNNNNNNNNNNNNNNNNNNNNNNNNNNNNNNNNNNNNNNNNNNNNNNNNNNNNNNNNNNNNNNNNNNNNNNNNNNNNNNNNNNNNNNNNNNNNNNNNNNNNNNNNNNNNNNNNNNNNNNNNNNNNNNNNNNNNNNNNNNNNNNNNNNNNNNNNNNNNNNNNNNNNNNNNNNNNNNNNNNNNNNNNNNNNNNNNNNNNNNNNNNNNNNNNNNNNNNNNNNNNNNNNNNNNNNNNNNNNNNNNNNNNNNNNNNNNNNNNNNNNNNNNNNNNNNNNNNNNNNNNNNNNNNNNNNNNNNNNNNNNNNNNNNNNNNNNNNNNNNNNNNNNNNNNNNNNNNNNNNNNNNNNNNNNNNNNNNNNNNNNNNNNNNNNNNNNNNNNNNNNNNNNNNNNNNNNNNNNNNNNNNNNNNNNNNNNNNNNNNNNNNNNNNNNNNNNNNNNNNNNNNNNNNNNNNNNNNNNNNNNNNNNNNNNNNNNNNNNNNNNNNNNNNNNNNNNNNNNNNNNNNNNNNNNNNNGUUUUGUACCAUAAGGAAUUGCCAAUAAAUCUUAUACCAACACUUUUUGAAACUAUAUGCAAUUGUUGAAACUGAUGCACAAAUGGUUCAGUUACAGUUGAGACAGCUUGAUAGUCCCAACAGUUCGAUUUUGGGACGCAUAUAUGAUGAUAUGAAGGUGCUGCUAGAGGAUCAUUCUAAUGUGAAGGUAGUGUAUAUGCAUAGGUGUGCAAAUAAAGCUGCUCAUCUAAUGGCAGCUCAUGCUUGUGCCCAGGCACAAGAGUUUUUCUAUUUUUCUUCUCCUUUUCUGCUAGAUGUUCUAGCAGCUGAAGCUACCCCUAUGCAAUUCAUUUCUAGUUCAAUAAAGUUUCUAACCUCCUUUCCCACAAGAAAAAAGAAGAUUAGCCUCUUUGUAAGUAAAUUAAGCAAGUUGUUUUUUCUGAAACACAAUAUACAAUCCAGCUCUAAUUUUCCCGCCUAAGGAAUAUGCAACAACAAAAGAAAAGGCUGGAGUGAAUAUCGGUCUUUCUCUUUCCAAUAGUCAUAUUUGAGACGUAUAGUAUCAAAAUCUAGUCCUUAUAAUACAAAUAAGCAGCAAACAAAUCAACACGCAAGUGACGCAACACAAGCAUGAUUACUAAAAAUAAUUCCAGAAACCAAAUUAAAAAAUUAAAGAUACGAAAAAUAAUGCAGUAGGCAUAAGACACCAAUGGACAACCUCAAUAAAUAAGCAGUAAAUGAAUUAGCAGUGAGCCAUGGACAUCUUCUCCAAGACUUGCUGGAACUUCUAUGAUCACCAGUCAUAUAACAGGCAUUUGCAAGAUUAGCCCAUAUAUUAUAUGCAUGUCCUGAUUUAGUAUCCACCAGUCAUCCUAAAGCUUAAAUAGUAUGAAGGAAAGCAAUGGAAUACUUGAUGAAACUUGGAACCAAACCCAUCAACACCAUACCCGCAACAACUGAACCAUAUCUACAUAAAGGAAGGGCAGCAUAAGUGAUCAAACCUGGAUACAUCUUUCUCACAGUUCCAAAUUUCCACUGAAGGUCGAACGUACAACAGUUCCAAGUUUAGAGAGAGAACUACAGGAAGUCAAAACAUAUAAAAGAUGAUGUUGUAGUAAUUUCACCCACAAAUAUUGUUUCCCUUGUUUCUUACAGCACUAUAGUAGACAUUGUGAAUCUUAAGGAACAAAAAAAUCAGCUACCAUAUGUGCAAAUCAGCACAAUAAGCAAAUCAGGUACCAUAUAUGCAAACACAACAGCCGAUACCCAAUUAUGGUCAUGCUCAGUGAGCAGCAGCAUUCCAUGAAAAGUAGCAAUCUAUUGUAAGGUUACCUUUAAAUAUGUAUGUUGCUCUUUUCUCUCCAAUUCCCUGUACCAAAAAUCCUGAGUCACUUGAUUUGGACCGGUGCUAGAACAUGUUUUAAUAAUGGAAGUGGUGCUCACCUUUAAUCUCUUCAAAUCUUCCCUAUUUAUAAGAAGGAAAUAGAUAAAAUAAAUGGUUAGGCUUGAAGAGUAAAGAACAUAAAUCUCAUCAAUCACUGAGGAACAGAGAAUUAAACCGGAAUACCCGUGAGGCUUUGACAUAAAUUCAUAGAGCAUUGCUCACAACACAACAAGGACCUUGAAAAAAAACUUACCUUCCUUUCGAUGCAGAAGUCACACUACCAUUUGCUUUCUUGCAAGAAAGAGGCCCAUUGACUUUGUUCUCAGAAAGAGGCAUUCGGGAGGCGGUUUGUUUCUUUGCUAUAGCCGAAGCUGUCAUGGAUACAUGGCCCUUAUGUGAUGGACGCACUUCUGAUCUUGUGAGACCUUUACUUUACUUUGUGACCCUGUGACAGCCUGAUUGGUGUUUUGAGAAGAGCGGGACACCACGCUUACCAUGUAAAUGGAAUCUUGGCAAAAUAACGGUUUCUACAAGUAAAAAAUGGGGGAUAUAAGGUGAUCAAGCAAGAUCAACAACAGUAGACCAUAAAUGGUAAACUUGUAGCUGACUUAGAGGCUUACCAAACAAGUGAUCAUCAGAACUCUACUCAUCCCUCCCAUGGAGUCUUACAAUAAGUGUAAUACCAACCAAUAUUUACAUAAACAUCAUCAUUGACUAUGGCAAAAAAACUCAGCUUCCCAUUUAUCAGCAACAUGAGAGAAGAACAGUUUAGCCUUCUCCGAGACCUCUUCAGGUGCCUCAAGAUGGUCCUGCCAACAGUGGCAUGGGGUUAAGUUGAUCAGAUUACUGACGAUAGCCUACAACAAAUUUGCCGUACAACUUUCAUAAUCAGAACCAUACAUUUAUACCUAAACUAUGGACUCACAAAACUCGAUCACAAAUCAUACUGUCAUACCUGCAAGCUAUGAUUUUCAAUGUAUUCCCCCCUAAAACAACAAGAAAUAACAAUCACAUCUCAUUGAUCAACUCCAUUGAUCCAGAUAAUCCACUUAACUAUUCAAUUAUACAUCAACAUUUAAACAUGAACAAUACACUUCUCUAUCCAAAGCCCAUAAUCAACUUUGAGCUGGGCAGCAACCCCAUUCUCAAAGUGUACCUAAAAUCUACUAAACCCACUAACUACACUACAGAACCAACCCAAAUGUGAUUAAAGCUUUCAUUUUUUCAUUGCACAUGAACUUCCACCAAAAACUGAAUCCCACAUACAAAACCAAGAAAUGCACACCUGCCCUGUAGACUCGGAGCCCGUGACCGGAAAACAUUGCCGGAGACACGUGAAGCCUUGCUCUGCAUUCUCCCUGUGAAACUUGAACGUAUCGAUCUGAUUCCGAUUUGGGUCUUUUUCUUUUCAAUAGUUCAUAUUGGAUGAAGAAGAAAACCACUAUUCUCACACCUGAUGGUAAAGGUAACAACAAUAAGCAAAUCAGGUACCAUAUCUGCACACACAACAGCCGAUACCCAAUGCUCAGUGAGCAGCAGGUUACCUUUAAAUCCAUGAAAAGUGCGAAUAAAAGGGGAUAUGUCAUUCUGUGUGCCGAACAAACAGACCAUAUAAAUAACAAUCAAGCCAACUGAACAAAACAAACCAAAAGGAUAGAGUAUCAUCCUAAUAGAAAAUGCCAGUAUCAUCAAACAAUACUCUGCCUGAGCUUCCAAGCUACCAAUUGGGAAACAAGAAUCGUAUAACAAUAGAUAGAUGAGUUCAAAAUCAAAGCAAAGCAGUUAUUCUUAGAGAAUCAUGAAGACUACAACCAAAAAGAAAGAAAAGAAAUAUAAAAACACAACAUAAUUAAUAGCACACAUCCAGCUGAAGUAGCUGAUCACAGUAUCUUGAAUAUAGUCUUAAACUUCUGAACCAGCUUCCAGUCCACCGAUGGGUCAUUCUGGUAGUAUGAAUUUAGUACAUCAAUCGACCUCCUUGAGAUAUGGCUGACAAGUUCAUCUUUACCCUUCAACUUCACCUGCUGCUGAUUCAGAUUCGUCUCAACUAUCUUAAUGCAAACCUCCUCGCCCAUGUUGGCAAUAUCAACACAUCUAUUGCUAUUCAUAAUCGACUCAACGCGUCCAACAACCACAAAGUCCCUCUGGUGACGGAUACAAAGUGGAGUCCCAACCUUGACAGUGCCUCGAAGAACUUUAACCCCCACAAUAAUUGGAUCUUUCUUGUGGAAAAUAUGGUCUGGUAAAAUCUCGAGCACACAUGGAAAGACAGCUUCCUUUUCCACAGCAGCUAACUCCUUCUCCUUUUCCUCCUUGAGGUUUUUCAUAUAGGCCUUAAUCACCUCAUGAAUUAUAUCACCAACAAAAAUCUUCACACCCAAUUCAUCUGCAAGUUUCUGGGCCUCCUUUGUCACUUUGACAUCAAAUGCCAA